This 99754-nucleotide long non-coding RNA is filed under the name Physcomitrium patens. Its description in RNAcentral is "long non-coding RNA (PPAT_LNC005341)". The record is from RNAcentral. Lineage: Eukaryota; Viridiplantae; Streptophyta; Bryopsida; Funariales; Funariaceae.
AGUUGUUGGGUUUAGCCAUUUCGUAAACAUGCACAGCAAAUGAAAACUUCUCACGUUACACGCCUUUUUAUCCACAAGAAAAAAUGUGUGGGAUUUAUGUAGGAAGAGAGUAAAACAUGGGGUGCAGGACUUAAAUAGCACGAGUUCAUUAAAUGUAAAUUGCUAAGCAGUAACUCAUCAAACACACAAUUCUAUUUGGCUCACAGAGUUUGAUAGAUAUGUGAAGUGUUGUAACUAAUUAUGCCACAUGGGGUUUCUUUAUUGUGCAACUGUACGUGUGGAUUGGCUGUUGGCCAGUAUCAAAGGUUCCACAAACUCUUGUGAGAAAAGCUACAGCAACUUUUGGCAGCAGGCCACCGCAUCGAGGUAGACCUGAAUUUACUUACAAACAACCCCACAAUGGUCCAAAGAGUGUAAAGUAAGCUCGAAUAUAGAUGCUUGUGAUAGUUUUCCCGAUGUUGCUAUAUUUGCUUUCAGUGGGAUGUAAAGUAGUUCUCUCCCUUAAUUUCGGAGCGUCGUUGAGUUCCUAGAAGCUCUUUGUUGUGUUGUAUUGUGAUUUUUUUUUCCCCCCUUCCCACGGCGACUCCGGGUUGUGUGGUGGUAGGGGAGCCGAUGAAACCAUGGCCUAAUUGCGGCUAAGAAGCAUUCCUACUCUGGUCUUCCAAAGCGGCGUUUAGGAUCAUCCAAAGGGGCACCUGCCUAGAGUUAGGAUCAUAGUUGGAAUUGAUUAGACGUGGGUCCACGGCAAUAAUAGAAAUUGGAGAAAAGGCGCAAUCGAACCCUGCCGAGCUCUGCCUCAUGAUAAGAUGCAUCACUCCAGAACGCUAAAUUUGAGGCUGCUUCUAAAAAGCCAGAUGGGUUCCCUUUCUGCGUGGCCAGGCGCGGUGGAGACGAGGACCGUCGUCACUUCGCCCUGCCCCUGAUUGCUGUGUCUCCACCUCGCCUAACAAGUUGAAACUUCUUUGUAUUCUCCUCCGAUUUGGUUUGCGCAUCCAUGUGUAGCCCUUCCCAACUUGCUCAGCAUGGAGCGUGAGCUCUCGCCACCGCUCUCUCGCAACCCUCCCCCAUCCUCUCGCUCGAUCGCUCUGCGUGUCGCUUCGUGUGUGUGUCUGUGUCUGUAGUUAGGGUGGAAUUUGUCGUUACCAGCUCGUCCCACUCCGUCCGAGCAACGAUUAGUAACUAAUGAAAGAUCCUCGUUGACGUGUUAAAUUUGGAACAUCCCCAAAUAGAACCCACCUCGGCGGAAGUAUUAGUUGGACUGGAGAGGGAUGAGCUCCGCGUAAUACAGACUGCCCGCUGUGUGUGUCUGCCCAGCAUUCGGCCGUUUGCGAAGAGAAGUGGAGCGGAAUAUCCUUUUGGAAGGUCAUGAGCGGAGAAUCUUGUGCGGCACAACAACAACAACAACAACUCUCUCACCUGAGAUGAUCACAGAAGGGCACAGCUCCGUUUCUGGAAUCGAUUCUGGAACCCAGUUGCCCACAUCCUGCUCGUCUUGGGCUCAUUGUUACCAUUAUGAAUGAAUGCUUGUGAAUCAUCCCAAAGAGUGUAAAUGAGAAUUGCCUCCAAUAUGGGUCUGCAAUAGAAUCACAAAAUAACAAUAUUUGGUUUGUGAUCUGCUUGUGGAAUUGAAAAACAUGCCACUGUAAUUUAAUCCUGUUUGUAAUGACUAAUCAAGCAAUGAACGCUCUUCAACAUUAUGUUUUAAUAUUCUCACUUGUCAUUCAUUUCACUCUUGUGUAGUUAGUACACCAUCAUCUGUAGUCUUGUUUUAAUACACUUGAAACUGUGAUCAAUCAUGUCGUUAUAUCCAAUAUGUCAUUUACUAGACAAUAUGAAUGUGUAUAUGUGGGAUAUUGGAUAUAUCUUGCAAAAAAAAUUAAAAAAUGUAUAUAUAUAUUAUUGAAAUGCUGGUUUUCCAUCCCAAAUAAUUUUAAUUAGUUUUAGUACAUUUUGAUAUAAACAUGGUAGUAUAUUAUUUAUUUAUUUAUAAAUAAAUAAAUAAAAAAUAACUACUGCUGUUAAUGAGCUUAUCAAUACUUAUGCAUUAGUGUGUUUUCAGUGAAAUCUUUGCAUGUAGCUAGAAAGAAAAAGAAAGAACGAAAUAAAGUUUUUUUUUUUUUUUUUUUUUUUUUGCCACAUGCAUAAACUUAUUUUAAUAAACUUAGUGCAAUAUAUAAAAUAAUUAUGUUUGACAAACUUUGUUCAUUGCUUUCAGCAUCAUAUCACACUCUUACAUAAUUCUAAUGAAACCCUAAUACCCAUGAACCAUAUGAAUCUUGUCUAAAUUGAGAUUUGUUAAAACCUAAAGCUCAUUUACACUUUCAUAAGAUUGGGUAAUAUUUUAAGGACUAAAUUAUUCGUUGCACCAAAUAAAUAGCUUAUUGUGGAUCUUGUGCAUUGUGUGGUUCAAAACAUUGAUUAAGCAUGUAAUGUUUGUGCAUUUGGAACACUAACUCUUGAGUUUUUCAAUUAUUAAAUGUAAAAGCAUGGAUCAAGUUUUAAAUAAUCACAAAUGUUCCAUACUUACCAAACAUGUGGUUAUGUUACAUGCAAGCAUACAUGAUAUACAUACUGUUUCAUGUUUUUGAUGAAUCCUGCUUUAUUUAAAAAAAUUAUACGUUUGUUUAAAGAUAAAAAUAAAAAUAAAUAUUAAUGAUUUCAAAGUGGAUAAUUAAUUUCAUAUUACAAACUCCAGUUGGAGCAUCAAGCAACAUCCAAAUGCUAUCUACUUAUUUAGUUGACAAGUUGUAUAUAUUGAAAGAGCACCCUAAUUUUUUUUUUCAACACACACAGAUGUGCUUAUUUAUAAAUAUCUAAAUGUAUAGGUUACUGAUGUGUUUAGUAGACUCAUGAUAAAGCAUUGUGUUUUUUCUUUUGGAAUAGUCAGACAGAUGAUUCUGUAAGCUUAAUGAUUGUUCAUAUCAUUUUACUACUGUGUUAAUUUUGUGUUGAAAAUAAGAAAUAAUAUUGAUCUAACCAAUCAAAGAGUAACACUAUUUUGUUUAAAUACAACCACACACACACACAUGGGUUUGUGACACUUUUUAUAAAUUAAGAGGGAAGUAAAGUUUCUAAAGUGCACCAGGAUAAGUCUUCUGGGUCAUGAUUUGAUUUGUUCAAAACAAUACAAACAAAAUAGCUAAAUAUUAAUGUGCAGUUGAAGCAUACACAUAUUUUAUUAAAGAAAAUAAUUAAAUAAAUGAAAUUUGUUUUGAAAUUUUGUAUUCAAAGUCAUGACAUUGUGUUGUCUCCAUUAAUCUUUUUGCAUAAUUGUUGGGUUUAUUACUCUAGGAUCUAGUACAAUGGUUGUGGAUAGUAGGCAUCCAUAUAUUGUAUUGCAAUUGUUUAAUGAUGUGAAAUGACCAGUUUCAAAAUUUUCAAUGUUCAAUAUGUUGUGAAAUUGUCAAAUUUUGUUAUAAGACUUUGAUAAACUUGUACUUUGCACCGAGCAUAUUAAAAGCUGUACAAUAACUGUAUUGUUAAAAAUAAAUGAAUGUUCCUAGAGAGUAACAUAAAUGUGUACAAAUGCUCAUAUUUUUUUGUAAGCUUUAUUUAUUACACAGUAGGUUUCAGUGCCUUGCAAAAUAACUCCUUUCAUUGUGCACAAGCUCUUGAGCUAUUGCAAUUUAUUUAUUUAUUUUUAAUAUUUUAAAUGCCACGUUUCAUUUGUAUUGACAAUACACCAAACUUGAGAAGCAUAUUUUCACACCCAAAUUUAGAUUCCGAAUAAAUCAUAUUUUUUAAAUCGUUCAAAAAUAUAUUCCUGACGAAAAUACAUGUGAUUCUUAAAUGAUGCAAAUAGUAUUUUUUACAAUAGCAAUUGAAAUAGUAUUGGAAGCACCAUACAUAUCAUGACUAUCAUUCAUAUACUAUAAAAAAACAUAUGGACGUGACUGAGAACUUGGAUCCAAAACCAUUUACUUUUUUAGAUAACAAUCGCUGAUUAGACAUAGUAUGUUGAGUUAGAUAAAACAUUCAUACUUGCAUAUUGUCUUUCAACUGGACCUUCGAACUAAUAGCACUUAUAUGUCAAUAAAAGCAUCUAUACCACAAUGUAGUUAAUUUAAAAAAAAAUACAAUUAAGAAAAUAAAUGAAAAAUAAAUAAAUUAUAAUACAUAAAUUUUAUUAAAACUAUAUGCAAUCUUACAGGAAAAAGAAGAGAAAAAGUAGUAGAAGUUGUGUAAAAUCAUAUUUCACAUUGUAAGUAUGUGUAAUUGUGAUGUAAAAUAAAAUCUGGCACCAUGACAACACAAGAUGAACUUGAUGUAUGACAGUCUUUAUUUUUUAUUUUUUAUUUUUUUUUGUUGAUGUCAUUAUUUGAAAUGAAUGUCAGAUUUCAAAUUUUGACCUUAUCCUUUAUUUGUUUGUUUUUAUUCUUUCUGGAAUUUAUUCAUAUACAUAGAGAGUGAGAGAGAGGUGAGUAGCACUGUAUGUUGCAAGUGUGUGUGUAUAUAUAUAUAUAUAUAUAUAAACAUAUUUUUUAUAUAAAACAAUUCAAGAGACAAAAUAACCAUCUUUGAUUAGUUGCAUAUAUCACUGUUUUCAUCAAAAGUGAAAUAAUAACUCAAUUUUUGAUCAAUUGCAAAUCAAAAUUUGCAAGUGGUUGUUGCAAAUUGCCAAGAGUAACAUUACAAGAUCAACAGGAGUGGAGAUCGGAAACUCCUAAUUGAGGUUGUGAAAAGUAGUAUUGCUUUUGCGGGUAUAGUGGAUUCCACUCGGUCUUUAAUUUCUGGCCUUUGUCUUCACGUAGGGCGUCAUUGAACUCUAGGUUAUGAGCUGAUUUAUAGAGAACCCAUGCCUUUGUGUGGAAAUUUAGCUUUUUCACGAGUUUUCUGUAAAUCAGCUCGUAACAAAAAUUUCUAUAAAAUCGACCUGAUCAGGGCCAUUGGUGGGAAUUGGGUCGAAUUUUCAACAAAAUCAGCUUAUAAACAACAUGAGUUUCCACUAGAAUAUAUAUAUAUAUAUAUAUAUAUAUAUAUAAUAUUAUGUUUAUUGUCGUUUUGUUGGCAACUAAUAUGGUCUUGGGCUUGGGAUCCAGUGGAGCAUUGGUGCCCUCCGAUCGACCCAAUCGCCACCGACGGCCCCGAUCAGCGGAGCGGUUGGAUGCACAACAGCGAGAUCGCAACGCCCACAAGACACGGCUCAUCACAAGUGCAUUCUAUUUCGGAGGAGGGGCAUUAUUCCAAGGAUUAAGCAAGCAAUCCAGUGAAAGGUUUGGCAGCGGACCUUCAUGUGAUUGAUUCUCCAGCUGCGAAGCACGCUCUGCUAAUAAGAGCCACUGUUAACCUUGAAGCCAUUGCCGAAGCUCCCCAAUUAAGAGCGCUAAUGAAAUAUGAGCCAUAUUCCCAGCCUCUUGCCCGCCCACAUACAACAUACAAGAAAAAUCCAGCCAGUUGGGGGUACGCCAACAGCACCCUUUGGAUCAUUCUCAAAUGAGUCCCAUGUCCUCGCAUUCCUGCCAAUCUGAGCAACUGCAUGCUAUGUUCCAAGCCAAACUGAAUCUGGUCCUGAUUCAACAUUCAGUGAUCGGUGUUCAAGCCCGGUUAUAGCUUUAUUUAUCGACCAUGCGCCCAGCUUGUUUUCUUCGUCUUCUGACAUGUACCGAGGCCCAAAUGUUUCUGUAGAAGUUGCACCCGAGUUUUGCUUUACUGUAUGGUUUCAAGCUGGGGCUGCGAUUGUGUGGCGUGGGAUCAAGUGCUUUGGGGGAUAAUCUCUUCAAGUCAAGGAGUCUUUCUUUCGCUGAGCUAGCGAAUAGACUUAAGGUGGAUAGCUCAAAGUGUCACAGCGCGUGACGUGGUGUUCCCAGUUUUCACAAGGAAUGAUGAGCCUACAUUAUCAUCCAGACAACAACGAAUAUCGAUGUGGGGGCCAUCGAGGCAUCAGCAGGGGCUCAUUCGUUCAGUUGACCCGGGAAACCUGAGGAUCUGGACGCAGAUGGCGUAGAAGUUACCAAGUUACGUCGCCACAUGAGGUCGACUUUAGUCAUGUGCCAGAUCACGAUCCUCUUCCCCCCACCCCCACCUCACCUGGUUUCCCCCGCUCGCCGUGUAUCAAAGCCUUCCUCCCCCCGAGACGUCCCUCACAUUCUUCCAGAUUCAUUCAUCGCUGCUUCUAGCGCUUCCUUCGCUGCAUCGCGAGCUUGUCUCCGCUUGCUGUGCGAAGAUCGCCAGGUUUAGUGCCAGGGUUUAGAACAACCUUGUGGGAGUUCUUCCGCGGUCGAGUUCUUCGGAGCCUGUCUUGCUUUUGCGUGACACUCAUCGAAGUGGAUAACUGAAUUAAUUGGACCGUAGCUCGUCGAGAAGCUUUCAAGAGAGAUUCGGUUGAGUUUAUGAGUAGUCGGGAGGAUUUUCUGCUUCAUGUUUGGCAGCACUGGUCUGUAGCGUGAGGUCAUGAGACUGAAGUGAGGUUGCUGGGCAGCAGUCAAGGAAUAUCACUGGGUUCCAAAGGGCUGCAGAUUCAGAUUCAGAGUUGUAGACCAGCCAGGAUUCAACUACUAGAGGCGGUUCGGAUUUAUGGAAGGUGCGAGGUUGUCAUUGACGAUCUACACGGUUGGAUGCUCGCCGAAGGGUCUCAUUCUGCAGCAGCUGCAGCAGUAGUUGUCGCCCCGAUGUUUUGAUUCUGAAAUCAUUACCUGGACAAAAUUGUCAGAAGUCUUUUGAAUCUGCUGCCGAACACGCUGAAGAUUUAACGAUUGACUAGAGGGGAGUGCCACUUUGAGUCCACUGGAAUCUGUGAGUACUUCAUGACUUCACACUCUGAAUUGUCUUUGAAUGUCAUGUUGAAAGCUCUUGGUAAGGGUGUUGCACGAUACUAAUCAAGCAGCCAUUGUCGCGUUGAGAUAUUACAUUUUUCGAAUGCUAUACCUCGAAACAACCUAGUGAUUUGCUUAUUUUUUCUCCCCCACGUUUGGUGUUAGCAUUGAGGAACUGAAGGUUGGUAAUCAUUCCGAUAUUAGUAGAUGGUUAAAGAGGUUGUUGAGUUCCGUAUAUCGCACAUGACUUAUUUUCAGAGCAAUGUCCCGUCGAGAUAAAAAGCAGGUUUUACACAAGGAUUGCACACAGCGAUGUGACGAAUCUGAUCUCAUCGUUUGAAGAGGUUUGAGCGAGUCUUUAGAAAGAACCUGCGUCUUGUAGAUAGACCUCAAUAUCAAUCUUGUUACAAUGUUUCUGUUUAACGAUAAUGUCUUUCACUUACCGCUUACAUUUCAUCCCAAGAUGGUGUUAGUUUCACCGCCCCAUUCUACACUCGAAAUCAGAAGUGCGCCAAAACAGUUACCUCCAUGUAGGUUCUCUUUUUACCAAAUGUCUUUCCACUAUUCACUAUCUUCGCACAUGUCACACACGCCCUCUGGGUGCACUUAAUCUGGGUUCUAGACGCGAAAGGGAGCUACGUAAUUUUAGAUCCGGAGUGAACAGUCGUUAUGUGUGACAUAAUGAACGGAUCAUUAGGAUCUUAUAACCUAAUUCCGUUGAGAAUGACCGCUUUUCACAGUAUCGUAGCCCUUGAGUGGUAGUGAUUUCAAUACUAGGUCUUCAUCGCAUCUUGGUCUAACUCUUUCUUCAUUUCCUCUUCUCUGUCGCUUAUCCUUUCGCUCUACAGGUCUGCUAUCGAAGUUCUUUGUCUCGACUCUGUCUCUCGUACUAGCACUUCUUUUCAGAGUCUUGUCUUGCCCAGCCAAAAAUGUCCGCAUCAUUACCGAACUCUAAUUAGCCUUUAAAGUAUGUGUUCAGCGUGGUUAUUCGUCUGUAUGGGGCGAGUAUAGUACUCAUUAAUGGACAUCUACCAGAGCUCCCUAGUGUUGGAAAACGUUAUUGUGGGAACCUGUUUAGCAGUGAGACAGCUCAACUGCUCUACGAAUUCGAGGUCGUAGUUGAGUACAUCCCAUCACCUGGUUGAUGUCCACUUCUUAUGCGAAUGCUGAGUGAUGGAAACUGGUAAUUGAGUGAUGAUUCUGCCUCCUCAUGGGCCCGCUUUUGUUUACAUGAAUUUGCAGACAUUUUGCCCUUUAAUCUUGGCGGCUACUGGCUAAGCUAGCUCCAGCAAUGACAGGAUCAAGUGGGAGCACCAACACAGCGUGUGCGGCCUGCAAGUAUCAGAGGAGAAAAUGUUCGGCAGAUUGUCCUCUCUCGCCUUACUUCCCCCCGGACCAACCCAAGCGCUUCGCCAACGUCCACAAACUCUUCGGCGUCAGCAACAUUCUGCGCAUCCUCAAACAUGUCGACCCUUCCAAGCGUGAGGACACAGUAAAAUCCAUUGCUUACGAGGCCGACACUCGAGAGAAGGACCCUGUACACGGGUGCCUGGGCGUCAUUACCGUGUUGCAAAACCAAGUGUCCAAAUUGAAGGAAGAGCUUAAUAUCGCUCGCGAGCAGCUUUUCUUGAUGGAGCAGCAGCAGCAGCAGGCAGUUGCUGCAGCUGGACAACUCCAUAGCUUUCAUGGACAACCCGGAUUGCCAAGCGGUUCUGCUUUCGAUGAUGACGAGUCGCAGUUUUUGAGACACCACAUCGGUUUUCAGGACGUGCACAGGUUCGACAGCAAAUUUGAUCAGAAGUUGAACAAUCUUCCCAUGGAUUACAGGUAGAAGUUUGUCUCAUGCCUCAAAUCUUAUCUACUUGCUAUUUUAUAUAGGAUGCCCCGGUCAUGAUUCCAAGUCAAUCUUCAUGUGCUCACCAGUCGACGUUGUAUCUGAUGUCUGGUAGAUACGGAGCGGAUGAUGCGUCGUCAAUGAUUUGCCAGAUGAAGGUCGACCAUGCAGAGCAGCUGCGGCGUGCGGGGAGCUACUUCGGAAUGGACCCUUCCUACGAUGAAAGCCCAGUGAGCCACCAUCAAAUGCACAUGCAGGCUGCGCUUGAACAGGACCCCUCCUACGCGCUUCGAAGCUCCCCAAACAACAGCCUCUCUGGAUUCGGAAUUGCGGCCGACGGCGACAUGAAAAGAGCGAACUACUUUAUAACAAGCGGACAAUGUCAGGUCUCCGAUCAUGACCUUCAGCGAGCCGGAGUGUAUUUGACCUUGACUAAUCAGCACUGUCGAGAUUAAACGUUCAAACAGAGACUGGCGAUCUAACUCCAGCGAAACAAGAAACUGACAAAAACAAAUGUGCCCGAUUCUCUUCAGGAGUGUUCUAAUUAGCAGAUGGAAAGUGAAAUUUAUUCUUCCAAUUGAACAGUUGGCGAAUUUGCAGUGUGAUGUUUGAUCACGACAUCUCGACCCAGAGAAGAGUGAAAGAUCUGGGUUGUGCUCAAUUCUCUUCAGUAUUCAACUAUUCAACUGGUGCACCAAAUAAUACGAAAUUUUGUUUCAACAAUGCGGGGGGAGACUCGUCCUCAGUAGCGUCCCUGUGGCCAGCAUCGACAGGAUCAGCGGAUGAACCUCGCGCAGGAGCAGGGGUUAGUUACUAUGGACGAGCUGUGACUCGAGAGUAGCUGCAAUCUUCAUUUUCACCCAAGAUUUCGUGGCACCAAGGUUCAAGUCUCAACCACGAUCUGCACCAACAAUAGAUAUUGGAGUACAUCAGGCGAGUUUCCUUUCAUUACAACAGGAAGAAAUCACGCGGGACACGUCGAGGUUGACAUUUGAACCUCCGCACGUUGUCUACAACUGGUCUCAGACACAUAUUUCCUGCGCAAAGAAAGUUUUCACAAUUUUUUUAGGGUACUGAACCGGGGUUGAUCAUCCCUUCCUUAAAUGACUUCAGAUUUAUUGCAGACACAGCGUAGGGAGUUCCAUUUCUAGCAGUUUUAGCAGUGUGCGAUAGUUAGUCAUUUGUGUGCUCACUACUGCAUCCCACAUAAAACAAAAGACCAAUUAAUUGAUGUACCCAUAGAAAUUGAUUCUUAAAUGUAAAACGUUUUCUUCAUUCGGAUGUUGAGCAUUUUUCUCCUACUUUACAUGAAUGCCGAUGUGACUACGUCGACCCACUUCCUUGGCACUCAUUCGACAUGUUAGUCUCCACCAGUCAGAGUAAAGCCGGUGUGGAUUCAAUUUGAGCUUCUCCACUGUUAACAGAAGCGGCAACUCUCACAGCACGAUUCUCUGCCGAGAAGACAAGUGCACAUUUGUCAAGAGAUGCCGUCAUGAGCCGGAUCCAAACUCCGCAAUGCCUUUAGAACAGUGUCACCGAAAACCUCGUGAACAUGUUAAUUUUGCUUUUAGAGGACCGAGGAAUGUCUUCGUACAACUUGAUUCACUGAUUUGUGUUUCAAUAAUUUUUUAAGAUUGAUGCAGGCUUCGGUUUACACGUUACUAUUCACGUUAUUGCUAAUAUCAUUAUUUUUAGUUAAUUCAAUAAAAACAUCUGUGUAUGACCUAGGUUAAGGUGCUUAGAUCAUCACUGUAUCUUGACUAGACAGGAAUUCACGAGUGACGUUAGAUACGAGAGUGCAUCCAGCGGGCUGCUCUCAGAAUCAUGACGAUUCUCACGUCGUAACUGGCAGAUUGAGCACAGACGUAUGGCCGAAGGUUCCUGAGCUAAGCAUGUCGAUGCUGCAAAAUUUGCAAAAACCCCGAAGACAGCCAUUCCAGUCUCUAAGGCGAGUGUGUUCGUUGGGGAAGCCCGAUCAGUAUAGUCGAGGUUUUACUCCACGAUUUGGAUACUUCCAGGUCUCGAGGUGCUUUGGAGAAAGGUGGAAGUAGUCACGAGAUUUGGGUGUUAGCGAAGGAUUGUUCCAUCUGGUUGUAAGGAGCCGAUGAAUUUCGCUAAUUUUGUGAUAAGUGUUGAGGGACAUGGGAUUACGUGUGGGUUUGAGGUGUUGUGAUAGUUUGUUGUUGCUUCUUGUGCAGAUUACCUUGCUCCAGGCGCUUUUCACCUUGCUCUCUCCUGAGACGUCCGCUUGCUUCGUUCUAUAGUAACUCAAUUUAAUUGCUGGGAUUAGGGUUCGUGGUCACAGUGAGCCCUUCAAUCGCAAUUCAUCACAAUUGGCAGGAAGUAAGCGGUCAGUUUGUGAGUCUUAGAUGCUUGAAUUUUCCUAAAUCGAGGGGAGUUCAUCAAUGCAAGUUCUUCAUGUCUUCAACUUUGAGCGUCGUUGCUGGCUGCUGAGUUUUCCCAAUCCCAAUUUCGGCUCUGUUCUCUGUCUUCGACGGUAUUCAUUUAAUUGUUGCGCGCCUGUGCGGGAUUUGUACUAGGGUAUUCUGUAGCUGGCGUGGGUAAUCAGAGUAGAAGUUUUGCGAUUCUCCGUAUAAGAAAUUGACGAGCCACCUAUUCAUCGAAUUGUUUGGCCAAUUAGGGUUUUGGGAUUUAUUCUUUCGUCUCCAGUUACUGUGCGAUAUGUGCCUUGAGUGGCUCUAUUGAGGAAUUUUUCAUUUUAUAGACUUGGAGUAUGGGGUUUACCGUCCUCAGAGUUUUCCUCCUCUCUGCCUCCAUCAGCCUCUUGCUGCUCCCAGGCUUUUCAGCGAAAUUCGAGCCUUCUUCGAACGAGACUGCAUACGAUGGAAGAUACUCCAAGUUUAAGAUUGUUGUGGAGGAAACAGAAGCAGAAAACAUUGUUCUCACAGGAAAUGCAAGUCCGGAUGCCUCAGUUAGUGGCGACGACGGAGACGGUGGAAAUGUUGCUGGGAUCAUGGUUACCCUCUCUGAAUCCGGAUUGACAUACGCGAAGGAAAUGCUCGUGAACCAACUACUUGAAGAGAUAACCCCCUUGAUGUUACCAGACAUCAAAACGCACACUGACUCUCCCUUAGGCCGCGUUGACAUGGAAAUAUCCCACAUCGAGCUCUCUGGGGCGAAUGUUUCAUAUUCGGAUGUUGAUCUUUGGAAGACGGGCAUUACUGUGUUCGCUGGGGAUAUUAACGCCCGGAUUCGCCUCCAUUGGUAUUUUAAAUUUAUGUCUAUGUUUGUGCCGUUUCCCCUUAGUGACCGCGGAUGGGCGGAUGUGGAGGUAACAGUCUGAGAACUUCCGCCCUGCUGUUGGUUUCUUCUAUUUUCUGACGUUAUUGUUCGUGUAUUUAAACCUUUUUUGAGGUUGUGUAGCUCUUGAAGUCUAAUGUUUCAAGCACAAUGUAAAUAUGCAGAUUCUAAAACUUUAAGAUCUUUACCAGUCCGAAGUGAACCACAAGGGUGCACUUCUUGAGCCUACAUGGCGAUGAUAGUAGUAUUUGGACUCUUAUGACCGAGCAAAAAGAAUUUUCGAAGCUUGUUUUAUGACUUAAGCUUAUCUGUUAGUGCUCAACUUUGAUCUGUAGUUGUAUUUGUGCAGGUAAAUAACAUGGUAGCGGGCGUGUCAUUUUUUCUUCAAGCACACAAUGGAACGGUGCGGUUAACAGUCGUUGAGUGUGGAACCGGCAUCGAUGAUCUUGAUAUUCAAUUGCAAGGAGGGGCAUCGUGGCUUUAUCAGUUGUAAGUGUUUGUUUCGAUAUUCUUCUUUGGAUAUUAUUGAGCUUCUCGAUUCUUUGGAUAUAUGAUGAUGUCGAAUGUGUUAUGAAACGUCAAGGGUGGCGCUACGCUGUGUUAUUGAAAGGAUCCAAGUAUGAGUGGCUCAUUCCUUUUUCUUAAGUGGUUGUAGCUGACUGGCUAGAAGCAUAGCUUCAGAAAGAUUUCAAACUAAGGGUUAAUUUUGGGACAGAUGCUUAACUCCAAUGAUAAUUGAUUAGCACUUUGUAGAUAAUGGUUCUCUACUAUCUUCAACAGGUUUGUGUAUGCCUUUGACGAGGAGAUUCGUGCAAUACUUGAAGCUGCAAUAACAAAGAGAAUUAUUGCAAGCAUAGCGCAGCUGGAUAAUAACCUCCAAUUACUCCCUCGCUACUUACCUAUAGACGAUGUCUCUGCUGUUGAUGUGACCAUUGUACAAGACCCGCUGGUGAGCCUUACGUUUCUCAGCGUGGGUGUGAGGGGAGAGUUUACCUCCCUGAGUAAACCCUCAAACUUCACAUUUCCUGAUCAUGGGUUGCCUCCUGGAUUGUUCUGUAAUGACUCCACAAAGAUGGUCACCAUUGCCCUCUGUGACUACGUCAUCAAUUCGGCAGCCGCUGUAUACUAUGAGGUGCAUGCUCUUCAAACCUAUUAGCUUCAAAGUUUACUGGGCUUCAUGCUCAUAUAACAGAGUUGACCUCUCUAAGUUUCUCAGGGCGACGUGUGCUUAUUGAGCCCUGCUUUCUUUAGUUAAGAGUUUCUCCAAUAAGUCACAGGUUGUUUAAAAAGUCAUCUACUUUUAGUUGUAUUACACUUGCUACUUUGUUUAAAUUCUUUUAACCUGCCAGUACCGAAUGAAACAGAUUGUGAAUCCUUGUGAUCGAAAUACCUGAUUACAAUUAAUAACUCCCAGAGUUUUUUUUACAGAAGUUGACGUUAGGUCCUUUUCUGUGUUUCAUAGGCUUUUAAUUUUGGUUGCAGAUGGAAGUAAUGUCCUAGUAUUUCUAUUAGAGUGCUGUUAUUAAAAGGAUAUGUUUCCUGUGCAGGCUGGAUAUCUGGAGUGGAUAGUAGACGAGCUACCACAGGAAUCAUGGUUAAACACUCACUUUUGGCGUUGGCUUAUACCCCAACUGUACAAGAAAUAUCCAAAUACGGACAUGGCAUUGGGCUUUGCCAGUUCUGCACCACCAACGGUUCAACUUAAGACUGAUGGCGUAACAGCGAAUGCCGUAGCUGAUUUGACCUUGUCGGUGAAAACCGAGGGGAAGUCACUCCCUGUAGCUUGCAUAUCUCUGGUAAGCUCUACCCCAAGAAUUAGACCGUGCUCUUGUUUUCCCUUGAGGUCUGCUUGUUCUUUAAUGUAAUUCGUUUUUGGUGAAACAUCAAAUAUCCAAUUUUCUGACCUGUUAAGUUGUUUUUGCCUCAGGCUCUGUCCAUGGAUGCGAUCUUCAAUGUUGUGGGUAAUAAUAUUACGGCUGAAGCAACUCUGAAUGAUUUGACCCUCGAGAUGAACUGGAGUGACAUUGGGAAUUUUCCUGUCAACCUCCUUCAGGUGAGUCUGGUUCUUACCUAUUACAGGCCAUGUCUGAAUUCACUGAACGUACAAUAGACACUCUCGGUAGUAUGGGUUUUGCAUGGUGGAAGGUGCUAAGCACUCAUCUGUCGCUUUAUUAUUUUACAUGAGUUGAUUAUUGCAUGUUUCCAAAGUUAGAGUCUAUCUCGAUGUGGGAGAGAAGUGAUAAUGUUUAACUAUGUGGGGGGUCCAGGACCAGGCCCUGGGCCUCCCUACUGUCAGGUUAUUUCAGGAAACAUGGUUCCGCCAUACUCCCCCACGUGUGCAUGACCUCAAACAGUAAUUGAAAUGUUGCAGUGUAGGAGUGAAAAAUUAUAACGGACUCUUGAAACGGUGACUAAACGCUUUGCUACGUACAAGGUAGAUAGGUGGACAAAGUACAAAAGCUAAAAGUCUUCUUGUUCGCUAAUUCACAAUGAUGAUGCGGACUCUGUGCAGCCCACACUGCGAACAGUCAUCUCAAGAGUGAUUCUCCCCAUCUUGAAUAGAAAGUUGGACCAUGGCUUCCCCUUGCCUGUUCUAUCAGCUGUUGACCUGGAAAAUGCCGACAUCCGUUACGAGGAGGGUUACAUCUUUAUAUGUAGCGAUGUGUACUACAAAUUUGGCUUCAUAAAGCCGCCGCGUCCGUCUACAGAAGCAGAAAUGUGAUUAUUUGAUGUCAUUAUUUCUCAACUGAUCUGACAGAUGCCAAGCUUACACAUGAUUGUCUGAUCCGAUUUGUAAGCUAGAGGGUUUGAAGGCUGUGGAUAUGUCUGUCCAAGAAAGAAACCUAUCAACAUACGAUAGAGAGUCAAAGUUACUACAGUAGUGUUCAAGGCUCACAUGGAUCACAUGAAUUUUGCGGCAGGAUCCAUAAGCUGAGCUUGGGCUUGUAGAUGUCUGAGCCCCUAGGGUGAUUUGGUUGUACAAGGUAAUGUAUCAUGAAUGAUCUUAAGUUUUACUUCAGGAAUACCAGAGUGUAGUUGUGUAAUCAUGUGAUAUUAUCUUACUUGGUUCCUUCUCAUGAGAGGGAUCCACCGUUUUCUAUUUCCAGUGCCGGAGCUGAGAAUGGUUGUUCUACUUGAGGUUAUUUGUACAUGUGGCGGUUUCUCCAUGAGAUUAUGAAGCCACAGCAAGGUAUUUACUUGAGGAUAGGGAAAUAGUCAAAGCAAAGAUUAACAUAGUUUUGAUUCUCUGGUGUUUUGGUUUUUCAGAGUGUAAUUUGUUUCCACAAUGCCCCUUCCACUGUAUCUCAUCCAGCACAUCCCAUUUAUGUUUGGGAGUUUAUAGAAUUUAAUAAGAAGUUUUGAAUAUGUGAUUUAGUUUAAUUUGAUGACCAUGUAAGCGCUUAAGUUAUUUGAACACUCUUCAAAUGAAUGAAUAUGCUCCAGAUGCCUGACAAGAUUUGGAAACUGAUGCAGAGGACAGAGUCGGGUACUUCUUUCAUACUGCCUAGGCCAGCAAUCCCAAAACCCAAGAGAAAGCUUUGAAGCAGUGCUAAUAUCUUUUCACCUGGUGGUAUGGUUGGAGAACCCAUUCUCAACACAUGGGUUGUCCUGCAUGGAAUGUCUUUUUGAUUUAUUGAUUUGUUUGACUUCUAGGGAUUUGAGCUUCAAGGCUGCUGGAAAGGGUGACAUACUGUAUGCCACAUACUUUUUGUUGAGUACUGAUGAACAGAAGAGGAGGGACAUAAGCAAUCUUUAUGGUUGACUGACAAUACUCUGACUCAGCAGAGUCACUGUACCACUGGUAAUCCCCUCAUGCUUUACUUGUGAACCAGGCUUGUGACUUGAUCAUAGCACUGAAGCUUAACAAAAUUCAUUUGUUAGUGUGAAGCCUUCGGCACAAGCUCCCACACGUAGCUUUUCCUUAUGGUGCAAAAAGUGAUGCCCACAAAACAAUCUCCAGGAGUUCAGUGUAAAUCCUGUCACUCACCUUAUCUGCAGGCCAGGUAGUGUAAGCUGGAUUGAGGUCUUGUAUGGUCCUUGUGAUAAUAUAAUCUUCAUUUUCAAUGCUGUGUAUGUCAGAUGCUUUAUGCUGAAUAUUGCCUGCCAUUAGUUACUUUUUCAUUUGUCAGCUUUCAAAACAAGAGUUUGGCCUUUGUGCCACAUUUUCCAAAUCAUGCAAAUGUAUAGCUUGAGCUAUUUACAGUUGCAAGGAUAAUGGAAUUAAGAGGUUGCAAGUGUUUGCCCAUUAAUUAAACAUAUUGUGAUUGAAGUGUUUUCCAUAAUUUAUUAUUAGAAAUUUAUAUCCGUUGAGUAAAGUUAAAAGCCCAAGUUUCUUAUGAAUGAAUCAAAUACUUUCUAUUUGACACUCAAUUGAAUAAGAAUAUUAUGACUUUAGGAUUGGAAAAUAAGUCACAAUCCUACAGAUAUGUUUGACUGUAUGAAACUACGUUGGAGACAAGACAGCUUACAAAUUAAACUGUACAAAAGUUUUUUUCGAUAGUUUAACAAAAUUAAAAAUUAGAAACUGUAAGAACUUGGAAGUUUCUAAGUCAUAAAGCAUAUAUUAAAAUGUAAUAAAAACUUCAACUUGAUACUGGUUGAAAAGUAUAGAAUACUAAUGUAAUUGAGAUACUGGUUAAAUAGACAUACAUUGCUAAUAAAUUUCAAAUAUAUAUAUAUAUGAAACCGCACCUUUAAAAACAAGUCACAUCUAGUCACAUUUUCCAAAGAUUCAUAAUUGGUACCCAGUUAAUUUACUUUCCAUACAUUAUUCUCUUUUAAUAAAAAUAUUUUUUAGAAAUUAAAAAAUGAAAAUAAAACUUUCAAACGUCCUCAAAAAACAAACAUGCAUGUUCUGAUCACAAACGAAAUAUGUUUAUGCCAUGGAUUGAAAUAAAAAUUCACCACUUCAAUCUUCAACUCAUAUACACAAUAAAUUAUUGUAUUUCCGAUUGCAAAACAUGUAAUUCUGCAGAUAUAUCAAACAGUUUAAGUUCGAAAUCAAACAAAUAGAUUUUCUAAAAACAACCGUAUUACAAAUUGUAUCAGGUAUGAAUGAAAUGGAAUUGAAAGCAUCAAGGACACUUUUCAACCUUCGGCAAGAACAAAGCACACAUUCAAAAAUCCAGGGGCCUUUAAACUACGUUUGAUGGAAAUGUGGAACUGGCCAGGGAGUCGAGAAUCUCGAGUAAGAGAAGUUGCCAAUCCAGAGAAAAGUUUGAUCGAUUCAGGUGAUUUCAUGUCAAUUCCCAGCUCAACCACAUUCUGAAGCCCCACAUCCUUCCAAACAAACGGACUGAAAGACUUACCGUUACACAAAGCUCUUGGAUAUGAGCUGAAAGAGAAACGAUACCCACAAGCUUUGCAUCCGACUCUGGUCCAGAUCCACGAGGUAUUGGCGAUCCAACUUCAUUCUUAGUCAGCACAAGCUACAGCUCCCAGCCAUUUUAGUGGCGCACGGUCAGUUGUAUCGAACUCACAUGAAGAAAACGACAAACAGAGCACAAUGGUGUAGUUGACAGCGUUGAAGUUUCCUAAAAAUUGAGACAACCAUGGAGAAUGAAGUCGCAGUAGAAAACUUGACGUCAAAUAAGAAUUUGGACGUUAACCGCAUGCAUUGUGGUAUGUUAACCGUAUGGCUCAAGUUGACAGCGAAGUUACGUAAACACUGGUUCAAUGCGACUUGAGACUUUAGCUUAGCUGGUGGGAUAAUCUCGUCCUCAAAAAAUAGUGACAGUAAAUUACAACUGCUAAUUCGUAGAGGGGUACUUUUAACACAAGCAGUCCCACAUUCAUGAUACCUAAAACAUACUGGACCAAAACCCUAAGUUGCAAAAGUUAUGAUCCAGAUGAGAACUCCAUCUGUCUAAUCAUCCGGCAGCACCGGGCCCUCGAGAACUUCCGCAAAAAUACAUCGUGCGCAUUGGCAAGCAUCAUUUCACGCACCUCACACACAAAACACGAGACGAACUGGCGUCUAACAACGAAAGAAAGAGUGGGAAAUAAACUACCCAAAAGGUUCCGCUACUGCCAAAAAAACAAUGAAAGCAACAGACGGAGCUCCGCAUCUCGAAGAAAGGCAACUCGAAACUACACUAGAUUCGAAGACCACACCCAUGAUCUGGUCCUUUUUUUCUUGCACUCCCCAAUCUUUCAUUUAAUUCCCAAUUUUCUCGCACAGGAUUCUCGUCGCAGGCAUGCUUGUGCAGAUGGUUUCCGUAAUUUAAAAUGACUCUCACCGCUCACCAAUGACCAAAACAACGAUGUGGGUCUUCGAGAAUCGCAAGCAGGGAAGGACCCAGUUGAUAGAAACGCACUGAUCCGAAUCGAGGGAUCGCGCAACCGCUGUUCCGAUCCCCCAAAGUCCACGCUUUUCACACGCUUGCUUGAGAGAAUGCGGGGCUAGAAUAGGGAGACGGGGCUCCGUUAUUCUUCUGUUCACACUGCGCGUCGAACUGUUGACUACUGCGGGGGAAUGCUUCCUAGAAAGUUACCUCAAAAGGUAUGUGUCUGGUUGGAGUAGCCUGAAAGACGUGGGUUAGUCACUCUAUUUAAUGAAUCACCUUUAAAACUAUUUUUAAAACUAUUUGUUUGUGUGUUAAGUGUGUUUUAAGACAACAUUUGAUGCUCUUGUGCUAGUUUCCAUCAUGUCAAAUAGAGAUUUUAUGGGUAAGAUUCAAUUUGUCUAUAUAUUUUUUGGUACAAUUCGUCUUUUUGUUUGUUUGUUUGUUGAUGUAUGUAUGUAUGUAUGUAUGUGUAUGUAUAUUAAAUUAAAUUAAUUAUUAUUAAUAUUUUUUUGUUGAGCCAUUGAGAAAAGAUUUUUGGAUAAGAAACUAGAGGAAAAAGAGUUGUUAAGAUUUGUACUUAGAAUUGGGGUCUAAGAAUUUGGAAAAAGUCUAUAUUUUUUUAUUUUGUUGCUCAUGAGUGCGGCCAAAUGGGAAGAUAGAUAUCUAAAGAAAAUAGCUCUAUGUUUAAAAAUUGAUGUGUGAAAAGUUAAGAGUCUAGUGGAUAGCAAUUUUUUGGAAUCAAAUUGAAGUUUUAACAACAUGAGCACCAUACCAAGUGCCUAAUCCUCUAUAAUAUAUAUCAAAUUGGCAAGACAAAAACAAAUGUGUAUAGAUAAUUCUUUAGCUCCUAACUACUCCCUACUUGUUGUUUUGGGGCACCUAGUUGUUAGUGGAAAAAAGAUAUGGGGUUGCAUUGACUAAGCCUUAUAAAGCAUGAUAUCUUAGGUAGAAUUUAUUGUCAAGGCAUACUCUAGUAGUAAUUUAAUAAAAACCUUUUCAUGGUAUCUUUUAAGAUUUUUACUAAUUCAAAAUUAUUUUGAAGUAAAAUAACAAAAAAAAAAAUGAUCAUUAUUAUUCUUAUAUUUUAGUUUACUUGUAAAGAUAAUCUAAUUGCAUAAAAAUUGUAUAAAGUAAUUUUAUUUUAACAAGAAGAAAGUUUUUAUUGUAAGACUAUUGCUAGUAAUUGAACUAUCUUUCUAUUCUAUUUUUUUGUUCUAUUUUUUUGGUUUCUAAUUAAAUAUGCUUGAAUGUAUGUAUGUAUGUAUAAAUGUAUGUGUGUGUUUAUAUAUAUAUAUAUAUAUAUAAUAUCUAUUAAAGAAGCAUAUCAUUGUAAUUAAGACAAAUUUAUGUCAUAAGAUAAUUUUAAAUUGUACAAAAAUAAAGGUUUUUUUUAUAAGGUAGUUUCAUGUGGUAAAAAAGUACAGAUUUUUAAUUGCAAAAUAGUUUCAUUUCACAAAAAUUAUUAAAUUUACAAAAUAUAUCAUUUCUGUAAUCUCUUUAAGGUAGUGCAACCAUGUUCCUAUGCCAAACAAAGCACAUGCUCUUUAAAGCUCUAUAACAAUGAUGCCUUUCAGAGUCCUCAUCUAGUCUAAAGACAUAUCAUUUUUGUCUUCAGAAAAUCCUAGUUUGGAUGAACAAUUUGUAUGAAUAUAUAUAUAUAUAUAUAUAUAUAUAUUCAUUUUUUUUUCUAAUGUCAAAUCAACUUGGCUCUAAAUUUCAUAAUUUUUUUAUUAAUAGAUCUAUUAAUUAAUUACUAAAAAAAUAGAAAAAAAAUAGUUUUGUUGUUUUAGAGAUGAUGAUAGAAUUUAAAUAUAGUCAAAUUUAAUUUUAGAAAAAAAAAUUUACUAGUGCACAAGUCCUAUAUAAGAAUUUUGGAUUGUUAUCAUUACAAUCCUUUGUAAUACUUAUUAAAAAAAAGAAAAUCUCUCUAAUUUACAAACAAUUUUUUCUUUCAAAAGCCUUUUAAUUUAUAGUAUAAUAAAUAUUAAAUUAAGCAUUUCAUUCAUGAAUCAAGUCUAUACAUACUACAAUACAUGAUAUAGAUAAUUUGUUCUAAAUUUUAGACAACAAUAUCUCUCUUCAAAAUACCUUGAACAAAAUUUUGAAAAGCAAAAAAUAAUAUGUGGUUUUAAAAUGUAAAAUAUAUAUUAAAAUAAAAAAUCUGAGAGAAGAGAUUCUAAUGUUAUAUCUAUAUGUAAUUUAGCCAAAUUUAUGUAACAAAUCUAUAUAGUUUUUUGAUACCUAAUUUUUUAUUAUUUAUAAAAUAAUAUUGCAAAAGAUGAAAAAAACUUGGUAUGUGCAAUAAAAUUGAGCUUGAUUAACUUGUUAUUUUUUAUUAUUCGUAUAAAUUUAGUUAAUUUAUACUUAAUUUAUUUUUAAAAAUACUUUUUUGUCUAUAUUUUUAUUUAUCUAUCCAAAUAUCUAUACAUCUAUUGAUAUAUUCAUGGAUCUAUUCAAAUUGCAUUGCACAUUAUUAUACCUUUAUAAUUUAUUUUAAUAUGUUGCUUUCAAACCAAAUGAACAAUCUUUUAGCUAUAUGUGUGUAUAUAUAUAUAUAUAUAUAUAUAUAUAUAUAUAUUAUAAAAUUAGAGCACUAAAAUAAGUUUUUGAUAAAUACAAUAAAAUCUAAAUAUAUAUAAUGUCACUAAAGAUUUGUAGCUUUCAACAAUAGCUUUUAAUACAAGAUAUAAAUUGCAUAGCUUUCAACACUUUUACAUCAAACUUGUAAUUUUAUUACAUCUUUAAUUUAUUUUUAUUUGAUUUUUUUUCUUACAACAACCAAUAUAUUAUCAAUAUAAAAUGUAAGAAUAAACUGGUUGUAAUUUAUACAAUAGUCAAAGUCACUACAAGUUUAUUCUUAGUUAAAUGUAAAAGCAUAAAAUAUCUUAAGCUAUUGCUGACUAAAAGUUUUGUAGAUGAUUAAAAUGUAUACAACAAUCAAAGUCACCAUAAGUAUAUUCUUAGUUUAUUAUAAAAAUACAUAAUCACUCAUACCAUUGUCUAAAACUUUGUUUCAAUUCAUACAAUAAUAUUCUCAAUCUAUAUAUAAGGUUCUCUUUUAUAAGUCUUUUAAAGCCUUCGACAUAAUGUCCAUAGGUUAUUUUGUAAAAAUAUCUACAUAAAUUAGUAGUGUUUUUAGCUGGUUUCAUGAGUUUUAAAUUAUAUUGUGCUAAUUUUUCCAUUUAUAUAAAAAUAAAAAUAAUCUUAAUUACGAGAGAGAAUUUUAUUAAAACCAAUACCUUCUUUCUAAGCACAAUCUUUUACUACCAAUUUAGUCUUAUAUUUUGUUCCACCUAUUUUAAAAAGCCAUUCUUUUUUAUAAAAAUUUAUUAUAAUAAUUUUUGGAACUUUUUUCAAAAAACAAAUCUUUUAUUUUAUACAAAGAAUUAUCAGUUUCUUAAAAAUAAAUACUCUCUUCUCCUACCUAAUCUUUAAAAUUUUAUCUUUCUAUUAGUUGACUAUUAAAAGAAUAAAAUAUAAUACCAACAAUUUAUAGAUUCUUUUUUAUAUGAGAAUUGUUUUACCUUUAAGUGCUACUACACAAAGUUGUUGAUUAAUUAAAAAAAAGUUGAUUUUAAAUUUUUCAUUUAAAUUUUUUGUUACCAUUGUCUCACCUCAAUUGCACUUUGAUACCAAUUAAUAAAAAAUAAAAAAUAAAAAAAUCAUCACAUAACGAAGUUGUUAAAAUAUGAUCUAUACAUUGAAACAAUCUCAAAUCUAUUAAACUAACCUCUAGAACUGCCGAAAAUUCCCAAAGAUUGUUUGAAGAAUGUUUCAGAUAUCCAAAAAUUAGGGCAAUAACCAUAUUAAGAAACAUUGCUCAAACAUCAAAGGCACGUUCAAUAAAUAACAAGCAGCCCAAUAUUUUAUACAUACAUUACUUAAACAUAAUACCAGGAAUUCCUAUAACAAAAUAUGAAAAAAUUGAUAUUUUUUAAUAAAUUUAUUUAGAAAAUUAAAAUUAUUUUAUUUGACUUUCACCACCUGAAUAUAACUAACUGUUUUGAAUUAGAAAUUUCUUUAAAAUAAAAAAUAAAUAUAUUAUAGUAGCAUGUGCUAUAAGUAUUUAAUAUAUUGAACUUUUUUCUUAUUAUCUAAUAUAUAUAUAUAUAUAUAUAUAUAUAUAUUACACAUAUUAUUUUAUUUAUCUUAUUAUUUUUGAGUGUACUUAUUGUUUUGUUUGAUUUAGAAGAAGAUUUUAAGAUUAUUUCUUAUUUUUAUAAUUUUUGAUAAUCAUAUUUUAUAUUAUUAUAAUUAAAAUAUAGAUUUUAUUUAGUAAUAAAUAAAUAAAUAUUUUGAAUAAUGUUUUUUAAUAAAAUUAACUGGAUUUUUGACUUGAUACAUAUUAAGUUAAAAAAAUUAUAAAAAUACUACAAUAAUAUUUUAUUAUAUUUAUUGUUUUGAUGCUUUUAUCGAAUAAAUUAUAGUUUAGACACCUUUCUUACAUUAUAAUUAUUUUAUAAAUUAUUAUUUUUGAUAACAUGUUUUUAUAUAUUUCUUUCAAUUUUCAAAAAGAAAAAAAAGAAAAAUCUAUUCAAAUUUUUAAAUUAGUUCUUUAAUUUGGAUAUAAUAUCUUUGUUAUAAAUAAUAUAUUCUUAAAAAUUAAUUCUAAAAAAAAUAAUUUUUUUUAUUUGUAUGUGUUUUCUUUCUCUUUUUCUUUUUAUCAUUUUUUAAGCAAUAUUCUUAAUUGGUUCUUAAAUUCAAGUCUUAAUAGUUUUUUUUGAAUAAUUAUAUUCUUUAAAAAUUCAUAAUAUAAUAUAUAUAUAUAUAUAUAUAUAUAUAUAUAUAUAUUUCAAAAGCCAUUAUAUUUUUUAGUAUUUUAUAUAAUUAAUAGAUAUUCUAAUUAGUUUUUUUUUGUCACUAUAGCUAUUAUAAAUUACCAAAUUUUAUUAGUUGCUUGGAUUUGAUGAUUUCUUUUCAAAUUAUUAUAAUAUUUAGUAGAAUUUAUUUUAAUUAGAUUUUCAAUUUUUAGGAAUUUUUAAUAUUUUUUUUAUUGACGCAAGAUAUUAUUUAUUUGCAAAAACCAUUAGAAAUGUUUUAGAAAUAUUUGAAGAUUUUAUAGAAUUCUUAUACUAAUUGGAUGUUUCUUUAAUAAUAUGAUUAAGUCAAAAUUUCAAACAUGGUAAUCUAAUGCAUUAGUUCUGUGUGGUUGCAGCACCUAUUGGUGUAAGUCCAAGGCCUUGAAGCCCUUUUAGAUCACUCCAUAUAAAUGUCAUGAAAAUAAGCAAAACUCAAAAUAUUUACUAAAUAUGAAUUUGUAUUUGAUGAAAAAAGAUAUAUAUGAAAGUAUUUUAUUGUUUUAUAAUUAUUUUAUAUUAGUAUCAAUUGAAAUAUUUUUAAUGUCUUUUAAAAUUUUAUUAAGAUUUAAUAUUUUGUUUUUAACUAUAAAUUUUAUUUUGAAAUUUAUUCAAUAUACAAAAGAUUAAAAACAACAAAUAAUUUUUUAUUCUAGAUUUUUGUUUUACUUUUUGCAACUUAACACACUUAAAAGAUAAUUCCAACUUUAAAUCAAUUUUUUUAAUUUUGAUUUAUAACCAAUUACAUCUAUUAUACAAAGCAUCUUAGAAAGAUCUUAAGAAUUAAUGUACGUUUCAUGAAGCUCAAAGAAGUAACUUCUAAAAGCAUUAGAGUACUUGAGAAGAUUUGGAUAGUUAUAGAAGUUUAAAAAUAAUCUAAAAGGUUUGUAGAAAUUCAAAGAUUUUUUAUAAAUUUACUAAUAAUUAAAUUUUUGUAGAGAUUUCUAAUAUUGAUUUCUAUUAUUUCAAGAACUUCAUGUCAAAAAUAUAUGUAUUUAUUCCAAUAAUUACCUAUAUGAAAAAGUAGAAGUAAAUAAAUGUAGAUUAAUUUUAUAAUAGUUUUUAGAAAAUCUUCCUAAAAGCUUCAUAGACAUAGUUUUAAUUUUACACGUAUUUAUUGUUGAUUGGUAGGUUAGAAACUUAAUCAAUAAAUUAAACACAUAACACACGUGUUAGUAGCUUGUGGAACUAGCUAAUUAUGUUGCAUACAAAUAGGAAACUUACCUUAUAAGUUAAAAUAUGUAUCUAGCAAAGUCAACACGUGUUAACUCUCUUAUAGAAUAUCACAACAUAGCUCCUAAUUAGAUAGUAUAUAUUGAGGCAAGAGUGAAGCCUUCUUAACUCUUGUCAAUGCAUUUCUAGUCCUUAGUCUUGUUUCAAGCCUUUCUAGUCUUUUUGUCUUUGGCAAUAGCCAUUCUAGUUUAUUACUAUAUCAUCUUUUAGUGAUUUUCUAGUAUUUUUGAGUGACACAAGAGUGUAUUGAUCUUUUAGUUCUUUGAGGUUUAUGUCUUUGAAACUAUGAAUAUUAACUAAAUAUCUAAAAACUUUUAAAAGCAUAAAAGAUAAUUCAAAAAAUAUAUGAAAUUAUAUAUUUUAUAAAAUAUAUAUAAUAAAUUGUGAUUUUUAAAAUUCACAAUAUGCUUAUUUAUAAUAGAAUUUAUAUGAUUUUAAAAUAUUUUAUUUUAUUUAUUAACAUCUUUUUGAUAAUUAAUAUAUAUUUUUUAAUUAUUAUUAUUUUUUUUAAAAAAUAAAUCCUCUACUUUUAUUUCUUUCAAUUCAAAAGUCACUUUGUACUUAAUCUUUAAUAUAAUAGUCUUAUCAUGACUAUUAAUUAUUACUAAAAUUUUACAAAUUUUUAUUAAAAAUUAUAUAAAAAAUAUAUAAAAUUCCUAAGAAAUUUAUCUUUUAUUCUCCUACACAAAACAAUCUUCACUCAAUUAGGGCCCAAUUAUUCUAAACUAUGUAAAUUCAUAAGUUUUGUCUUGACAAAACCAUGGUCUUAAAACUCUAAUGUCAAUGUCACUUAUUGUGUUGUAUUAAUAUGCUUAAAUUAUAUACAUACAUACAUAUAUAUAUAUAUAUAUAUAUUUUUUAAUAUUUUGUAUCACUAAAUUUUAUUUUUGAUUCUCUCUUAUUAUAAAAUAUGUAGUAUUUUUAAUUUUUCUUGCUACAAACAUUCUAUUCUUGCUAUUCUUUUGCUUUAGUUUGAUUUUGAUUUGUACCUUUGCACCAUUGAUUUUUUACUUUUUUCCAUUCUAAUUAAACUAUUUUUUAAGCAGUUUUAAUCUUUUAUUUUAUUUUUGUAAAUGUUUUCUUUUGUAUUAUUCUCCAACUUUAUUCUUUUUUAUUUCUUCAAUCCUUUUUUUUUUGUUCUUAUUAAUAUUUUUUAUUUUUUUAUUUUUUCAAUAUUUGUUUAAUAUAAUUUUUAUUGAUUUUUUUAGAUUAUUUUUUUUGCAAUAAAUUACCAAGAUAUAGAUUAAUAUAAAAUAAUAUCAAUUAUUUUGAAGAUCGACUAAUAAAUAUUCUAAUUUUUCAAAUGAUUACUUUUUUAUUUUAUUUUAUUAGAUUUAUAUUUUUACAAUUAAUUAUUAAAAUUAAGCAAUAGGCAAAUCUACUAUACAAUAUAUAUGUUUGGAAGUUAAAACACAAGACAUAAGUACUACUAUCUUAACCUGAAUUUUGACUACGUAAGUAAGUUAACUUUUGAUUUAUUUUCUACUACAUCUUUAUGGAUAUUUUUCUAUUAAAAAAAUUAAUAUUCAAUAGUCCAAAAAUAAUUUAAUAUUUUUAGUAGUAUCUAUGUUUGGUUAUAUAUAUAUAUAUAUAUAUAUUUUUGUGCUUUGUAGUACAAUAACAAAUUUUAUUUUUUGCCAAACAAAUAACACUUUCUCCUAAAGAAUGUAAUUAAGUUUCAUCAUGCACCAAAUCAAAUUCACUACUUAGUCUAACUAAUUAUAUUUCAUUUUUAUCUACUCUUUUAUUAGUCAUAUAAAAUAUUUUUAUAUAUUGGAAAUUAGAUUUUUAGCUUAUAGGUCUACUAACUAUCAUAAUUACAUAUUUUUUAAUGAAUCAUUAUUAUCUAAAUUUAUAAUAAAAUAAAUAUAAAUAAAUAUCAUAAUAUUUUUUUCUUCUAUAAUAUUCUAAAUAGAAUAUAAAGAAACAAAAAAACAAAAAAGAUUAGAUAGCAAUUUAUUAACUUUAAAAAUUUUCAAUACUUCUUCUGAAUAUUUUUUUAUGUAUUUUUUGAAAAAAAAUAUUAUAAACAAGAUACUUGGUGUAAUAUAAAAUAUUAUGUUAUUAAGAGUAUCUAUUGCACUUGCAUAUAAAAUAAGUAGACAAUGUAUUAUUUUUUCCUUUAUUCUAUCUAAUAUUUCUAAGACCAAUAUAAAAUAAAAUAGUAAAAUAAUAUUGAUUGAAGAUUUUUUAUACCAAAAUGAAUCAUUUAUUUUUUAAUGUAAUUAGUAUAUAAUAGCUAAAAUCUACAUUUCCUACAAUAUCUGUAGACAUUAAUACUUAUAACUAUCUUAGUAGAUCUUAAAAAAAUUAUGCUAUAUUAUUUGCUUCCAUUGUUUUAAUCUAUUAAAAUUAAAUUUUGUUUAAAUUUGCAUAUUAUCAACAACCAGUAAAAAUAUAACAUAUAUAUAUAUAUAUAUAUAUAUAUAUAUAUAUUUAUUUAUUUAUCUUUUUUACUUCUCCAAUAUAUGUUUAGAAGUAAAAUUUAUAUUUAGUCUAUUCUUACUUUGUUAGAAAGAAAUAUAAUUACUUAAAUUAUUGCUUUGGAUUUUGCUUCAAUCCAUACAAUGACUUUUUUAACUUUUGAGUUCUUUAGCCUAAUAUAUGUAAAUCUCUUCUUUUAUCUUUCUAUGCAAAUAAAGAAUAAUAAGAUCUUAUUACUCUAAUUCCAAGAAAAGAUUUGUUUACAAUUGCUAAUAAUAUACAAUUGGAAUUUAUCUUUACUAUGCAAGGAGAUUUCAACAAAAUGGAAAUAAAAAUUUAUUUUUAGCUUUUAUACUAAUGUUUUUAAGUUUAAUAAGAAUGUCAUUAAAGAUGUUGAAAAUGUCUAAUACAUUACUGUUAUAUUUUAAUGCUAAAUACAUAUAUUUUAAUUUUAAAUAUAUUCAAUUAUCAAUCAUUUUUUAUCUAAAGAAUUCAUUUUUAUAUUCGUAAAAUUUUUAACCCUUACUUAUACUAUUAUAUAUAACUUCAUGUAAAAGACUCAAUUAAAUUAUGUUAACUUACUUAAAAUUUGUUUGUUGGUUGAUUUGUUUGUAUUUGUUUUUGUUUUUUUGUGUUUUUGUUUUUGUUUUUGUUUUUUUUUUCCACUCUUGUAUACAUGAUUUUUUAAAAUAAUUUGUAAAAUAUUUGUUAUAAAAUUAGGUUUUUUAAAUUUUAAUUAAUAAAAUACAAUAUUUUUUUGUCAAAAAAAUUAACUUCAAUUUUUUUUUUAAUUGAAAUCAUUACGACUAUUAUAUUACCUCAACCAUGUUUUUAUAUCAAUUUUUAAGCAAUCAUAUAAAUUUUUUCAUACACUUAGAGAAAUUCAUACAUAAUAAUGUUAAUUCAUCAAAUCUUUUCAAAAAUAUGUCUAGUUUUAAUUUUUUUCAACUUAUCCAUUCAAACUACUUUAGUAUUUAAAGAAAACAUAUAUGAAAUUCCAAUCCCUUAUAAUAUAAUAUGUAUAUCAUGCUAUUUAUUUUUUUUUUCUUCUUAAACCUCCACAAGAGUCUUUAUAAACAUCAAAUAAGUUAUUUUUACUAUAUUUGUAUUCGAUAAAAAAAAAUAAGAUAUAAAAAAAUACUUUCUCCUUAGUAGUUUUUUCUACUCUUUGAUUCUUGUGUGAUAUACUUCUAAUCAAUUUUAAUAUUCUAAUUUUUUCAAUUCAAAAAAAAUAAAAUAAAAUAAAAUAAAAUUUGCAAUACCUUAAAGAAUUAAUGCUAAAACUUGAUCUUUCUAAAAUAAAAAUAAAAAUGAAAAAAUCAUAUCAACAUUGUAACAUCAGUAUAAAGAAUAUUUUUUAGGUAUUACAAUUCAAUAUUAAUCUUUAUUAUCAAUAAUAUAAUAAAAUUAUGUAAACCUUAUUGAUGUGAUUAAAAUCACCAGAUUGGGUCUUGUGGCUUAACCUUAUUUUUUAAUAUUAGAUCUUGAUGUUAUGUUUUUUUUGUAGGUUGUAUUAAUCACUUAUAUCUAUUUGACUUUGUUUAACCACACACUUGAUACUCUUGUUGCUGUAUAUUUUUCAUUGAUUAUUUUUUUGGAUCUUUUGUAAUUCUUAGUAGUUUCUUAACAAAUUUUUACUUUUACUUUUUAUUUCAUUUUAUUAAAUUUCUUAUUUUUUUUAUAAAUAAAGUUAAUCAUCUAAUAAAAUUUUGUUCUAUGUUUUAUUGCCAUGUCUUUUCUUAGAUUACACUUUAAUAAAAAUCUUGUAAUAUUUCUUGAUUGUAGUUACAUUAUACCAUAUUUCUUCCAUUGAUAUCAUAUAUUAGCUUGUAAAACUAUUUAAUGAUUUGGUGAGUACUAAUUUGAUAAAUCAAAGACAUCUUAUUCAUACUUGAUAUUUGUGAUAUGCAAACAUCUCAUUGAAAACCAAUUUAACAUUUAACAAUUAAAUAUUGAUCCAAUCAUAUCUCUUAUCUUAUUUUUUAAAAAUAUAAUUUUUAAUGAAUUAAAUAGGUUUAUAUCUACAUCUAUUCCAUAAAUCAAAGUUUUAUCAGAUAAAUACUUAAUUUUUUCAUUUAUUACAAGUAAAUCUAAUAACAAACAUUCUUAUUGAAUUUAUAAAAAAAAUUAUGAAAUAAAAAAUGGAUAUAUUUGUAUAGAAUAUGAAAAUUUAAAAUAUAUUUUUUUGAAAUAUAGAGUAGAUAUUUCAAAAAUAUAACCAAUCUUUUAUAGUCUAAAUUUUAUUUGAUAAUUAUUGUAUUUGUUUGUUUGAUGUGUGUUUGUUUUUAUAUACGUAUUUUUAUUAUAUAUUCUCAAUAGAUAUAUAAAUUAUAGAUAUUUUCUUUUAUAUUACAAUUAAACUUUGAACGUAUUUUGUCUUAAAAGUAUAUUUUUAUUAAUAUUAAUUAAGAUAAAAAAUAGUUAUAUUAUUUUUUUAUAGAUUAAUACUACUAUUUUUAAUAGGAAAUUUAUUAAGAUUAAUUUAUUCAAAUGUUUGAUUAGAGUUUAAAAACUUAACAAAGUUAAUAUUCAAAAUUAUAUUUGUAUUAUUUAAUUUAUGAUCUAUGAAUAAAUUAUAUGUUUUAAAAUUUUUAUUUUCAUGAUUAAAUUAAAUUUUUGAUCUAAAAUAAGAUUAAAAUUAUAAACUUCAAUAUUGUGCAAAAUCUCUUUAAUUUUGUGAAUUUGAUUGAUAUUAACAAAAUUUUAUUGUUUUUUUCUAAAUAAUAUUCUAAUAUAUACAUAUAUAUAUAUAUAUAAAAUUUAGAUUAUUAAGACUCAAUUAUAUACAUAUAUACAUACAUACAUACAUAUAUACAUACAUACAUAUAUAUAUAUACAUAUAUACAUAUAUAUAUAUAUACAUAUGUAAGUACACACACACACACACAUAUAUAUAUAUAUAUAUAUAUAUUUAUAUAUAUUUAAAAUAAUUAAAUAAUUUCUUAAAUGAAAAAUUAGUUUAAAACAAUCAUAUGAUUGAUACCUUAUAUCUUUCAAGAAUAUUAGAAUAAAAAUUAUGUAAUUUUUUAAAUUUACUAUUCAUAGCUAUUAAUAUAUAUAUAUAUAUAUAUAUAUAUAUAUAUAUAUUUUCUUUUUUUCUUUUUUUCUUUUUUUCUUUUUUUUGAAAUUAUAUAAUAAAAGUAUAAAAUGUUUGUGACAUGUUUGAAUCACAUAAAAGUAUACUAGUCUCAAAGAUAUACUUAAUAAAUUCUGGGAAUUUUUGGGUAGAUGCCUCUCUUUUAGUGCACGAACACCCCCUCAUGCAACACACGCCUACAUACACAUUGUAGAACUCUUCUGUAUACUAAAACAUUUAGGAUAAAUUUCUUAUAAAAAAAUCUCUAAAAAAUAAUUAAUAAUUUGUUAAUAGUAAAUGAAGAAAUUACAUAAAAUAUAUAAUAAAAAUUUGAUAUCAAAUUAACAAAUAAUUUUUUUAAGAAUUCAUUUUCUUUCAAAACUUAUUAUGAUUCUAUAAUUAAACAAUUACUAACUUGUGAGAUGCUUACAACCUUCAUAAAACAUUGUUUUUUUGCAAAUAUUUAAAAUAAUACAAAUGUUAUAGGUUGUAUAAUUUUAUAAUCUAAAAUCCUUGUAAUUGAAAUAUCACUUGAUUCACCAGAUAUUUUAUUUUUAUAUUAAUUGAACAUCAAAUGUUUUUACUAAAAAAAUUUAUCACAAAAAGACAUUUAACAAUUUGAUUACAUAACAUACUUAUUAUUUUUAUUUAAAUUAUUUUAAUAAUUUAUUUAAUAUAGAAAUUCUUACUUUAAUUUUUUUUUACUCAUCCAAAUAUAUUUAUUUCAUUUAUGGUUAUAAUAAUUAUGUGUUUCUCAGUAGGAUAAAUUAGAGUUCUUAAUGUAAUUUUAUUACGGAAAUUUUUAUAAAAAAAUAAUUAUUUAAAAAAUAGUAAGUAUUAUUUGUAAGAGACAUUGUAUGUUAGUUAGAUUUGAAUUCUACUUAAAGUUUCGUCUAAUAAAGUCAGCUAAUAAAGAUACAAGCUGAAAGUUCUUCAAACAAGGAUAUUUAUAUACUACUUAUAAAAUUAUCAUAUGUAGUAGCAACAAAGACAACGCAUUUUGGUUUUUUUGUAUUAUUAUUAUUAUUAAUAAUUUUAUUAUUUUAUCAGUUCUAUAACAUAAAAAUAAAAUUAAGAACUUAUUUUAACAAUUUUAUAAAAAAAUAUCCAAGAUAUAUAAUUUAAAAAUUUAUCAACAUAAAAAAAUUGAUUAGGUGGUUUUUAACUUCAUUUGUAUGAAAUACAUAUAUAUAUAUAUAUGUAUACUAAUUUUAGUAUUAAAAUUUUAUUUUUAGCUUAAUUUUGAAUCUAAAUAACUCUCAAGUUUUGAUUAAAAUAAUCAUUAGGUUUAAAAUAGAUGUAUGUCAUAAAUUAAUUUUAAUUUAUUGCAUCAUGUUAGUUGUUAUUAAUUUUUUUAACGAACUCAUAAUUUUUUUGUAUUUAAAAAUAAUACAAUGCUUAAGUUUCUAGAAUGUCUAUUUAGAGACAUGUUGCUUGUAUAUUGAUUAAUAUGCUACUAUUUUUUAAGUUGUCACAGAAGGUUUAAGAAAAAAAAAUUAAAAAAAUAAAUAAAUCAAUAUCUAUAUCUAUAUAGAUUACCUGGGAUAUAUCUAUAUAUUUAUAUAUAUAUUUAUAAUUUUUUUUCUUGUAGAUAAUUCUUGCAACUUUCUAAUGAUUUCAGCACAAAGGAGAAGAAAUUUUAUUUGGAUCGUUUUUAUAUUUUUUAACUCAAUGAAAUAUUAUAGUCGUUUCAAUAAUUAAAGGCUCCUGAGAUCUAAUGUAGAAGAUACAUCAAAUCUCUAUUUUUUUUCUACAUUAACUCUUAUCAUUAAGCUGAUUACAAUUUCACAAAGUAUAGCAUAUGUUAUUGAGGUCCUUAACAAUAAAAAUGGUAAAUUAUUGAAUAUAUAAUAAGUAAAAGAUUGCUUGUAAAAUAAAUGAAAAAAUCAGUUGUAUAUAUAGAAUUUAAAACGUCAAAUAAAUAUAUAUUGAACAUGGUGAUUUAUAAAUGAUCUUAUAUAGAAAAAUUAGCGAUUUUGUAUCUCAUCUUUAGAACCUUCACCUAUCUUAGUAUUUACUUUGAAAAAAAAAAAAAAAAAAAAAAAAAAAAAAAAAACCAAAAUUAAAUUGUCUAAUAUGGGUUUUAUAAUUCUUUAAAAAAUUUAAUUUAGUNNNNNNNNNNNNNNNNNNNNNNNNNNNNNNNNNNNNNNNNNNNNNNNNNNNNNNNNNNNNNNNNNNNNNNNNNNNNNNNNNNNNNNNNNNNNNNNNNNNNNNNNNNNNNNNNNNNNNNNNNNNNNNNNNNNNNNNNNNNNNNNNNNNNNNNNNNNNNNNNNNNNNNNNNNNNNNNNNNNNNNNNNNNNNNNNNNNNNNNNNNNNNNNNNNNNNNNNNNNNNNNNNNNNNNNNNNNNNNNNNNNNNNNNNNNNNNNNNNNNNNNNNNNNNNNNNNNNNNNNNNNNNNNNNNNNNNNNNNNNNNNNNNNNNNNNNNNNNNNNNNNNNNNNNNNNNNNNNNNNNNNNNNNNNNNNNNNNNNNNNNNNNNNNNNNNNNNNNNNNNNNNNNNNNNNNNNNNNNNNNNNNNNNNNNNNNNNNNNNNNNNNNNNNNNNNNNNNNNNNNNNNNNNNNNNNNNNNNNNNNNNNNNNNNNNNNNNNNNNNNNNNNNNNNNNNNNNNNNNNNNNNNNNNNNNNNNNNNNNNNNNNNNNNNNNNNNNNNNNNNNNNNNNNNNNNNNNNNNNNNNNNNNNNNNNNNNNNNNNNNNNNNNNNNNNNNNNNNNNNNNNNNNNNNNNNNNNNNNNNNNNNNNNNNNNNNNNNNNNNNNNNNNNNNNNNNNNNNNNNNNNNNNNNNNNNNNNNNNNNNNNNNNNNNNNNNNNNNNNNNNNNNNNNNNNNNNNNNNNNNNNNNNNNNNNNNNNNNNNNNNNNNNNNNNNNNNNNNNNNNNNNNNNNNNNNNNNNNNNNNNNNNNNNNNNNNNNNNNNNNNNNNNNNNNNNNNNNNNNNNNNNNNNNNNNNNNNNNNNNNNNNNNNNNNNNNNNNNNNNNNNNNNNNNNNNNNNNNNNNNNNNNNNNNNNNNNNNNNNNNNNNNNNNNNNNNNNNNNNNNNNNNNNNNNNNNNNNNNNNNNNNNNNNNNNNNNNNNNNNNNNNNNNNNNNNNNNNNNNNNNNNNNNNNNNNNNNNNNNNNNNNNNNNNNNNNNNNNNNNNNNNNNNNNNNNNNNNNNNNNNNNNNNNNNNNNNNNNNNNNNNNNNNNNNNNNNNNNNNNNNNNNNNNNNNNNNNNNNNNNNNNNNNNNNNNNNNNNNNNNNNNNNNNNNNNNNNNNNNNNNNNNNNNNNNNNNNNNNNNNNNNNNNNNNNNNNNNNNNNNNNNNNNNNNNNNNNNNNNNNNNNNNNNNNNNNNNNNNNNNNNNNNNNNNNNNNNNNNNNNNNNNNNNNNNNNNNNNNNNNNNNNNNNNNNNNNNNNNNNNNNNNNNNNNNNNNNNNNNNNNNNNNNNNNNNNNNNNNNNNNNNNNNNNNNNNNNNNNNNNNNNNNNNNNNNNNNNNNNNNNNNNNNNNNNNNNNNNNNNNNNNNNNNNNNNNNNNNNNNNNNNNNNNNNNNNNNNNNNNNNNNNNNNNNNNNNNNNNNNNNNNNNNNNNNNNNNNNNNNNNNNNNNNNNNNNNNNNNNNNNNNNNNNNNNNNNNNNNNNNNNNNNNNNNNNNNNNNNNNNNNNNNNNNNNNNNNNNNNNNNNNNNNNNNNNNNNNNNNNNNNNNNNNNNNNNNNNNNNNNNNNNNNNNNNNNNNNNNNNNNNNNNNNNNNNNNNNNNNNNNNNNNNNNNNNNNNNNNNNNNNNNNNNNNNNNNNNNNNNNNNNNNNNNNNNNNNNNNNNNNNNNNNNNNNNNNNNNNNNNNNNNNNNNNNNNNNNNNNNNNNNNNNNNNNNNNNNNNNNNNNNNNNNNNNNNNNNNNNNNNNNNNNNNNNNNNNNNNNNNNNNNNNNNNNNNNNNNNNNNNNNNNNNNNNNNNNNNNNNNNNNNNNNNNNNNNNNNNNNNNNNNNNNNNNNNNNNNNNNNNNNNNNNNNNNNNNNNNNNNNNNNNNNNNNNNNNNNNNNNNNNNNNNNNNNNNNNNNNNNNNNNNNNNNNNNNNNNNNNNNNNNNNNNNNNNNNNNNNNNNNNNNNNNNNNNNNNNNNNNNNNNNNNNNNNNNNNNNNNNNNNNNNNNNNNNNNNNNNNNNNNNNNNNNNNNNNNNNNNNNNNNNNNNNNNNNNNNNNNNNNNNNNNNNNNNNNNNNNNNNNNNNNNNNNNNNNNNNNNNNNNNNNNNNNNNNNNNNNNNNNNNNNNNNNNNNNNNNNNNNNNNNNNNNNNNNNNNNNNNNNNNNNNNNNNNNNNNNNNNNNNNNNNNNNNNNNNNNNNNNNNNNNNNNNNNNNNNNNNNNNNNNNNNNNNNNNNNNNNNNNNNNNNNNNNNNNNNNNNNNNNNNNNNNNNNNNNNNNNNNNNNNNNNNNNNNNNNNNNNNNNNNNNNNNNNNNNNNNNNNNNNNNNNNNNNNNNNNNNNNNNNNNNNNNNNNNNNNNNNNNNNNNNNNNNNNNNNNNNNNNNNNNNNNNNNNNNNNNNNNNNNNNNNNNNNNNNNNNNNNNNNNNNNNNNNNNNNNNNNNNNNNNNNNNNNNNNNNNNNNNNNNNNNNNNNNNNNNNNNNNNNNNNNNNNNNNNNNNNNNNNNNNNNNNNNNNNNNNNNNNNNNNNNNNNNNNNNNNNNNNNNNNNNNNNNNNNNNNNNNNNNNNNNNNNNNNNNNNNNNNNNNNNNNACGGUGUGCAGUGCGGGACGUGCUGUAUUUUGUAGUUUCCUGUUGUGAAUGUUAUUUAUUUAAGCCUCUCCGCAAUGCGUUGCGUUGGGUGGUUGGGCCGGCGGGCAAGCCGGGUGGGCUCGUGAUGCAGUGUAGCAUUUUGGGUGUUGUAAUUAGCCUUUGCUGCUCUAUGGUUUGUUGUCUGGUAGACGAGAUAAGUGUGGCAGCCGGAGUCUGUUAGCAACGGCCUGAGGAAGCGUGCCAUCGUCCAAGUCUGUAGGAGUAUGGAAGAGUGGCUUAAGAAAGAUAAAGAAGCAGUAGUGGGAAGAGUGGUGGUGGUGGUGGUGGUGGAAGGGUGGUAUCCAGCCAGGGCGUGGAUGGGCGAGCAUUGUGGGUAUAUCACUCGCAGAAGAAGCGCAUGAGGCAAGGUGGUGAAAGGUGUUGUGGUGGAGACCUUGGUAGGGGUGGGGGUGCUUAUUGUCAGAUAGGCUGAGUUUGGCAGUGAGUUUGGCAGGAGGGUGUGGAAAUGGUCAUUAGAAAGUGAGCCCUCUCUGUGGUUUUGGAGACAAUUGUCUUCCUUGCGCUUGCAAGCCAGAUACUCACAAAUGCCCAGGAUCCGGUCACAUCUAAAUGCAUUUGGAGAAGUUUAAUAUCAAUGUUGAUACCCUUUUUUUUGUGGUUAAUACUUGCGCGUAAUAUACUCGCGGUGUGUUUUUUUUUGUAUAAUAAUCCGAUUGUACUGUCUAAGGUGCUUAACCCUUCAGCUGAAUUUGAUCAUGGGUGUGCUGAUGAAAGAUGGCUUGCUUUAAGUUGUAUCUUCAGUUCAAUCUACUGUCGAGUGUGCACAGAGAAUAUGCUUUUUUGCAGCAUUCCUGGACUAUGUCUGGCAUAUUGCAUGUUCCCCAUGUGUCGUAUGUGUCAGUGUUGACUUCAAGCCCACUUGAGAUUUUGUUUAAGGCAUAUGCCUCACGAUUUGUGGUGGAUGCUUUUAAGAAGUUAUCUGGUCCUGGUCAGAAUGUGUUGCCAUAAAAUUAUAUUAUACGAGGUUGGACACUGGGUUGUUGAGUACAUGCACUUAAAAGUGUACACGACCUGCAUACAGUCGAACAAACCCCGAUGGCUUUUGCUCUUACCAGGCAUAUUUGUAAACUGGAGAUUUUUUUAUAUAUAUUGGGUGUUUGGUGGAACCCACCACACGAUAAGGCAGCAUAUAUGCUGUUGGUCUUUUCGAUACGCGGCACUAUUAAUUCAACUUUGAAUGUACUUUUCUAAGUGCAUUCAGACUGUAACUCAUGUAUGCCUAAAAAUGUCAUCCAACAUUCCUUUCGAAUGAGAAUUUGGUGGUCUCUAACCUCUCACUCACUAAAAAAUGAAGUCAACAUGGUCAAGCUUUCAUCACUUAAUCCUACACAUCUCCAAACUUCUUCAAACAUCCGUUGCUUUGUAGAGCACUUUCAUUUCAAUAUAUAUAUUUAUUUGAUAUCUUAAAAUAGAAUUUAUCCAUAAAUUUACAUUUUAUUUACAUAAUUAAAAUGAUUUUAUAAUAUAUCAAAUUUGAAAAUUAAAAAUAAAUACCAAGAACAAUAAGUUUUGUAAUCCAUUUAAAAUUCUCUUUGUAAACAUAAAGGUAAUGUUUAUAGUAACAUAAAAGCUUAUAUAUAUAUAUAUAUAUAUAUAUAUAUUUAUAUUUAUUUGUCCACAAGUAUAUGUUAAUUAAGUAAAAUUAAUUUACAAAUCAACAGAAAUUGAUACACUAUUCAUUUUAGAAAAUCACAUACAUAGUCCAAAAAAAUAUACUAUUUAUUUAUUUAAUUUUUAAUAAAUAAUCAUUUGUUUAAAAUAAAAUGAAAAGAAGAUAGAAAAAAGAUAGAUCAUUGCGGAUGUGUAUUGAUUAUCGAGGACUCAAUAAGAUUACCAUCAAGAAUAAGUAUCCACUAUCUUUAAUAUAUGGACUUCUUGAUCAGCUGAAUCAAGCUAAGAUCUAUACAAAAAUAGAUCUUCGGGGAACAUACAAUCUAGUACGCAUCAAAGAAGGAGAUAAAUGGAAGUCUGCGUUUCGAACUAGGUAUGGAUAUUUUGAAUACAACGUCAUACCUUUUGGACUUACAAAUGCACCAACAGCUCUUCAACAUGUAAUGAAUGAUGUUUUUUGAGAGUUUUUGGACGAUUUUGUGGUCUGUUAUCUAGAUGACAUCUUGAUCUAUUCUAAGCAUCUAAAAGAACAUAAACUUCAUGUUCGUCAUGUGCUACAAAAAUUAAGAGAUGCAAGACUCUAUACCAAGAUAGAAAAGUAUGUAUUCCACACUACUCAAGUCGAUUUCUUAGGUUACAUCAUUUCAAAUGAUGGACUUAUGAUGGAUCCUAAGAAAGUUCAAACUAUUAUAGAUUGAAAGAUUCCAAAAACAAUAAAAGAUGUCCAAUACUUUUUGGGAUUUGCCAACUACUAUCGAAUCUUCAUGAAGGACUUCUCUCGAGUUGCAACUCCACUUACAUGUUUGAAUUGUAAAGACAAACUCCAAUGGAAUCAAAAAACGGAAGUUGCUUUUGAAUCUUUGAAGACAACAUAUAUUUCUGCACCAAUCUUGUAUCGUGUUGAUUUUUUCAAAGCAUUCUUUAUGGAAACAGAUGCAUCAGACCUUGCUUUGGGUGCGGUUUUAUCACAAAUGGGAACAGAUGAAAAACUUCAUCUAGUAGCCUUUCAUUCAAGAAAAUUCUCAACAGUAGAAAUCAAUUAUGAGAUCUAUGAUAAAGAACUUCUUGCAAUUGUGGAUUCUUUUCAAGAAUGGCGUCAUUAUCUAGAAGGUGCUUCCAGUCUGGUAAUUGUAUAUAUGGAUCACAAGAACCUUGAGUAUUUCAUCUCAAUACGCAUAUUAAAUCAUCGCCAAGCUCAUUGGAAUAUGUCUUUAUCAAGAUUUGAGUUCAUCAUCACUUAUUGGCCAGGAAAAUAAUAAGGUUUGUCCGAUGCCUUGUCUAGACGUUCUUAUCUUACACCAAAAGAAGGAGAUGCAGCUUUUGAGCAACAAAGAAUGGUUCUCUUGAAGCCAGAGCAAUUUCAUCUUCGAGCAAUAAAAUCAACAUUGACUAUUGAUUUAAUUUUUUUUAAGCAAGUCCAGUUAAAUAUGUCUUCAGACCUUCUUGUUUCUGAUAUCAAAAAUAAUUCUUCUAAAUCUCAUGAUCCCUCUAAAUUUGAAUUCAAGAAUAACCUAUUUUAUUUCGAAGGAUGCCUAGAUGUUCCAGAAGGAGAAGCACGUUUACGUAUUCUUCAAGCUCAUCACGACUUUCCAACAGCAGGACAUUUUGGAUACAAUAAGUCUUUGGAGCUGAUAUCUAGAGAUUUUUGGUGACUUCAAAUGUGGAAGGCAGUCAAAGAUUUUGUAUAAUCAUGUGAUGUUUGUUCAAGAUCAAAAACUCCUCGUCAUCGACCUUUUGGACUUCUUCAGCCAUUAUCCAUUCUUGAACAAUCAUGGUCUUCUCUUUCUAUGGACUUCAUCACUGAUCUUUCAAUCUUAGGUUCUUAUGACUCUAUAUUUAUGAAAGUAGAUUGUUUUACCAAAAUGGCACAUUUUGUACUAUGUACAAAAUGUGUCACAGGUGAAGAAACAACUAAGCUCUUUCUUGACAAUAUCUAUUGCUAUCAUGGAUUAUCCAAGGAUAUUAUAUCAGAUAGGAGAAUUCAAUUUGUAUCAUGAUUUUGGCGGACUCUUUUCAAGAUUCUAAAAGUAGAUAUAAAACUAUCUUCAACAUUCCAUCCUCAAGCUGAUGGACAAACGAAGCGUGUUAAUCAAGUUUUGGAGCAAUAUUUAAGAUGUACCAUUAACUAUCAAUAAGAUGAUUGAACAACUCUUUUAUCAUUGGCACAAUUUGCUUACAAUAAUACGGUAUCGUAUUAUGUGCUUUCCUGCUCGAGAAUGCACUGGACAUCUGGCUGUAGAAAGUAGUAUGGAGAUUCGCUAAUAUUCAAGUAGUUUAUCGAUUUUUGACUGUUGGAAUAUAAACUACUGCAAGAAUAUAUCAUAAAUCUAUACGGAUGUCCUUCGACUGCUCAUCAAAAUCCUUUUUGUCCCAGCCGGUAGGUCUCUAGACAUUACAGAGAAUCCCGAACAACCUAAACUGCUAAUCUUCAAUACCGCUUUAUACUCACGAUCUUGUAUCCACAGACUGGCUCGUUAGAUUAACCCAAUAAAUUUCAUUCACUCCGCAUACUCAAUCCUAUAGACACCCUUUUAAUUCUUCAUCACAAACGUAACUCGAUUUCAUAAAACAGUCAAGAAUAAUCACACCCACUUCAUUAAAAUCCCGAUUCACCAGUACAACAUUGACUUCAGCAACGAUUGCCUCAGUCUUUCCAAAACCCUAUAAAGAAAAAAAAUCCAAUUCUCUAUCUUUUUUUCCCGCUCCGAAGCAUGAAGCUCUCUCCCGACCCCUUUUCCCCUCUUCAUUUCUUAACCUAUCCUCCCCUUUAACCCUAAUUCUCCCCUCUUUCAAACCCUAGCCUCUGAAUUUCUUCAAUCUUCUGUCUUGGAUCCAGAAUAGGCUCCGCCGUCAGAGCUUUCUUCUCCGUUUUUACCUUUAAGAGAUCCUUUUAUUGAAAGGACGUUUCCGGAAUGGCACAAAGGAUAAAACAGCCUGAAACGGAAUCGGAGCCCCAUAAUCGGGACCACAUUGAGUCGCCCGACCAAUUCAGGUCUCAUAUUAGGUAAGAGGCCCGUAGUAAGACCUGGAUGUUCCUGCAAUUGGGUCAAAUUGGUCCUUCACGUCAGAUUGGCUAAGAGACCCAUAGUAAGACCUAGAUUGGAUGUCUUGAAAUUAGAUCCAAUUGGCUCUUCGAACCAGGUUCACCCGUCGUUGAAUUCGUCCUUUUUCUUCCUGCUGACUCCCGUUAUUGGAAUCGAACGGAGCAUUUCAGUAUGCCCCAGCUGACUGUAAUGGGGUUACCGAACUUGGCCUCUCAAUAUUUGCAUUGAAAUUGGUUGUUGCUCCCAAUAUUCGAGGUAACUGAAUGUUAAUAAAAGUCCCAUUUCUUUAUAUUUUUACGGUAUACUCGUGUUACAACAUGACAUCCACCUCCUCUGAACCUGUGCAUCCUCCGGUAUACACCAAUUUAUCUAAUUGCUGUUUGAUUUAGAAUAUAUUCUCUAUGUUUUUGUCUAGUUCGUCUUUGUCACCUUCAUUAUCCAAAUCACUUUCAUCUUCUUGCUGCGGAAUCUCUAUACCUUCAUUAAGGUCUUCCAUAUUCAUCUCCGUGUGUCUUCGUUUAAAUAUUUUUACUCGCUUCCCUGCAAUUGAUAUUUUCAAUUUUGUACCAUCUAACUCCCGUAAUGAGUAAGUCACAUUAUCAUGAACAGUUGUUACUACAUAUGGUCCAAACCAACGUUUUGAAAAUUUCUGCAAAGUACUAUGUUGUUUAUUCAGACUAUUAUCAUAAAUAAGUACCCAGUCACCUUCUUCGAUUGCUUUAGGUCUCAAUUGAUGUUGCUUAUCGAAUUACGCCUUAUUUUAUAACCUUGCUCUUUUUUACCUUUCCAAUGCUAUUUGCACAUCUUCCGAUCUUUGUUCCAAUUGUCGAAUCCUAAUAGCCAGAAGUUCUUCUCUUGUCAAUCCAUCUUCCCAUGGUAGCAUACUCCAAGUAAGUACUUUUUCUUCAAUCGGCAUAAUUGGUUUUCGACCUGUCAUAAGUUCUACUGGUAUAUAUCCUGUCACUGAACUAUGUGUUGUUCGAUCAGUCCAUAAUGCAAAUAACAAAAGCCGUGGCUACUCUUUAACUUUCCCAUUACAAGCUUUAACUAAUGCUUUCACAAUCGGUGGGUGACCACGUUCGCUUUUUGCAUUCCCUUCCGAAUUAUAAGCAGAAGCAGUGAUAGUUUAACUCCACAUCUUUUUAAGAACUUAUGAGCUUCUUGUGCAUUUAAUUCUCCACGAUCUGCACUGAUUUUUCCUACGCAUCCGUAGUGGCAAAUGACAUCUUCAAGCAAAAACCUACAAAUCUCCUCUGUAGAUUUUGUCCUCAAUACUCUCCCUCUACUUGAUUUGAUAAAUCUUCACGAGCUAAAAUCAAAUAUUUCAUCUGCCAUAAUCCAACUGGCAUAAUAACCAAAUCGACAAUCCAUUUAAAAUGAAUAGCCAGAGGAUACGUAGAAUGAAGACCAUUUCGAUGUCAGAUAUAAGAAUACGAUUGACAGAUUUCACAUAACUCUAUAAAUGAGAGAACAUCUCGAUACAUAUUUUUCCACCAAUAUCGUUCCUUGAGUUUAGCAAAAGUAGCCCAGAUUCCUCUAUGCCCUGCCUAUAAACUAUCAUAGAACUCCUUUAAUAAUUUUAGUUUUUCUUCUUUUUUGCCUAUCACUCGUUGUGGCAUCCCAAUUCCUUUCUUCGGUCUCUUCCAUAAGAAUCCAUCUCGAAGCAAAAAUCCAUAUGCUUUUUUUCUUAUUUAUUUGAAUUUUUCUAUAGACCAAUUCCCCUGCUUAGUCAAGGUAUUCAAGUAAUGACCAAUAUCCAAUAAUUCUCCUUCAUAAGAUUCUUCAAGAAAUAGCUUGUCUUCUCUAUUGAGAUUUGAUAUUGAAUAGAAUUUCAAUCUGACGUCAUCAAUGUCUUCAACCAUUUCGUCCUCCCUCUCGUAUCUUGCUCGAGAUAUCAUGUCUGCUACUAAAUUAUCGUUCCCAGUAACAUGCUUAAAUUCUGGAUUUAGUGACUUAAUAUAAGCAAUCCAUCUCAACAUUACAAUAUCUGGCAUUGAACAGUUAGUAAACAUUCAAAGCAAUGGCAAGCAGUCUGUUUCAAUUACUACUACUGCCCCAAUCAAAUAGUCUUUUUCAGCUUUCAUAGCCGAAACAACUCCCCAAAGUUCUCUUUUGACUUGUGAAUAUGCACGCUGACGAAUACUUAAAACUUUAGCUCCAAAUCGAAUUGCAAAUCUAUUCCUACUUGAAUCAUCUUGACCCAUAGCCCAUCCAAUGGCAAUUGGACUAGUGUCCACAGUAAGAAUCACUGGUCUAUUGCACUUAUAAUCAACCUUCCUCAAUAUUGGAGGUGACAUCAAUAAUUUCUUCAAUCUUUGCAUUACCUGAAUAUGCCUUUCUUCCCAUUUAAAUCGAUAGCCCUUGCGUAACAGUUCAUAUAAUGGAUCCGCUAUGUGAGCAUAAUGAGGAAUCCAAAUUCGAUAAAAUACACAUGCACCCAAAAACCUGCGAACCUCUGUUAAAGAAUCACAAUCCUCUUUCAUCCUUCCAAUUGCAUCAACUUUAGUCGGAUUUGGUUUUCUUCCGUAAGAUCCACAUAAAUGUCCAACAAUCACAACCUCUCGUAUUCCAAAUACGGACUUCAUAUCCGAUAAUGUAAGAUGAACUUCUCCAAGCCGAGUUAAAAUCUUUUCACAAUCUUGUAUAUGAUCAACAACAUAUUUGCGACACUCUCUCUUAUCUAAAGUUUCAUCCUUGUCUCCUUCUCUGCACCCUUUUAUAGGAACAUCAUCCAGAAAAGGCAUAGUCUUUUUCGGAAUAAAAUCUCUCAAUACCUUAUUCAUUCCAUUCAUCAUAUGUACAAUUGAGUUGGUCGCGCCUUGAGAAAGUGUGUACAUUCUAACCAAUCCAAGUGGUGUCCUCAUCGUCUUCAUAUCUCUACUUCCUUCGGCAAGUUGAAAUUGAUCAUAACCUGAAUACAAGUCAUCCAUUGAAUAGAUCGCCCUUCCUGCAAACGCCUCAGCAAAUUCAUCCACAAUAGGUCCAAUUCCUGCAUUCCUGACAGUUACUGCAUUCACUGGUUGCAUAUCUUGAAUAAACCGUAGUGACCCAUUCUUCUUAGGUACCAUAAACCAUCAACUAGAAUACGGCACAAAUGAAGGUUCCAAUAUUUUCAUCUUUAUCUUUUCUUUUAAUAGUUCCACUAAUUUAGAUAAAUGUGCCCUCGGUACUGGAAUCGGUCUUAGAUUCCAAGGUACAUGCGGUACAGUGAAGAUAACCAUAAGUGUUAUAAUAUUUGGAUCCACACACCCAAUUUCAUGAGAUUUGAAGGCAAGCGAUCUACCUUGUUUAGCCAACAUCUUUUUGAAGCAAGUAAUUUCCUCUGGCAAUAAAGAACCAUCAGAACCAAUCUUCAAUUCUUCAAAAGUCUCUUUAUUAAACUAAUGUCCAAUACUCAUUGGAUCUCUUAAACUUGCUUCUUUUGAUGCUUCUCCCAUUUGUUCUUUAGAAUCUUCUGGUAAUGGUCCGGCAACAGGCUUUACCUUCUUAUCUACCGUUUUAUAUCUCGUCUCUACAGUGACUUCUGGUGCUUGAAAAGAUUCAAGUAUGGUAUAAACCUCUCUUGAAUGAAUCUCAACAAUCUUAUCAUUAUCCCCUAACCUAAUAGAUGUAAUCAAUUUCAAUGAAUCUUCCAGUCCAUUUUCUUCAUAAACACCUAAAAUCCUCUCAUCAUCUUGCAAUGUACCUAACUUGCGUAAUUCUCCUUCAAUAUUAUAUAAUCUUUUUCUUUCUUUUCUUUUAAAAUCAUCAACUUUCUUAUACAUAAUAUUUCCAUUCUCCAAAAUACCAAUAAAACUUGCAUCAAAAGUACCUUCAUCUCGCGAGAGUACCUCCUCUUUUGUACCUCCAUAAUCUCGCUUUAUAGUGGUACCUCCCCAAAAUCCUUAAAUCCUUCAACAAUCUUUGGCAAUGGUUUCUCCCUCAACCUAUCUCGAUUCCGUUCAUGGUUAGGAGGUACUGUUAGAAAUUGUACAACUUUCCUCCCAUCUACGCUACGUACCCUUGCAUAAGCAGAACCAUCAUCAAGUACUUUUGUUUCCAUCCAUGUUGCCAUAAUAUAAGGUUUUCCUAAAAUCAACGGAUAAGAUGUUGUAUCUUGAACAAAGAAAUGUUCUUCCGUCGCAACAUCCCCAAUCCAAAUUUUGACAUCUGGACAAGCUCCAUAUAAUUCGCCUCGUGUGUUAUUAGCUGCUCGUAUUACCCAUCCAUGUUCCAUAUCAAUUGGCCAUUUUUGUUUCUUAUAAAGAUCUUUAGACAUGAGAUUUAUUUCAGAACUAUGGUCGACUAAAGCAAUAAUUGAUUCUUCUAUAUUUCCUACUUUCACCAAUACCUCAGUAGUUGCCCUUGCCCAAUGCUUUCGAGUAUAAUGACUCAAAGUUUCCAUUUCCUUAUCACUAUAAUCUUCGAAAUGUAUUCGUUGAUUAUAUCUAUUCUUUUCAUUUGUUGGUUGCUUGUAACCAAUAUCAACCUCUUCUUCAUCUUUAUAUAUUCUUGUAACAAUAGCAUGACUCAUUCUAGUUUCGCCCAUUAAUUGCCUCUUUCGCUUAAUGCUGUCAAUGAUAACAUCAUGAAACUCCUUCUUUGUAAUUUCCAAGACUUCUUUCAAUGUGAAUUCCACAUUAGCAUUUAAUAUACGUUCUUCCAAUACCCCUUUCAAAUUUGUUGCCGCUUCAAUGUCAAAAAGUAGCUUAUAAGCAAUUGAUUUGCCCUUAUCUUUUGUCUCCCUUGUUUUUUCUUCCAAUGAUGCUAAGGUAUUCUUUACAAGCAAUUCUUGUGAAGGUGCCUCCCGAGCCUUGUCUCCUUGAGUUUACCUCUUAGAAGAAUUUCCUUCUCUCAUAUCAUCAAAAUUUCCUCGUCUCUUUUCUUCCAUCAAAGCUUCAUGUUGGCUCUUAGCAAUAUAUGCAUGAACUGAAAGAGACUGAGCAAGAUCCUCCCAACUUGUUGCACCUCGUAUUGUAGCUGCAGUCCUCAAUAAUGCUUCUCAAGGUAAUUUCCCUUCUUGUAUUGUAAAAAUGGCAGAAGCCCAAAACUCACUAGUUUUCGUACUUCCACCAAGGUCAUUAUCUACUCUAGUACCAUAACUUGCACUUUCUCGUGCUGCUAUUUCAUGCUCUUUUAAGUAAUCUUGAACCAAUGCUCUCAUUCCUCCCUUGCCAAAAUUGGUUUGAAGAAGAUCCUCCCUAUCUUUUAAUGCUAUCUUCCCAUCUUUCCAGCAAAUAAUUCCUUGCCGUAUCAUAUUAUUAAAUUCAUUGCAAUCUUUUCUAGUGUGUGAAGCAUCAUCACACCAAAUGCAUCUUUGUACAUAUCCUUAUUUUGAAACAUUCUUCGAAUUGUUUGUAGAAGUAUUCUCUUCAAGUCUUGCCAAUUUGAUUUGAAGAUCUCGCAUUCCUCAUAUAAUUUCUUCCAUCCCUAUAUCUGCUUUCUUUGAUAAGGAUGUCGAAGGUUGAAUUGUAGGCAUUGUUGGUGGUGUUGUACGUAUUGGAGCUUUGGGUGCUUAUACUGUUUUUGGAAUAUUACUCCUAUCCUUCCUCCUUUCUCUUUUUGUAAGCAACCCCACCGCAUCUUCAACAUUCUUCUACUUUGUUGUCAAUCCUUCGUCUUUUUUUUUGUCUUCAAGAAGGAGUUCUAAUUUCCCUUGCAAUUCUCCAUCAGCAGCUUGAAGAAAUAGAUCAACUUUGUUCGGCUCCAAUGUCAAUUUUUCUACCUUUGAUAAUUGAAAGUACUGCCUCUCAAAUUUCCUUAGUAGCUCUGUUGCUUGCAAAUUCUUAUUAGGCCGUUCAAUCCAUUCCAGAAACAACUUCUUAGUAACGCGACCAGUAUUUUCCAAGAAAUAUUCGUCUUUCAAUGCAUGUGAAAAAAUCUCCCAUGAAUUCUCAUAAUGAUUCGUAAUCGAUGUAAUAUGAUCUCUUAUCUCCGGUAUUGUGGCAAGUCCAAAUAAUUCAACCAUUUUCUUCUCAGAAACCCGAUUUAAUUCCAUUUCACGAACAUAACAUCUUAAAUACCUUGAAAUAUUCCUUCCAUCAAAUUGAUCAAUUUUAUUGACCACUGCUUGCAAUGCUUUGGUUGCCAAAGCUUCCUUUCGAUCAUUGCUUUGUUGUUGCUGCAUUGAUAAUGAGAAGGCUUGAAACAUACUAGCAAUAGACGGAUCCAUGUGCAUACCUUGUCCUUUAGAAGAACCCCCACCAGAAACUCCUCCCAAAGAUCCUUCAAAAUUUUUAUUUUUGUUUUCCAUAGAAAUAAAAAUAAAAUCAAACAAAAUCCAAUACCUUCCACCUCAAGCUUUCACGUCAAGUUCACCACUUUUGUCGUAUUACGUUCUUUCCUACUCGAGAACGUGUCGAGUGUUUGGCUGUAGAAAGUAGUAUGGAGAUUCACUAAUAUUCAAGCAGUUUAUCGAUUUUUGACUGUUGGAAUAUAAACAACUGUAAGAAUAUACCGUAAAUCUAUAUGGAUGUCCUUCGACUGCUCGUCAAAGUCUUUUUUGCCCCAGCUGGUAGGUCUCUAGACAUUACAGAGAAUUUCGAACAAUCCAAACUGCUAAUCUUCGAUACCGCUUUAUACUCAUGAUCUUGUAUCCACUGACUGUCUCGUUAGAUUAAUCCAAUAAAAUUCAUUCACUCUGCAUACUCAAUCCUAUAGACACCCUUUUAAUUCUUUAUCAUAGACGUAACUCGAUUUCACAAAACAGUCAAGAAUAAUCACACUCACUUCAUUAAAAUCCCGAUUCACCAGUACAACACUGACUUCAGCAACGAUUGCCUCAGUCUUCCCAAAAUCCUAUAAAAAAAAAAAACCCAAUUCUCUGUCUUUUUUCCCCGCUCUGAAGCAUGAAGCUCUCCCCCGAUCCCUUCUCCCCUCUUCAUUUUUUAACCUAUCCUCCACUUUAAUCCUCUUUCAAACCUCUCCCCUCUUUCAAACCCUAGCCUUUGAAUUUCUUCAAUCUUCCAUCUUGGAUCUGGAAUUGGCUCCGCCGUCAGAGCUUUCUCCUCCGUUUUUACCUUUAAGAGAUCCUUUUAUUGAAAGGACAUUCUCGGAACGGCACAAAGGACGGAACAGCCUGAAACGGAAUCGGAGCCCUGUAAUCGGAACCACAUUAAGUCGCCAGACCAAUUCAGGUCUCAUAUUAGGUAAGAGGCCCGUAGUAAGACUUGGAUGUUCCCACAAUUGGGUCAAAUUGGUCCUUCACGUCAGAUUGGCUAAGAGACCCGUAGUAAGACCUGGAUUGGAUGUCUUGAAAUUGGAUCCAAUUGGCUCUUCGAACCAGGCUCACCUGUUGUUGAAUUGGUCCUUUUCUUUCCUGCUGACUCCCGUUAUUGGAAUCGAAUGGAGCAUUUCAGUAUGCCUCGGCUGACUGUAAUGAGGUGACUGAACUUGGCCUCUCAGUAUUUACACUGGAAUUGGUCGUUGCUUCCAAUAUUCGAGGUAACUGAAUAUUAAUAAAAGUCCCCUUUCUUUAUAUUUUCCCGGUAUAUUCGUGUUACAACACGACAAUGGUAUAUUCUUGUAUAAAACAAAUAUAUAUAUAUAUAUAUAUAUAUAUAUAUAUAUAUAUAUAUUUUUAAUUAUGGUUAUCAUCCACGACUUGAUACUUUUGACUUUUCAAAAGUUGAUAAUCCUACUGCGAAAGAUUUGGCAAUUCAUUUGUCAAAGCUAUAUGCAAUAAUGAAGGUGCAGUUAAAAGAGGCUCAAGAAUAACAAAAAGUCAAUGCGGAUGUCUAUCGAAAGGAACAACUACCAUUCUACUUGGGUGAUAAGGUAUGGCUACUUCAUCGUAAUAUCAAGACCACUCGUCCUUGUGAUAAGUUGGACUAUCAAAGGCUUGGACCAUUUUCUAUUUCUGCACAAAUCAAUCCAGUUGAAUAUUGUUUAUAUCUACUGGAGUCAAUGAAAAUCCAUCCAAUAUUCUACAUAUCUCUUCUUGAACCAUACAAGACAGUGGACAUACCAAGAUGAUGACAAGCUCCGCCUCCUCCUAUAGAAGUGGACAAUAAUGAAGAGUUUGAAGUAGAAGAAGACUUAGAUUCAAGGCGGCGCUGAAAUGAAUUGGAAUAUCUUGUCCAUUGGCAUGGAUAUGAUAUUAGUGAAUGCACAUGGGAGCAAAUAAAGAAUCUUGUAAAUGCAACAAAGGUAGUGGAGGCUUUUCAUCGACAACAUCUAUCAAAAUCAAGAUCGAAAUCUUUUUUAUAAAAGAAACAACAUCUAGGCAAGAUAAUAUUCUACUUUCAAUCCUUGUAGUUGUGAUGCUUAGGAGAUGGAGAACCAAUAACCUGUGGAUUCGAUUCAAGAGCCUUCAUUUGUUGACCUACCGGUGUCACGGCCAUAAUCAUGUAAGCUAAUAAUUACAUAUAGAAAUAGGUAGAAGUAAGUAAAAGUAGAUAAAAGUAAGUUAAUUCUAUAAUAUUUAAUAUAGAAGCUUCCUAGAAACUUCCUAGACGUUGCUUUGACUUCAUAGGUAUCUUUAAUUGACUUUUUGGAUUAGAAACGUGGUCAACAAGUUGGCCAUGUGCCACACAUGUUGUUAGCUUGAAGAUCAAGCUAACUAUGUGGCCCACACGUAGAAAAACUUGCCUUGUAAGUCAAGGCAUGUGUCCUACAAAGUCAACACAUAUUGGAGGUCCUAUAGAAUGUCGCCAUGUAGCCCCUAGUUAGAUAGUAUAUAUAGAGACAAGAGUGAAGGCUUCUUCACUCUUGUCAACUCUUUUCUUGCUUCUAGUCUAAUUUCAAGGGUCUCUAGUUUUCUUGUCUUUUGGCAAUAGCCAUUCUAGUUUCUCUUUUCAACAUACAUACUUAUUAUUCAUAUUUUGUUACUUUUCUUUGAGUGAAGGCUUAUUUGUCUGAACUAUUUUUUCAUCGAGUUCUUAUCCUUGACAGAUUGACAAGAGUGUACUUACAAUAUCAGAGCUUUGUUUUUCUUGAGUAAGAGUGGAUUACCCCUUUCUCUUGACAAGGCAUAAGCGUAUUAGAAGUUUGCGGAUUACCCACUUCUAAACUGAUAUUGUUCUCAGUAUCUUCUUUGUUAUCAAGUCUUUCUUUUCUUUUGUCUUGAGCAGUAUCAAACAAAUUUUUCUUCUUAGUGUCAUUAUGGCAGAGCUUGUUGAAAUGAAGAGUGCAAUGGCACAAAUGCAAGAGCAAAUGAGGGAGUUAAUGCUUGCGAUGCAUCAACUCAAUUCACCAACACAGGAAAGAACAAGAAUAGCAGAAAGUAGGGAUAUAGAGAUGAUCGGAGCUGCUUCAACAUCUACAACAAAUCACAUUCCUUCUCCAAUUGUACAACACCCUAUAAGCACUAGAGAACCAAGAAUUGCCUUACCCGAGAAAUUUGAUGGUACGAGAUCAAAGUUUCGAGGAUUCAUCAAUCAAGUACAAUUGGCAAUUGAACUUCAACCGCAAAGCUAUGCAACUCCAAGAUCACAAGUCAGGUUUAUUGGCACUCUACUUUCUGGUUCUGCAUUAUCGUGGUUUUCGUCUUUUUUUGAACAACAAAAUCCAAUAUUGGACAAUUUGGAAGCUUUUUUGGUGGAGUUUCGAUCUAUGUAUGGUGAACACGAUGCAACUCGUGUUGCAACAAAUAGGAUCCGAAUUCUAUGACAAGAAAAUCGCUCAGUAACAGUGUAUGCUUCACAAUUUUGACAAUUUGCAAUUGACAUCGAGUGGGAUGAUGUUGCACUCAUCAGUCAAUUUUUUUAUGGAUUGCAAUACGAAGUGAAGAAAACGAUGCUCAACUUACCUGAUCCUCAAACUUUGAGUCAAGCAAUCGAUUUUGCGGUAAAAUGUGAUAAUCGACUUUUCAAAUUUCGAUCCGAGAAUCAUUCACGGGAACCUCAACGUUAUUACUCAAUGGCAACAUCAACAUCUUUGCCAAACGUACAUUCGAAAGUAGAAGACAUGCAAAUUGACGUAGUACGUUUUAAACCCCUAACUGAGCAAGAAAAGAUUUGUCGUCGUUAAGAAGGAUUAUGUUUAUAUUGCGGAGAACCUAAGCACACUGCUCAACAUUAUCCAAAGAAACGACGCAACUAUAAAAUGAGGGGUACGACGGUCAAAGAAGACAACAUGUCGGAAAACGAAUUUGUCCUAUUACAAUAGGGACCGUGCAGCUGGAACCUUGUACAAUUCCUAAUGAAGGUCCUAUCCUCUCUUCAGAACCCUCUCCUUGUUUUAUAAUAGACUUAUAUUUAGGACCUAAGAAUUACAAAGCCUCUGCUUUAUUAGAUUCGGGAGCCUCAGCAUGUUUUUUAGAUGAACAAUUUGUUAAAAGUCAUAAAAUACCCUUUGUACAGAAACCUAAACCAGUACAUGUAGAAGUCAUAGAUGGUCGUCCCUUGUCUUCUGGAGAUGUCACUCAUGAAACUCAUCCUAUAAAAGUAACAAUAGACGGUCAUGAUAGCUACAUAGCUUUUAACAUAAUUAAAUCCCCGUCCAAUCCAGUUAUUCUAGGUUUAUCCUGGCUAGAAAAAUAUAACCCUCGAAUAGAUUGGAAUUCACGUAAACUUGACUUUUCCCAGAGCGUUAUUAAUAGUUCUACCAACCAAGUAAAAAAUUAUAAGUCUAGUAUAGUAAAACCCGUACUGAUAGGUGCAAAAGUAUUUAUAGACGCAGCAAAAGAAGGAUCAACUUUUGCUAUUUAUGCUGCACCUAUUUCUGAAAACGUAAAGACUUCAAGUGGCAUUCCAAAUCAAUAUCAGGAGUAUCAAGACGUUUUUGAGAAAAAGAAUGCAGAUAUUCUUGCUGAGCAUCGUCCAUAUGAUUGUUCAAUCGACCUCAAGGAAGGAACUCAGCCACCAUUUGGACCAAUUUACAGUUUAUUGCAAGAUGAGAUGGCUGAAAUCAAGACAUAUAUUGACGAGAAUUUAGUGAAGAAUUUCAUACGCCAUUCAAAAUCUCCAGCAGGAGCUCCAAUUCUAUUCGUAAAGAAAAAAGAUGGAUCUUUACGAAUGUGUGUUGAUUAUCGAGGACUCAACAAGAUCACAAUCAAGAACAGGUAUCCAUUACCUUUGAUAUCAGGACUCCUUGACCAGUUGAAUCAAGCUAAGAUCUAUACAAAAAUAGAUCUAAGAGGAGCAUAUAAUCUAGUACGGAUCAAAGAAGGAGAUGAAUGAAAGACUGCAUUUCGAACCAGGUAUGGACAUUUCGAAUAUAAUGUCAUGCCCUUUGGACUUACGAAUGCAGCAGCUGCUUUUCAACAUCUCAUGAAUGAUGUAUUUCAUGAAUUCUUAGACAAUUUUGUCGUCUGCUAUCUAGACGAUAUCCUGAUCUAUUCUAAGAACGUCGAAGAACAUGAAAUACAUGUUCGUCAAGUAUUACAAAAACUUAGAGAUGCAGGAUUGUAUGCCAAUAUAGAAAAGUGUGUAUUUCACACUACUUAAGUUGACUUUUUAGGAUACAUCAUUUCAAAUGAUGGUCUCAUGAUGGAUUCUAAGAAAGUCCAAACAAUCAUGGAUUGGAAGAUUCCAAGGACGGUAAGAGAUGUCCAAUGUUUCUUGAGAUUUGCUAAUUACUAUCGGAUCUUCAUCAAAGAUUUCUCACGAGUUGCAGCUCCACUUACACGCUUGACUAGUAAAGAUAAAUUCCAAUAGAAUCAAGAAGCGGAAGCAGCAUUUGAAGCCUUGAAGACAUCGUUUGUCUCUGCACCAGUCUUAUAUCGUGUUGACUUUUCCAAGGCAUUUUUUAUGGAAACAGAUGCAUCAGAUUUUGCCUUGAGUGCAGUUUUAUUACAAAUGGGAACAGAUGACAAACUUCAUCCGAUAGCUUUUCAUUCAAGAAAAUUCUCAGCAGUCGAGAUCAAUUAUGAGAUCCACGAUAAAGAACUUCUUGCGAUCGUGGAUUCCUUUCAAGAAUGGCGUCAUUAUCUAGAAGGCGCUUCUAGUCCAAUCAUUGUGUAUACAGAUCACAAGAACCUCGAGUAUUUCAUGUCAGCAUGCGUGUUGAAUCGUCGUCAAGCUCGUUGGAGUAUGUCUUUGUCAAGAUUCGAGUUCAUUAUCACUUAUCGGCCAAGAAAACAACAAGGUUUGUCUGAUGCCCUAUCUAGACGUUCUUAUUUUGUACCAAAAGAAGGAGAUGCAGCUUUUGAGCAACAAAGAACGGUCCUCUUGAAACCGGAGCAAUUUCAUCUCCGAGCAAUGAAAUCAACAUUGACUAUUGAUUCAACUUUUCUCAAGUAAAUCCAGUCUAGUAUGUCCUCAGACCCUCUUGUUUAUGAUAUCGAGAAUAAUUCUUCCAAGUCUCAUGAUCCUUCUAAGUUCGAGUUCAAGAAUAAUCUAUUAUAUUUUGAAGGACGCCUAUAUGUUCCAGAAGGAGAAGCACGUUUACAAGUUCUUCAAGCACGUCAUGACUUUCCAGUAGCAAGGCACUUUGGAUAUAAUAAGACUUUGAAACUCAUAUCAAGAGAUUUUUGGUGGCGACAAAUGUGGAAGUCAGUCAAAGACUUUGUACAAUCAUGUGAUAUUUUUUCAAGAUCAAAAAUUCCUCGUCAUCGACCUUACGGACUUCUUCAGCCAUUACCUAUACCAGAACAACCAUGGUCUUCUGUUUCUAUGGAUUUCAUCACAGAUCUUCCAAGCUCAAGAUCUUAUGAUUCUAUAUUUGUGAUAGUAGAUCGUUUCACCAAGAUGGCACAUUUUGUGCCAUGUACAAAAUCUAUCACAGGUGAAGAAACAGCUAAGCUUUUCAUUGAUAAUAUCUAUCGCUAUCAUGGAUUACCUAAAGAUAUCAUAUCAGAUAGGAGAACUCAAUUUGUGUCAAGAUUUUGGAGGACCCUUUUCAAGUUUUGAAAAGUGGACAUAAAGCUAUCUUCGGCUUUCCAUCCUCAAACUGAUGGACAAACAGAGUGCGUAAACUUAGUCUUGGAGCAAUAUUUAAGGUGUACUAUCAACUACCAACAAGAUGAUUGGACAACCCUUCUGCCAUUGGCAGAGUUUGCUUAUAAUAGUACGGUACAUUCUUCCACGUAACAAACACCUUUCUUUGCCAAUUAUGGCUAUCAUCCACGACUUGAUACUUUUGAUUUUUCAAAAGUUGAUAAUCCUGCAGUAGAAGAUAUGGCAAAUCAGUUGUCAAAGUUACAUGCAAUAAUGAAGACGCAAUUGAAGGAAGCUCAAGAACGACAAAAGAUAAACGCAGAUCUAUAUCGUAAGGAGCAACCACAACUCAACGUGGGUGAUAAGGUAUGGCUACUUCGUCGCAAUAUCAAGACUACUCGACCUUGUGACAAGUUGGACUUUCAUAGGCUUGGCCCCUUUUCUGUUUCUGAACAGAUCAACCCAGUUGCAUAUUGGUUACAUCUACCGGAGUCAAUGAAGAUCCAUCCUGUAUUCCACGUGUCUCUUCUUGAACCAUAUAAGACAGUGGAUAUACAAGGAAGAAGACAAAUGCCAUCGCCUCCUAUAGAAGUAGAUAAUAAUGAAGAAUUUGAGGUGGAAGAGAUAUUAGACUCAAGGCGGCACCGAAAUAAGCUGGAAUAUCUUGUUCAUUGGCGCGGAUAUGAUAUUAGUGAAUGCACAUGGGAGCCAUCUAGGAAUCUAGCAAAUGCAUCAGCUAAAGUCAAAGUUUUUCAUCAACGACAUCCAUCAAAACCAAGAUGAAAAUAUCUCUUAUAAAAGAGACAAGAUUGAGGCAAGAUAACAUUCAAUUUCCUAUCCUUGUUUGUAACUUCUUUGCAUUUGUGACGCUAAUUAGAUGGAGAGCCAACAACCAGCAGAUUCAACUUAAGAACCUUCGUUUGCUGACCUGCUGGACGAGACAUUACGAUUGUCACAACCUUCAAGACGACGCAAUUGAGAUGAAGAUAUUCAAGAAUGACAUGUUCUUCCUCGAAUAGAUGGUGAGAUACAACGCGUUUGGUAUCACGAUUUCAGAAGGGACUCUCGAUGUUUGGUGAUUUUGCUAGAAGUAUGAACAACUCCUGAUGGUGUUCCGAAUAUUCUAUUCGAAGGAAGUUACGAAGGCCUCAACAAUGAUCAAAUAACUGGGUGGUCUUCCCGCCCUAGUAUGGGACACUACCGAUGGUUGAAAGGCCCUAUCAAUCAUCUUCGAAGAGAACAAAGAUCAGAGUAUGUGGCGAAUAUAAUUCGUCGCAUCAUAGAUUUCCUCAACAUAUGAUGACCGCUCCUCGUGGAACUCGUCUCUAGAAGGGGGGGUAAUGUCACGGCCAUAAUCAUGUAAGCUAAUAAUUACAUAUAGAAAUAGGUAGAAGUAAGUAAAAGUAGAUAAAAGUAAGUUAAUUCUAUAAUAUUUAAUAUAGAAGCUUCCUAGAAACUUCCUAGACGUUGCUUUGACUUCAUAGGUAUCUUUAAUUGACUUUUUGGAUUAGAAACGUGGUCAACAAGUUGGCCAUGUGCCACACAUGUUGUUAGCUUGAAGAUCAAGCUAACUAUGUGGCCCACACGUAGAAAAACUUGCCUUGUAAGUCAAGGCAUGUGUCCUACAAAGUCAACACAUAUUGGAGGUCCUAUAGAACGUCGCCACGUAGCCCCUAGUUAGAUAGUAUAUAUAGAGACAAGAGUGAAGGCUUCUUCACUCUUGUCAACUCCUUUCUUGCUUCUAGUCUAGUUUCAAGGGUCUCUAGUUUUCUUGUCUUUUGGCAAUAGCCAUUCUAGUUUCUCUUUUCAAUAUACAUACUUAUUAUUCAUAUUUUGUUACUUUUCUUUGAGUGAAGGCUUAUUUGUCUGAACUAUUUUUUAAUCGAGUUCUUGUCCUUGACAACCGGAUGAGACAUUACGCUUGUCACAACCUUUAAGAUAAUGCAAUCGAGAUGAAGAUCUUCAAGAACAACAUAUUUUUCCUCGAAUAGAUGGCGAGAUACAACACGUUUGGUAUCACGACCUUGGAAGGGACUCUCAAUGUUUGGUGAUUUUACUAGAGGUAGGAACAACUCUUGCUAGUGUUUCAAAUGUUCUAUUCGAAGGGAGUUAUGAAGGCCUCAACAAUGAUCAAAUUAUUAGGUGGUCUUUUCAUCUUGGUAUGGGACACUAUCGAUGGUUGAAAGGCCCUAUCAAUCAUCUUCGAAGAGAAAAAAGAUCAGAGUAUGUGGCGAAUACAAUUCGUCGCAUCAUAGAUUUCUUCAACAUAUGAUGACCGCUCCUCAUGGAACUCGUCCCUAGAAGGGGGAGAUAAUGUCAUGGACAUACUCAUAAUUACAUAUACAGAUAAAUAGAAGUAAAUAAAAGUAGGUACAAAUAAGUUAAUUCCAUAGUAUUUGAUAUAAAAGCUUCGUAGAAGCUUCAUAGACACUGCUUUGACUUCAUAGGUAUCUUUAAUUGACUUUUUGGAUUAGAAACGUGGUUAACAAGUUGACCAUGUACCACACAUGUUGUUAGCUUGAAGAUCAAGCUAUUAUGUAGCCCACAUGUAGAAAAACUUGCCUUGUAAGUCAAGGCAUAUAUCCUACAAAGUCAACACAUAUUAGAGGUCAUAUAGAUUGUCGCCACGUAGUCCCUAGUUAGAUAGUAUAUAUAGAGAUAAGAGUGAAGCCUUCUUCACUCUUGUCAACUCUUUUUUUGCUUCCAGUCUAGUUUCAAGGGUCUCUAGUUUUCUUUUGGUAAUAGCCAUUCCAUUUUCUCUUUCAAUAUACAUACUUAUUUAUUUAUAUUUUGUUACCUUUCUUUGAGUGAAGGCUCACUUAUCUAAAUUGCUUUUUCAUCAAGUUCUUGUCCUUGACACUUCCUUUAAUUACACCUUUAUUUUUGCAUGUAGCUCUGACAAAUGAUAUGCUAAAUCUUUUGUCACAAGUUUAUCAACUUUUGAAAAGUUAAUAGUAUCAAGUUGUGGAUGAUAAUCAUAAUUGACAAAGAAAGGUGUUUGUUACAUAGAAGAAUUCAUUGCAUUAUUAUGAAAAAACUUUGCCAAUGGCAAGAGGGUUGUUUAAUCAUCUUGUUGAUAAUUGAUCGUACUUUUUAAGUAUUGCUCCAAAACUUAGUUUAUACGCUUUGUUUGUCCAUCAGUUUGAGGAUGAAAGGCAAAGAAAUCUUUAUGUCUACCUUUAGAAUCUUAAAAAAAAUUCUAUAAAAUCUUGAUACAAAUUGAGCCCUCCUAUUUGAUAUAAUAUCUUUUGGCAAUUCAUGAUAUUGAUAGAUAUUGUUAAGGAAAAGCUUGGUAUUUUCUUGACUUGUGAUAGAUUUUGUACAUAGUAUUAAAUGUGUCAUUUUGUUAAAAUAAUCUACUAUCACAAAUAUAGAAUUGCAUGAACAUAAGAUUUAAAGAUCCAUAAUAAAAUCCAUAGAAAUAGAAGAUCAUGAUUUUUUUAAAAUAAGUAAUAGCUGAAGAAGUCCAUAAGGUUGAUGAUGAGGAGUUAUUGACCUUAAAUAAAAUAUCAUAUGAUUGAACAAAAACUUUUAUAGCCUUCAACAUUUGUAGUCACCAAAAAACUUUAGAUAUUAGCUCCAAAGUAUUAUUGUAUUCAAAAUAUUCUAUUGUUGGAAAGUCGUGAUAUGCUUGAAAAAUACGUAAACAUACUUUUUUUUUUUAGAACAUAUAAGCAUUCUUCAAAAUAAAGUUGGUUUUUUUUGAACUUGAACUUGGAAGUUCUAAAAGACUUAGAAGAAGUUUUUUUGAUAUCAUGAACAAGAGGAUCAAAGAACAUACUUGAUUGAAUUUGAUUGAAAAAAGUUGAAUCAAUAGUCAAUGUUUAUUUCACUAUUUGAAGAUAAAAUUAUUUUGGCUUCAAUAAAAUUAACUUUUAUUGAUCAAAAGUUGCAUUUCUUUCUUUUGUUAUAAAAUAAAAAUGUCUAGAAAGGGCAUCAGACAAACCUUAUUAUUUUCUUAGGUGAUAUUGAACUCAAAUCUUAACAAAGAUAUGCUCCAACAAGCCUGUUGAUGAUUCAAAAUAUAUGUUGAAAUAAAAUACUUGAGAUUCUUGUGAUCUAUAUAUACAAUGAUUGGACUAGAAGCACUUUUUAGACAAUAAUGCCAUUCUUGAAAAGAAUCCACAAUUGCAAGAAGCUCUUUGUUUUAGAUCUUGUAAUUGAUCUUGACUAUUAAGAAUUUUUUAAAAUAAAAAGCUGCUGGGUGGAGCUUGUCAUUUUCUCUUAUUUGUAAAAAAACAACAUCCAUAGCAAAAUCGGAUGCAUUUUUUUCCAUAAAAAAUGCCUUCAAAAAAAUCAACAUGAUAUAAGAUUGGUGCAAAAAUAAAUGCCAAUUUUAAGGCUUCAUAAGAUGAUUUAGCUUCUUUGCUCUAAUCAAGUUUGUCUUUGCAUAUAAGAUGUGUAAAAAGAAUUACAACUUGAAAAAAAAUCUUGAUAAAGAUUUGAUAGUAAUUGACAAAGCCCAAAAAGCAUAGUACAUUUCUUAUUAUUUUUGAAAUCUUCUAAUCUAUAAUAGUUUGAACUUUCUUUGGAUCCAUCAUAUGUCCUUUGUUGGAAAUGAUAUAUCCUAAAAAGUCAACUUGAAUAGUGUAGAAUACAUGCUUUUUCAACUUAAUAUAUAAUCCUAUAUCUCUAAGUUUUUGUAAUAUACAACAAACAUGAACUUCAUGCUUUUUUAUAUAUUUAGAAUAGAUUAAAAUGUCAUCUAAAUAACAGACAAUAAAAUCAUCUAAAAAUUCACAAAAAUAUCAUUUAUAAAAUGUUGCAAUGUAGUUGAUGCAUUCAUGAGUCCAAAAGGCAUGACAAUAUAUUCAAAGUAUCCAUACUUUAUUCAAAAUAUAAUCUUCUAUUCAUCUCUUUCUUUAAUGCGGACUAAUUUGUAUACUUCUCAUAGAUCUAUUUUUGUAUAGAUAUUAGCUUGAUUUAGUUGAUCAAAAAGUCUAAAUAUCUAAAAUUAAGAGCAUCUAUUUUUGUUAUUAAUCUUGUUGAGUCCUCGAUAAUUUACAAACAUUUAUAAUGAUCCAUCUUUUUUCUCUACAAAUAAGAUAGGAACUUCAGUAAGAAGAUUUUGAAUGGCAUAUGAAAUUCUAAUAUGCUUAUGUUUCAUCAAGAAAAAAGGAUAAUCCAUUCUUAAUCAAGAGAAGACAAAGCUCUAAUAUUGUAAGUGUACUCUUGUCAAUUUUUCAAAGGCAUGAACUGAAAGGAGAUGCAUAAAUCUGAAAAAAGUGACAAAAAUAAAAAAUAAAAUGUGUAUUAAAAAAAAUUAGAAUGGAUAUUGUCAAAAGAUAAAAAAACUAAAGAUUCUUGAAACUAAAUUAGAAAUAAGAAAGGAAUUGACAAGAAUGAAGAAGGCUUCAUUCUUGCCUCUAUAUAUAUUAUUUACGUAGGAUCUAUGUGGCAACAUUCUAUAGGACCUCCAAAAAUGUGUUGAAUUUGCAUGACACAUAUUUUGACUUACAAGGCAAGUUUCAUAUAUGGGCGCCACAUAAUUAGCUUGUUCUACAAGCUACCAAUACAUGAGGCACAUGGAUAGCUUGUUGACCAAGUUUCUAACCUAUCAAUCAACUAAAAACAUAUGUAAAGUCAAAACAGUGUCUAAAAUACUUCUUGGAAGCUUCUUUAGAAAUUAUUAUGAAAUUAAUCUACUUUUAUCUAAUUCUACCUAUUCAUAUUACCUAGGUAACAAUUAUAGUAGAUAUAUAUCCAUGACAAAAUAUAUAAAUUCAAGUAAAGUUAAAAUUAUAUAUACAUAUAUAUAUGUCUUUUGAUUAUUAAUACAGCAUGAAAAAAAAAUAUAAUAAAAAAUAGAAAGAUUUCUAAUAAUACAUAAUAUCAUUUAAAAAAAUCUUACAAACAUAUUUAAGCAUUAUAAUUAAAUUAUUUUAAUAUUUUAACUACAUAAAAGAAUUGGUAAUCAUCUUUUAUUUAGUUUCUUAUAUGCAAUUAAAAAUAGAGAUUUAAAUCAAAAAUAUUAAUAGAAAAUUAGAAACAAAUAGACUGUAAUCAUAAAAUAUUUAAAUUAGAUAUAAUUAGAUAUUAUUAUAUAAACUAUAAUUAGAAAUACUUUUAUAAUUAAAAUUUUAACAUUAUUAAUUUAUAUAUCUUAUAUAAAAAGAUCAAUUGAUAUAUAUAUAUAUAUAUAUAUAUAUUUAUAUUUAAAAUAUUUCUAAUAUUUUUUUGAAAUGUUUUCAAAAAAAUUAUAUCAGUACAAGAUGCAUCAAAAGAACUUUGAAUUAUCACCAUAGAACAAUAAUUCUAGAACAUAUGAUAAAUACAUAUCUAAAAUCUUUAUGAAUAAAAUUUAUAAAAGACUUUUUUAUAUUUAAAUAUAAAUAUAAGAUAGAGUUUUAAUACUAAAAUUAAGAAAUAAUUUUUAUAAAGUGAUUUAGAUGAUUGAUAAAUCAAUAGAUAUUUAAGAAUUUAAAUGAUUUAUAAAUAUUUUAAUUGUAAGAAUAAAAAUUUCAAUAUAUGGAGUUGAUCAAAAGUCUUAAAAUAAAAACAAUAAGGUAUUAAAAAAGAAAAAAACUAAAGACAAAUAAAAGAAAAUGACUACCAAUUAUUAUCUUUGAAGAAAUAUCUAAAUAAAUAAAUGUUAUAAGUAUUAAUAAAGAAUUAAGGAAAGUAUUCCACAAAUAAAAACUUAUUUUAUAAACCAAGUAGCAAAGAAAUAAUACUAACCUUAAAAAAAUAUUAAAAAUAAAAAUUCUUUAAGAAAUGAUAAAGAAUCCUAAAAAAAAUUAAAAAUAGAGAUUCAAAACCUUAAAUCUUAAAUAAAUCCUAAUCAAAUUUUAAAUUCUAGAUAAAGCCGUAAUAAAAUUCUAGAUCAAAUUUUAAUCAAAUUCUAAUCAAAUCCUAAAUCCUAAUCAAAUCCUAAUCAAAUCUCAAUAAUAUCUAAAUAAAAUAUUAAUCAAAUAUUAAUCAAAUAUUAAUCAAAUCUUAAAUCCUAACCAAAAUUUCAGACCAAAUUCUUAUUAAAUACUAAAUCCUAACCAAAUCCUAAAUAAAUCCUAAAUAAUUCCAAAAUUUUUUCAAAUAAAUCAAAAAUCAAUUAUUAUCGUUUUUUUAUAAUUUUAAUAAAUAUUAUUUGAAUCAUUGAUUUUAACUAAAAUUUUACUCACAUCUCAAUCUACAAGCAAUUAACAAGCAUAGAAAUUUUGAAGAAAAUCAAAUCACCGAUUCAAAAGAAAAAGCUCCCUAAAUCACUUAGAUGUCAGUUACUCUCCUUUUCUAAACCAGAUAUUGAUAUUCCAAUAGUAAUUUUUCCUUGUUGAACUUUAAAAUUAAUUCAAAAAUUGAUUAACAUGUAGAUUUUAAAGUCUAAAUUUCUCUCACCAAAUUAUACUUCAAUGGAAUUGGUGGAUGUUAAGACAUUGUAAAACCCCUCACUAAUCCUAAAUUUUAAUUAUCUAAGACUAUAAUCCACAAAAACUCUCACAAUUAUUAAUAGAAUUAUUUAAUUAAUAUAAAAAAUUUAAAGACAUUUAAAAUAUACUAAAUCACAAAUUGAAAAAAAUUUAUUUGUAAAUAUAGCACAAUACUCACAAAAUCUUCAAAUUUGUGAUUUUUUUUUUUUUUUUUUUUUUUUUUUUUUUCUCAAAAUCCACCUCUACUAAAUACAUUUCUUAUUUUGAGAAGCCCUCAAAAUCUUAAUAUACCUUCAAAUCAUAUAAAAUCAACUCUCAAAAAUCCUUUCAUAAGUUUGCUCUCAAAUUCCAUUUUUUAAUCAACCAAAGAAUCCUAGAGUUGCCGUAGGUGCACAAUUAUGUACCUUUGGGUCUGAUUUUGACCUUGGUCCAAAAUUGGUCUUCUCUAGGUAUUAAUUCUUGAUAUUUUGAGAUAAUUUUUAUUAAAACCUAUUCUUAACUUUUUCUUAUAAAUACCUUCAUUAUUUAUUUACUUAAUUUAUUUUUAUUUGGCUCAUUUAUGCCUCUAUAAAGUAAGUAGAAGUCUCUUCUAUAAAGAGGUAGUAUUAGCAUUUAUUAAUUUUUGUAACCUCAUCUUUUAAUAUUUAUAUUCUUAAUAUAAUUUACUAAAAUAUUUUUAUUUAAGCUCCUCAUUAAUUAAUAUAUAUAUAUAUAUAUAUAUAUAUAUAAUUUCUAUAUUACUAUACAACACUAUAUUAAAUUAUAAAAUUGGAUGAAUAUUAAUCUAGUUGAGCUAUCAAUAAAGAUUAAUUGCAUUCAAAUGUAAAGCAUAUCCCAUCCUUGGUUAUACUUCUCAUCUCUAUGACUAAUAAAGAGGUUGAAAUCAUCUUAAAAUAUGAAAGGAUUUUGUGCUAGUACAUUUAUUGUCUAGAAUUGGAAGAUGAUGUACCUUAUUGUUCAAUAAAAUAAAAUCAAAAAAUUAAAAAAUUCCAAAAAUACCUUAGAUCCUCUCAUAAAAAUAAACCAACGAAUCUAAAGAAUAAUACCAUAGUUUAAUCAUCUCUAACCUUCUAAAUUCCAAUCAAUUCAAUCUCUCAAAUAUAAGGUUAAAUAUAUCAUGGAUACACUCACUCUUUACGUGGAAGCCUCAACCAUCUAGUAACAAAAAUAAUAUCUAUAUCUUCAUUAGAAGAUCUUGAUUCCUAGCUUGUAGUGGGAAAAGAUGAAAAAUCAAUCAAAUCAAAACCUUCAACAAUUAUCGUUGGUCCUUCCCUCCAAAAAAAUAUCUUUUGACAUUCAAUAUUAUAGAGAAAUCAAAUCGACUACAUUCAACUUCUCAAAUAUACUACGAGAAAGAAAAAAAAAAAAAAAAAAAAAAAAAAAAACUAUAUAUUUGGCUAAUCAUCUAUACUAUUGUAAAAAAAAAAUGUAUAGGUGAUCUUUAUUAUUAAUAAUUUACUAUUGGAAAUUGAUCCAAUGGAUUGAUCAAUGGCAACUUAUUAUACCAUGUACUUUCAUUAAUAGAAUUAUUACCUCCAAAAAAUUCUUUUUUCUUUGACAAAGCCACUCACUAGUGGACAGAGGCAAAAGAUUUAAAAAAUUGAACACAUCUAGAUUGAAACAUGGUUGUGGAAGACAAAUUCCAUCUUUAGAUAUUAGGACAAAUUUAAGAAUUUCUACCAAAAAUUAGAAAAGAGUUUCAAUUAUUUGGCACUACAAUCAAAGUAAAUCAAUCACAGAUUUAGAUUCUCUAAAUUGACCAAUUAUAAAGAAACUUAUAACAAGUGAUGAUCUUUCAAUGAAUCUUGAUAUAUUAUCAUAGACAUAUAUUUACUGUAAUUGUAUCAUGGAUAUAUAUUUAUUAUAAUUUUUUUAUAGAGAUAUAUUUACUAUAAUUAUUACUUAAGUAAUAUGAAUAGAUAGAAGUAGAUAAAAAUAAAUUAAUUUCAUAAUAUCUUUUAAAAAAGCUUCUUAGAAGCUUCAAAAAAAAUUCUUUGAUUUUAUAUAUGUUUGUAGUUGAUUGAUAGGUCAGAAACUUGGUCAAAAAAUUAACCACGUACCACACAUGUUGAUAGCUUGAAAAAUAAGCUAAUUGUGUGGCAUCCAUAUAGAAAACUUGCCUUAAAAAUUAAAAUAAAUAUUGUAUAAAGUCAAUACAUUUUGGAGGUCCUAUAGAAUAUUGCUACAUAGCUCCUAAGUAGACAGUAUAUAUAGAAGCAAGAGUGAAGCCUUCUUCACUCUUGUCAACUCUUUUCUUACUUUUAGUCUAGUUUCAAGAAGUCUCUAAUUUUCUUAUUUUUUGGCAAUAGCUAUUUUAUUUUCUUUUUAAUAUAUAUAUAUAUAUUUUUAUUUUUAUUUUUUCAUAUCUUUUUGAAAAAGUCUCACUUGUUUAUUUAUUUUAUUGAGUUCUUAUCUUUGAUAAAUUAAUAAGAGUACACUUACAAUAUCAAAGUUUUGUCUUUUCUUCAUUAAAAGUAGAUUAUUAAUUUCUUUUAAUAAGACAUAAGUAUAUUAGAAGUUAUGGAUUAUCUUCUUCUAAAUUGAUAUUAUUUUUAAUAUUUUUUUUUAUUCUCAAGUUCUUUCUUUUACUUAUCUUGAGCAAUAUUAGAUAUUUUUUUUAAGUGUUAUUAUGGUAGAGCUUUUUGAAAUGAAGAGUGCAAUGGUACAAAUGUAAGAAUGAUUGAUGGAAUUAAUGCCUGCAAUGUAAUAACUAAACUUACCACCAUAAAAAAGACCAAAAAUGACAGAAAGUAAAGAUAUAGAUAUGAUUGGAGUUUCUUCUAUAUUUACGUCAAAUUAUAUUUUUUUAUUUAUAAUAAAAUACCAUUAAAGUAUUAGAGAACUAAAAAUUGCCUUAUUUGAGAAGUUUGAUAGUUCAAGAUCAAAGUUUUGAGGAUUCAUCAAUUGUCAGCUCUCAAUUAUACUUUAAAAUUUAAAUUUUUAUUAUUUUCCUAUUUUAUGAUAAUUAAACAUGUUAGAUUAGGAUUUAUAUAAGUAAAAUUCAGUUUUAUAGAAUUUUUAGGAUUACAACCCCUCAUGGUAUAAAUCAUAGCCUAAUUCCUUGAAUUAGGUUAAUUAGGACUAAAGUGACAAGAGUUAGAAAAUUAGAAUAGCAACUUAGUUAGUUUAAUAAUUUAGAGGUUGUUAGUCAUUACUAUAAGGGUUGACUAAAAGCCAAUGAGUACGUCUAUAAUCAUUCACAUGAUUUAGGGGUUGGAAUUAUAAUUCUCUAAAAGAUUUAGGAAAGUUAGCAAUGGUAAUUUUGAAUUUUUCCUCCAAAUUUGGUAAAUUUAAGCAACAUGAUGGUUCUUCUACUUAAUGGGAGUCUCUUUAAUGCAAUGGUGGCACCGGAUUUACAUCGUGGAGUGAAGAAAAUAAGAUCAGCAACUUCUCCUUCAAAAUACAAGAGAAGCAAUGAAAUUCUCAUUUUGAAGAAUUUCACAAAAAAAUUGCCAAGAUCCUUAUAAGUAAAAACUUCCAUGGAAAUUAUAAUUGAGCAUGGAUUGGGGCAUGUGAGUAGUCGAUCUUAGCUUAAAAAGGUUUUUUGAACACAAUAGUGAAGUUAGAUUUACAAAAAAAUGCCUUCUUGACCACUUACAAGGGCCAUUAGCCUUGAUAACGAAAUUGACUCUUGGAUGAAUGAAGGCCAUAGAUCUAGAUUAGGGAUCUGAAAAAUCAAGGGUGGAGAUGUAGUCACCCUUCUACAAGCCUCCACUCAAUUGUAUAAGAGAGGCUUGGUUUUUCAAGCCCUCUCUCUCUCCUCUUUUGGUGAAGGAUGAAGCCAUACUAAAAUUUGGCCAAAAAUCCUAAUUUUAAUUUCAUUCAGAUUUUAAAUCUCAUUGUGAAUUUUGUGGGUGGAUGUGCAUGGAUUUCGAGUUGUGAAUGAUAGUCAUUAGGUCUUAAAACACGUUUCAUUGUGGUGAAUAGCUCCCUUGGCCUCCCAUUUACUUAAAGGGGUUUCAAGAGCCUCAGUUUUCCCUCCAUCAGUCAUUCAAUUGUUUUAGUUCCAAUGUGAUUUUUUUUGUGAUUAUAGCUAUUGUUGUUAGAUUUCUAACAAGGUAAGGCUCGCUCCAUUUGCAGUUGAACUGAAUUUUUGGUGAAAUUUUGAAUGUGAGGGGGUCGACUGCCUUUGUAGUUUGGAUUAUUCGAGUUUGGGAAGGCAUUUCUCAGUGCUUGAUAACUGGAUUCGUUUGAAAUUUUAGAAGCAUCAAGAUUUAUAAGCUAAGCUUUGAAGAGCACAAGUUUCGCUGAAUUUGAAGACAAUUUGAAUUUUUAGCGAAUUUCUAAGUGAAGGGGGUUGGUCGCCACGGCAGUUUGGAUCACUCAACUUCAAAGGAGCAAUUCUCACAACUGGAUCACUAGAUUGCAAUGAGAUUUGUUGGGGCAGGAGCACCUUUAAGUUAACCUUGCAACAAGUUGCAAAUCAUUCAAUUUGGAGCUAAUUAAAAAUUUUGGCGAAUUUUGGAGUAGAAGGGGGUCACUGCCUUCAAUCUUUGGCGUUGUCAAGGUACCUUCGCUUUUAUCCCUCUUAUUUUAUUUUUACUUUUAUCUUCACAGUAACUCGUAACCUCCACAUUUCAACUUUUGACUAAUAAAUUUUAACUCUUAACUUUUAACCUUUAAUAUUCUCACUUAAAUUUUUAAACUUUGAACUUUAAUUUUUGAAUUUAAUAUUUAACUUUAAUUUUAACUUUUAACUUUAACUUUUAACUUAAAAUUUUAAUUUUAACUUUCAACUUUAAUUUUUAACUUUAAUUUUUAACGUUAACUUUUAACUUUUAAUUUAAACUUAAGUUUUUAUUCUUAUUAUGAAUUAAUAAGAAAAACGUAAUUAAUUAAUUUUAGCAUUUUUUUGUGUGGUGAAUUUCAUCUGAUAUUUUAAUUUAAUAUUGGUAACCAUUGCUUGGAAGGUGUUAAUUUUAAUUGAAUUAUAAACACCCACAUUUUAAUUAACCUAACAAUUUCACAAUUGGGAGUUCUUCCAUUCUACCUCUUGAGCUCGUUGUGUAGUACUAAAUCCAUAGAGUGGUGGAUUUUAGGCUCACAUCAAUCAAGUACAAUUAGCAAUUGAACUUCAAUCUCAAAGCUAUCCAAUUCCAAGAUCAUAAGUAAGAUUUAUUGGAAUACUAUUUUUUGGUUUUGUGUUAUCAUAGUUUAUAACUUUUUUUUGAAUGACAUGAUCUAAUAUUAGAUAAUUUGGAAGCUUAUUUGGUGGAAUUUCAAUCUAUAUAUGAAAAUCAUGAUACAAUUUGUAUUGCAACAAAUAAGAUCUAUAUUUUGUGACAAAAAAAAUAAUUUGUAAUAUUAUAUGCUUAACAAUUUAGACAACUUAUGAUUGAUAUUAAAUAAAAUGAUGCUACAUUCAUUAAUUAAUUUUUUUAUAGAUUAUAAUAUUACAUAAAGAAAUUGCUAUUCAAUUUUUUUGACCUUCAAUGAUUAAGUCAAGAAAUUAAUUUUGAUGUAAAGUAUGAUAAUUGACUUUUUGAAUUUUAAUCUAAAAAUUGCAUAAAUAAGCCUCAAUAUUAUUACAAUUUAAUGGCAAUAUUAACAUCUUCUCAAUACAUACCUUUGAAAGUAGAAGAUAUGAAAAUUAAUAUAAUUUGUUUCAAACCUCAUAUUGUACUAGAAAAUACUCAUCAUUAUCAAGAAGAAUUAUAUUUAAAUUCUAGAGAAUCAAAGCACCUUGUUCAAUAUUGUGCGAAGAAGUGAUACAAUCAUAAAAUAAAAAGUACAACUAUCAAAAAAGAUAGUAUGUCAAAAAAUGAGUGUGUCGAGCUAUAAUACGGACCUUGUGUCAAGAACAAGAACUCAAUGAAAAAGCAAUUCAAACAAAUGAGCCUUCACUCAAAGAAAGAUAACAAAAUAUAAUUAAACAAGUAUGUAUAUUGAAAGAGAAACUGGAAUGGCUAUUGCCAAAAGACAAGAAAACUAGAGACCUUUGAAACUAGAUUGGAAGCAAGAAAGGAGUUGACAAGAGUGAAGAAGGCUUCACUCUUGUCUCUAUAUAUACUAUCUAACUAGGAGCUAUGUGGCGACGUUCUAUAGGACCUCCAAUAUGUGUUGACUUUGUAGGACACAUGCCUUGACUUACAAGGCAAGUUUUUCUACGUGUGGGCCACAUAAUUAGCUUGAUCUUCAAGUUAACAACAUGUGUGGUACAUGGCCAAGUUGUUAACUACGUUUCCAAUCUAAAAAGUCAAUUAAAGACACCUAUGAAGUCAAAGCAACAUCUAUGAAGCUUCUAGGAAGCUUCCAUAUUAAAUACUAUAAAAUUAACUUACUUUUACAUACUUUUACUUACUUCCACCUAUUUGUAUAUGUAAUUACUAGCUUAUAUGAGUAUAUCCAUGACAUUACUCCCCCUUCUAGGGACGAGUUUCACGAAGAGCGGUCACCAUAUGUUGAAAAAAUCUAUGAUGCGACGAAUUAUAUUUGCCACAUACUCUGAUCUUUGUUUUCUUCGAAGAUAAUUGAUAGGGCCUCUCAACCAUCAAUAGUGUCCUAUACCAGGGCAGGAAGACCACCUAGUUAUUUGAUCAUUGUUGAGGCCUUCAUAACUUCCUUCAAAUAGAACAUUUGGAACACCAGCAGGAGUUGUUCCUACUUCUAGCAAAAUCACCAAACAUCAGGAGUCCCUUCUCAAAUCGUGAUAUCUAACGCGUUGUAUCUCGCUAUCGAUUUGAGGAAGAACAUGUCAUUCUUGAAGAUCUUCAUCUCGAUUGCGUCGUCUUGAAGGUUGUAAUAAUAAUAAUAUCUCAUUCGACAGGUCAACAAAUGAAGGCUCUUGAGUCAAAUCCACUGGUUGUUGGUUUUCCAUCUCCUAAGCUUCACAACUACAAAGAAGCUACGAUCAAGGAUUGAAAGUAGAAUGUUAUCUUGCCUAGAUGUUGUUAUUUUUAUAAAGGUUUUCAUCUUAAUUUUGAUAGAUGUUGUUGACGAAAUGCCUCCACCGCCUUUACUGUAUUUGCAAGAUUCUUUAUUUGCUCCCAUGUGCAUUCACUAAUAUCAUAUCCGUGCCAAUAGACAAGAUAUUCCAAUUUAUUUUGGUGCUGCCUUGAAUCUAAGUCUUCUUCUACUUCAAACUCUUCAUUAUUGUCCACUUCUAUAGGAGGAGGUGGAGCUUGUCAUCUUCUUGGUAUGUCCAUUAUCUUAUAUGGUUGAAGAAGAGACACGUGGAAUAUUGGAUGGAUUUUUAUUGACUCUGGUAGAUAUAAACGAUAUACAAUUGGAUUGAUUUAUAUAAAAAUAGAAAAUGGUCCAAGCCUUCGAUAGUCCAACUUGUCACAAAGACGAGUGGUCUUGAUAUUGCGACGAAGUAGCCAUACCUUAUCACCCAAGUAUAAUGGUGGUUGUUCCUUUCGAUAGACAUCUGCAUUGACCUUUUGUUGUUCUUUAGCCUCUUUUAACAGCGCCUUCAUCAUUGCAUGUAGCUCUGAUAAAUGAAUCGCCAAAUCUUUUGCAAUAAGAUUAUUAACUUUUGAAAAGUCAAAAGUAUCAAGUCGUGGAAGAUAACCAUAAUUAGAAAAAAAAAAAAAAAAUGUUUGUUUUGUAGAAGAAUGUACCAUAUUAUUAUAAGCAAACUCUGCCAAUGGUAAAAGAGUUGUCCAAUCAUCUUAUUGGUAGUUAAUGGUACAUCUUAAAUAUUGCUCCAAAACUUGAUUAACACGCUCCGUUUGUCCAUUAGUUUGAGGAUGGAAUGUCGAAGAUAGUUCUAUAUCCACUUUUAGAAUCUUGAAAAGAGUCCGCCAAAAUCUUGAUACAAAUUAAAUUCUCCUAUCUGAUAUAAUAUCCUUGGAUAAUCCAUGAUAGCGAUAGAUAUUGUCAAGAAAGAGCUUAAUUGUUUCUUCACCUGUGACAGAUUUUGUACAUGGUACAAAAUAUGCCAUUUUGAUAAAACGAUCUACUAUCACGAAUAUAAAGUCAUAAGAACCUAAGAUUGAAAGAUCCGUGAUGAAGUCCAUAGAAACAGAAGACCAUGGUUGUUCAGGAAUGGAUAAUGGCUGAAGAAGUCGAAAAGGUCGAUGACGAGGAGUUUUUGAUCUUGAACAAAUAUCACAUGAUUAUAAAAAAUCUUUGACUGCCUUCCACAUUUGAAGUCACUAAAAAUCUCUAGAUAUCAGUUCCAAAGACUUAUUGUAUCCAAAAUAUCUUUCUCUUGGGAAGUCGUGAUGAGCUUGAAGAAUACGUAAACGUGCUUCUCCUUCUGGAACAUCUAGACAUCCUUCGAAAUAAAAUAGGUUAUUCUUGAAUUCAAAUUUAGAGGGAUCAUGAGAUUUAGAAGAAUUAUUCUUGAUAUCAUGAACAAGAGGGUCUGAAGACAUACUUAACUAGACUUACUUGAAAAAAGUUAAAUCAAUAGUCAAUGUUGAUUUUAUUGCUCGAAGAUGAAAUUGCUCUGGCAUCAAGAGAACCAUUCUUUGUUGCUCAAAAGCUGCAUCUCCUUCUUUUGGUGUAAGAUAAGAACGUCUAGACAAGGCAUUGGACAAACCUUAUUAUUUUCCUGGCCAAUAAGUGAUGAUGAACUCAAAUCUUGAUAAAGACAUAUUCCAACGAGCUUGGCGAUGAUUUAAUAUGCGUAUUGAGAUGAAAUACUCAAGGUUCUUGUGAUCCAUAUAUACAAUUACCAGACUGGAAGCACCUUCUAGAUAAUGACGCCAUUCUUGAAAAGAAUCCACAAUUGCAAGAAGUUCUUUAUCAUAGAUCUCAUAAUUGAUUUCUACUGUUGAGAAUUUUCUUGAAUGAAAGGCUACUAGAUGAAGUUUUUCAUCUGUUCCCAUUUGUGAUAAAAUCGCACCCAAAGCAAGGUCUGAUGCAUCUGUUUCCAUAAAGAAUGUUUUGAAAAAAUCAACACGAUACAAGAUUGGUGCAGAAAUAUACGUUGUCUUCAAAGAUUCAAAAGCAACUUCCGUUUUUUGAUUCCAUUGGAGUUUGUCUUUACAAUUCAAAUGUGUAAGUGGAGUUACAACUCGAGAGAAGUCCUUCAUAAAGAUUCGAUAGUAGUUGGCAAAUCCCAAAAAGUAUUGGACAUCUCUUAUCGUUUUUGGGAUCUUUCAAUCUAUAAUAGUUUGAACUUUCUUAGGAUCCAUCAUAAGUCCAUCAUUUGAAAUGAUGUAACCUAAGAAAUCGACUUCAGUAGUAUGAAAUACAUACUUUUCUAUCUUGGUAUAGAAUCCUGUAUCUCUUAGUUUUUGUAGCACAUGAUGACCAUGAAGUUUAUGUUCUUCUGGAUGCUUAGAAUAGAUCAAGAUGUCGUCUAGAUAACAGACUACAAAACCAUCCAAAAACUCUCAAAAAACAACAUUCAUUAGAUGUUGAAAAGCUGUUGGUACAUUUGUAAGUCCAAAAGGCAUGACGUUGUAUUCAAAAUGUCCAUACCUAGUUCGAAACGUAGUCUUCCAUUUAUCUCCUUCUUUGAUGCGUUGUCAAGGACAAGAACUCGAUGAAAAAAUAAUUCAGACAAGUGAGCCUUCACUCAAAGAGAGGUAACAAAAUAUAUAUAAAGAAGUAUAUAUAUUGAAAGAGAAACUGGAAUGGCUGUUGCCAAAAUACAAGAAAACUAGAGACCCUUGAAACUAGACUAGAAGUAAGAAAGGAGUUGACAAGAAUGAAGAAGCCUUCACUCUUGUCUCUAUAUAUAUUAUCUAACUAGGGGCUACGUGGUGACGUUCUAUAGGACCUCCAAUAUGUGUUGACUUUGUAGGACACAUGCCUUGACUUACAAGGCAAGUUUUUCUACGUGUGGGCCACAUAGUUAGCUUGAUCUUCAAGCUAACAACAUGUGUGGCACAUGGCCAACUUGUUGACCACGUUUCUAAUCCAAAAAGUCAAUUAAAGAUACCUAUGAAGUCAAAGCACCGUCUAGGAAGUUUCUAGGAAGCUUUUAUAUUAAAUAUUAUAGAAUUAACUUACUUUUAUCUAUUUUUACUUACUUCUACCUAUUUCUAUAUAUAAUUAUUAGCUUACAUGAUUAUGGCCGUGACAUUACCCCCCCUUCUAGAGACGGGUUCUACGAGGAGCGGUCAUCAUAUGUUGAAAAAAUCUAUGAUGCGACGAAUUGUAUUCGCCACAUACUCUGAUCUUUGUUCUCUUCGAAGAUGAUUGAUAGGGCCUCUCAACCAUCGGUAGUGUCCCAUACUAGGGCUGGAAGACCACCCAAUUAUUUGAUCAUUGUUGAGGCCUUCGUAACUUCCUUCGAAUAGAAUAUUCGGAACACCAUCAGGAGUUGUUCAUACUUCUAGCAAAAUCACCAAACAUCGAGAGUCCCUUCCGAAAUCGUGAUACCAAACGCGUUGUAUCUCACCAUCUAUUCGAGGAAGAACAUGUCGUUCUUGAAGAUCUUCAUCUCGAUUGUAUCGUCUUGAAGGUUGUGAUAAUCAUAAUGUCUCGUCCGGCAAGUCAGCAAAUGAAGGCUCUUGAGUUGAAUCCGCUGGUUGUUGGUUCUCCAUCUCUUGAGUGCCACUACUACAACGAAGCUAUGAACAAGAAUUUAAAGUAGAAUGUUAUCUUGCCUAGAUGUUGUUUCUUUGAUAAAGAAGGUUUUCAUCUUGAUUUUGAUAGAUAUCGUCAAUGAAAAGCCUCCACCGCCUUUGCUACAUUUGCAAGAUUUUUUAUUGGCUUCCAUGUGCAUUCACUAAUACCAUAUCCGCGCCAAUGGAUAAGAUAUUCUAAUUUAUUUCGGUGUCGCCUUGAAUCUAAGACUUCUUCUACUUCAAACUCUUCAUUAUUGUCCACUUCUAUAGGAGGAGGUGGAGCUUGUCGUCUUCUUGGUGUGUCUACUGUCUUGUAUGGUUCAAGAAGAGAUACGUGGAAUACUGCAUGGAUUUUCAUUGACUCCGGUAGAUGUAAACGAUAUGCAACUGGAUUGAUUUGUGCAGAAAUAGAAAAUGGUCCCAGCCUUCGAUAGUCCAACUUAUCACAAGGACAAGUGGUCUUGAUAUUGCGACGAAGUAGCCAUACCUUAUCACCCAAGAUGAAUGAUGGUUGUUCCUUUCAAUAGACAUCCGCAUUGGCCUUUUGUUGUUGUUGAGCAUCUUUUAACUGCGCCUUCAUCAUUGCAUGUAGCUCUGAUAAAUGAAUUGCCAAAUCUUUCGCAGCAUGAUUAUCAACUUUUAAAAAGUCAAAAGUAUCAAGUCGUAGAUGAUAACCAUAAUUAGCAAAGAAAGGUGUUUGUUUUAUAGAAGAGUGUACCGUAUUAUUGUAAGCAAACUCUGCCAAUGGCAAAAGAGUUGUCCAAUCAUCUUGUUGGUAAUUAAUGGUACAUCUUAAAUAUUGCUCCAAAACUUGAUUAACACGCUCCGUUUGUCCAUCAGUUUGAGGAUAGAAUGUCGAAGAUAGUUUUAUAUCUACUUUAAGAAUCUUGAAAAGAGUUCGCCAAAAUCUUGAUACAAAUUGAGUUCCUCUAUCUGAUAUAAUAUCCUUGGAUAAUCCAUGAUAGCGAUAGAUAUUGUCAAGAAAGAGCUUAGUUGUUUCUUCACCUGUGAUAGAUUUUGUACAUGGUACAAAAUGUGCCAUCUUGGUAAAACUAUCUACUAUCACGAAUAUAGAGUCAUAAGAACCUGAGAUUGGAAGAUUCGUGAUGAAGUCCAUAGAAACAGAAGACCAUGGUUGUUCUGGAAUGGGUAAUGGCUGAAGAAGUCCAAAAGAUCGAUGACGAGGAGUUUUCGAUCUUGAGCAAACUUCACAUGAUUGUACAAAAUCUUUAACUGCCUUCCACAUUUGAGGCCACCAGAAAUCCCUAGAUAUCAGCUCCAAAGUCUUAUUAUAUCUGAAAUAUCCUGCUGCUGGGAAGUCGUGACAAGCUUGAAGAACACGUAAACGAGCUUCUCCUUCUAGAACAUAUACGCGUCCUUCGAAAUAGAGUAGGUUGUUCUUGAAUUAAAAUUUAGAUGGAUCAUGAGAUUUAGAAGAAUUGUUCUUGAUAUCAUGAACAAGAGGAUCUGAAGACAUACUUAACUGGACUUGCUUAAAGAAAGUUAAAUCAAUAGUCAAUGUUGAUUAUAUUGCUCGAAGAUGAAAUUAUUCCAGCUUCAAGAGAACCGUUCUUUGUUGCUCAAAAGCUGCAUCUCCUUCUUUUGGUGCAAGAUAAGAACGUCUAGACAAGGCAUCAUAUAAACCUUAUCAUUUUCUUGGCCGAUAAGUGAUGAUGAACUCGAAUCUUGAUAAAGACAUGCUCCAACGAGCUUGGCGAUGAUUUAAUACGCGUGCUGACAUAAAAUAUUUGACGUUCUUGUGAUUCGUAUAUACGAUGACUGGACUAAAAGUGCCUUCUAGAUAAUGACGCCAUUCUUGAAAAGAAUCCACAAUUGCAAGAAGUUCUUUGUCGUGGAUCUCAUAAUUGAUUUCUGCUGCUGAGAAUUUUCUUAAAUGAAAGGCUACUGGAUGAAGUUUGUCAUUUGUUCCCAUUUGUGAUAAAACCGCACCAAGAGCAAAGUCCGAUGUAUCUGUUUCCAUAAAGAAUGCUUUGGAAAAAUCAACACGAUACAAGAUUGGUGCAGAAACAAACGCUGUCUUCAAAGAUUCAAAAGCAACUUCCGCUUCUUGAUUCCAUUGGAAUUUGUCUUUAUAAGUCAAACGUGUAAGUGGAGCUACAACUCGAGAGAAGUCUAUGAUGAAGAUCUAAUAGUAGUUGGCAAAUCCCAAAAAACAUUGGACAUCUCUUACUGUUUUUGGGAUCUUCCAAUCUAUAAUAGUUUGAACUUUCUUAAGAUGCAUCAUAAGUCCAUCAUUUGAAAUGAUGUAACCUAGGAAAUCGACUUGAGUAGUAUGGAAUACACACUGUUCUAUCUUGGCAUAGAGCCCUGCAUCUCUUAAUUUUUGUAACACACGACGAACAUGAAGUUCAUGUUCUUUUGGAUUCUUAGAAUAGAUCAAGAUGUCGUCUAGAUAACAUACCACAAAAUCGUCCAAAAACUCUCGAAAAACAUCAUUCAUUAGAUGUUGAAAAGCUGCGGGUUCAUUUGUAAGUCCAAAAGGCAUGACGUUGUAUUCAAAAUGUCCAUACCUAGUUCGAAACGCAAUCUUCCAUUCAUCUCCUUCUUUGAUGCGUACUAGAUUGUAUGCUCCUCGAAGAUCUAUUUUUGUAUAGAUCUUAGCUUGAUUCAGUUGAUCAAGAAGUCCAGAUAUUAAAGGUAGUAGAUACCUGUUUUUGAUGGUAAUCUUGUUGAGUCCUCAAUAAUCAACACACAUACGCAAUGAUCCAUCUUUUUUCUUCACAAAUAGAAUUGGAGCUCCUGCCGGAGAUUUAGAAUGGUGUAUGAAAUUCUCGGCUAGAUUUUCUUCAAUAUACUCCUUGAGUUCAAUCAACUCAUUUUGUGAUAAACUAUAGAUUGGUCCGAAUGGCGGUUGUGCUCCUUCUUGAAGGUCAAUUGAGCAAUCAUAGGGACGAUGUUCCGGGAGUGUGUCCGCAUUUUUUUUUUCGAAUACAUCUUGAAAUUCUUGAUAUUGGCUUGGAAUGCCACUUGAAGCCUUUUCAACAGUAGAAACGGGUGUAGCAUAAAUAAUGUAUGGUGAUUCUUUCAUAGCAGCAUACAAGAAAGCUUUUGCACCUAUAAAUAUGGGUUUAAUUGAACUAGACUUAUUACUCUCUACUUGCUUAACUACACUAUUAGUUAUACUUUCAGAGAAAGUGAGAGUUCAGAAAAUCCAGUCUAUUUGAGGGUUGUAUUUUCCUAACCACGAUAAACCUAAAAUGACUGGAUUAGAGGGAGAUCUAAUGAUAUUAAAUACUACAAAACUAUUAUGACCAUUGAUUAUUACUUCUAUAGGAAGGGUUUCGUGAGUAAUAUCUCGAGAAGACAAUAGACGACCAUCUAUGACUUCUACAUGAACAGGUUUAGUUUUCUUUACUAAAGAUAUGCUAUGUCCUUUAGUAAAUUCUUCAUCUAAAAAACAAGCUGAGGCUCCUAAAUCUAACAAGGCAGAGACUUUGUAAUGUUUAGGUCCUAAAAUAACAUUUAAUGUAAAACAAGGAGAGGGCUCUGAGGAAAGAAUAGGACCUUUAUUAGAAGUUGUGCAAGGUUCCAACCGCACGAUCCCUAUUGUAGCUGGACAAACUCGUUUUCCAACAUAUUCUCUUCUUUCACAGCCAUACUCCUCAUUUUGUGAUUGCGUUGUUUCUUUGGACAAUGUUGAGCAGUGUGCUUUGAUUCUCCACAAUAUAAACAUAAUCCUUCUUGACGACGACGAGACUUUUCUUGCUCAGUAAGAGGUUUGAAACGUACUGCAUCAAUUUGCAUAUCCUCUACUUCCGAAUGUAUGUGUUGAAGAGAUGUUGGUGUUGCCAUUGAAUUAUAGUAACGUUGAGGUCCACUUGUACGGUUCUCAGAUCAGAAUUCAAAAAGGCGAUUGUCACACUUCACAACAAAGUCAAUUGCUUGACUCAAUGUUUGAGGAUCAAGUAAGUUGAGCAUUAAUUUUUUUACCUCAUAUUGUAAUCCGCAGAAAAAUUGACUAAUAAGUGCAGCAUCAUCUCACUUGAUAUCAGUUGUAAGUUGUCAAAAUUAUGAAGCAUAUAACGUUAUUGAUCGAUUGCCUUGUCAUAAAAUACGGAUUUUAUUGGUUGCAACACAAAUUGCAUCAUGUUCUCCAUACAUGGAUCGAAACUCUGCCAAAAAAGUCUCUAGAUUAUCCAAUAUUGGAUCUCGUCAUUUAAGAAAAGAUAAAAUCUAUGAUAGUGCCGAACCUGAAAGAAGCGUACCAAUGAAUCUAACUUGUGAUCCUGGAGUUGGAUAGCUUUGGAGUUGAAGUUCAAUCACAAGUUGCACUUGAUUGAUAAAUCCUCGAAACUUGGAUCUGGUGCCAUCAAACUUCUUGGGUAGGGCAAUUCUUGGUUCUCUAACAUUUGAAGGGCGUUCCAUCAUAGGAAAAAAGACAUGGUUUGAUGUAGAUGUUGAAGCAGUUCCAACCAUUUCUAUAUCUUCACUUCCUGUCAAUCUUGUUGCUCCUUGUGGUGGUAAAUUGAGUUGAUGCAUCGCAAGCAUUAACUCCCUCAAUUGCUCUUGCAUUUGUGCCAUUGCAUUCUUCAUUUCAACAUGUUCUGCCAUGAUAAUACUUAGAAGAGAGAAGAUGUCUAAUAUCGCUCAAGACAAAUAGAAGAGAGGACUUGCGGACAAAGAAAAUACUAAGGACAAUAUCAGUUUAGAAGAGGGUAAUCUGUAACUUCUAAUACGCUUAUAUCUUAUCAAGAAAAAAGGGUAAUCCACUCUUAAUCAAGAUUAGACAAAGCUCUGAUAUUGUAGGUGUAUUCUUGUCAAUCUGUCAAGGACAAGAACUCGAUGAAAAAAUAAUUCAAACAAGUGAGCCUUCAUUCAAAGAAAGAUAAUAAAAUAUAUAUAAACAAGUAUAUAUAUUGAAAGUGAAACUGGAAUGGCUAUUGCCAAAAGACAAGAAAACUAGAGACCCUUGAAACUAGACUAGAAGCAAGAAAGGAGUUGACAAGAGUGAAGAAGCCUUCACUCUUGUCUCUAUAUAUAUUAUCUAACUCAGGGCUACGUAGCAAUGUUCUAUAGGGCCUCCAAUAUGUGUUGACUUUGUAGGACACAUGCCUUGACUUAUAAGGCAAGUUUUUCUACGUGUGGGCCACAUAGUUAGCUUGAUCUUCAAGCUAAGAACAUGUGUGGCACAUGGCCAACUUGUUGACCACGUUUCUAAUCCAAAAAGUCAAUUAAAGACACCUAUGAAGUCAAAGCAGCAUCUAGGAAGCUUCUAAGAAGCUUUCAUAUUAAAUAUUAUAGAAUUAACUUACUUUUACUUACUUUUACUUACUUCUAUCAUUUGUAUAUAUAAUUAUUAGCUUACAUGAUUAUGGCCGUGACAUGCGUGCUAAAUUGUAUGCUCCCCGAAGAUCUAUUUUUGUAUAGAUCUUAGCUUGAUUCAGCUGAUCAAGAAGUCCAGAUAUUAAAGAUAGUGGAUACUUGUUUUUGAUGGUAAUCUUAUUGAGUCCUCGAUAAUCAAUACACAUCCGCAAUGAUCUAUCUUUUUUCUUUACAAAUAGAAUUGGAGCUCCUAUCAAAAAUUUAGAAUGGUAUAUAAAAUUCUUGGCUAGAUUUUCUUCAAUUUAUUCCUUGAGUUCAGUCAACUCAUUUUGUGAUAAACUGUAGAUUGGUCCAAAUGGUGGUUGUGCUCUUUUUUGAAGGUCAAUUGAGUAAUCAUAGGGACGAUGUUUCGAGAGUGUAUCCGCAUUCUUUUUUGUUGAAUACAUCUUGAAAUUCUUCAUAUUGGCUUCGAAUGCCACUUGAAGUCUUUCCUCCAGUAGAAAUAGGUGUGGCAUAAAUAAUAUAUGGUGAUUCUUUCAUAGCAGCAUGCAAGAAAGCUUUUACACCUAUAAAUACGGGUUUAAUUGAACUGGACUUAUGACUCUCUACUUGAUUAACUACACUGUUAGUUAUAUUUUUACAGAAAGUAAGAGUUUGGGAAAUCCAAUCUAUUUGAGGGUUGUAUUUUUCUAACCACGAUAAAUCUAAAAUGAGUGGAUUAGAGGGAGAUCUAAUGAUAUUAAAUACUACAAAGCUAUUAUGACCAUUGAUUAUUACUUCUAUAAGAAGGGUUUUGUAAGUAAUAUCUCCAGAAGACAAUGGACGACCAUCUAUAACUUCUACAUGAACAAGUUUAGUUUUCUUUACUAAAGAUAUGCUAUAUCUUUUAGUAAAUUCUUUAUCUAAGAAACACGCUGAGGCUAUGAAUCUAAUAAGGUAGAGGCUUUGUAAUAUUUAGGUCCUAAAAUAAUAUUUAAUGUAAAACAAGGAGAGGGCUCUGAGGAGAGAAUAGGACCUUUACUAGAUAUUGUACAAGGUUCCAACCGCACAGUCUCUAUUGUAGUUGGACAAACUUGUUUUUCGACAAAUUAUUUUUUUUAUUAGCCAUACUCCUCAUUUUGUGGUUCCAUCAUUUCUUUGGAUAAUGUUGAGCAGUGUGCUUUGAUUCUCCAUAAUAUAAACAUAAUCCUUCUUGACGACGACGAGUCUUUUCUUGCUUAGUAAGAGGUUUGAAAUAUACUGCAUCAAUUUGCAUAUCCUCUACUUCCGUAUAUAUGUAUUGAAGAGGUGUUGGUACUGCCAUUGAAUUAUAGUAAUGUUGAGGUCCACUUGUACGGUUCUCAUAUCGAAAUUCAAAAAGGCGAUUGUCACACUUCACAACAAAGUCAAUUGCUUGACUCAAUGUUUGAGGAUCAAGUGAGUUGAGCAUUAAUUUUUUUACCUCAUAUUGUAAUCUAUAGAGAAAUUGGCUAAUAAGUGCAACAUCAUUCCACUUGAUAUCAGUUACAAGUUGUCAAAAUUGUAAAGCAUAUAAUGUUACUGAUCGAUUGUCUUGUUGUAAAAUACAGAUCUUAUUGGUUACAACACGAAUUGCAUCAUGUUUUCCAUACAUGGAUCAAAACUCCACUAAAAAAGCCUCUAGAUUAUUCAAUAGUGGAUCUCGUCAUUCAAGAAAAGAUGAAAACCACGAUAGUACUGAACCUGAAAGAAGCGUACCAAAGAAUCUUACUUGCAAUCAUGAAGUUAGAUAGCUUUGGGAUUGAAGUUCAAUCACAAGUUACACUUGAUUAAUAAAUCUUUGAAACUUAGAACUGGUGCCAUCAAACUUCUCGGAUAUGGCAAUUCUUGGUUCACUAAUACUGGAAGGGCGUUCCACCAUAGGAGAAAAGACAUAGUUUGGUGCAAAUGUUGAAGCAAUUCCAACCAUUUCUAUAUCUUCACUUCCUGCCAAUCUUGUUGCUCUUUGUGGUGGUAAAUUGAGUUGAUGCAUUGGAAGCAUUAACUCCCUCAAUUGCUCUUACAUUUGUACUAUUGCACUCUUCAUUUCAACAUGUUCUGCCAUGAUAAUACUUAGAAAAGAGAAGAUGUCUAAUAUCGCUCAAGACAAAUAGAAGAGAGGACUUAAGAAGAAAGAAAAUACUAAGGACAAUAUCAGUUUAGAAGAGGGUAAUCCGUAACUUCUAAUAUGCUUAUAACUUAUCAAAAAAAAGGGAUAAUCCACUCUUAAUCAAGAUUAGACAAAGCUCUGAUAUUGUAGGUGUAUUCUUGUCAAUCUGUCAAGGAUAAGAACUCGGUGAAAAAAUAAUUCAGACAAGUGAGCCUUCACUUAAAGAAAGGUAACAAAAUAUAAUUAAACAAGUAUGUAUAUUGAAAGAAAAAUUGGGAUGGCUAUUGCCAAAAGACAAGAAAACUAGAGACCCUUAAAACUAGACUAGAAGCAAGAAAGGAGUUGACAAGAGUGAAGAAGCCUUCACUCUUGUCUUUAUAUAUACUAUCUAACUAGGGACUACGUGGCGACAUUCUAUAGGACCUCCAAUAUGUGUUGACUUUGUAGGACACAUGCCUUGACUUACAAGGCAAGUUUUUCUACGUGUGGGCUAUAUAGUUAGCUUGAUCUUCAAGCUAACAACAUGUGUGGCACAUGGCCAACUUGUUGACCAUAUUUCUAAUCCAAAUAGCCAAUUAAAGACACCUAUGAAGUCAAAGCAACGCCUAUGAAGCUUCUAAGAAACUUCCAUAUUAAAUAUUAUAGAAUUAACUUACUUUUAUCUACUUUUAUUUACUUCUACCUAUUUAUAUAUGUAAUUACUAGCUUACAUGAGUAUAUCUAUGACACCUUGCAGUUGAAACCUUACACAACACCUUCUGAAGGUCAUAUUUUCUUCCAAAAUCCUCUCUUUGUUUUAUAAUAGAUAUUAGAUUAGAACUUAAAUAUCAAAAAUCUUCUACCUUGCUAUAUUUAAGAGCCUCAACUUAUUUUUUAGAUAAAAUAUUUAUUAAAAGGCAUAAUAUAACUUUAAUAGAUAAAACAAAAUAUGUUCAUAUAGAAGUCAUAGAUAGUCAUUUGUUGUCCUCUAGAGAAAUUAUUCAUAAUCUUUUUUUUUAAAAGUAGUAAUUAAUAGUCAUAAUAGUUUUGUGGUAUUUAAUAUUAUUAGAUUUCUUUCUAAUCUAAUUAUUUUAAGUUUAUUAUGAUUGAAAAAAUACAAUCCUUAAAUAGAUCAGAUUUCUUGUAGUUUUGAUAUUUUUGAAAGUAUAACUAAGAGUGUAAUUAAUGAAAUAAAAAUUCAUAAGACUAAUACAACCAAAUGUAUAUUUGUAGAUGCAAGAAUUUUCUUACAUGUUGCAAAAAAAGAACCACCUUGUGUCAUUUAUGCCACACUUUUUUUAAUAGUAGAAAGUCUUCAAAUGGCAUUCUUAGCCAAUAUUAAGAUUUUCAAGAUGUAUUUGAGAAGAAAAAUGUAGAUAUUCUUUUGAAACAUUGUUUCUAUAAUUACUCAAUUGACCUUCAAGAAGGCUCUCAACCACCAUUUGGAUCAAUCUAUAGUUUAUUAUAAAAUGAAUUGGCAAAAUUUAAAGAGAAUAUUGAAGAAAAUUUUGCCAAAACUUCAUAUGCCAUUUGAAAUCUCUAGCAAGAGCUCCAAUUUUAUUUGUAAAUAAAAAAGAUGGAUCAUUUUAGAUGUGUCAAUUAUCCAAAGCUUAACAAGGUCACUAUUAAAAAUAAAUAACUACUACCUUUGAUACUUAGAUUUUUUGAACAAUUGAAUCAAACUAAGAUCUAUAUAAAAAUAGAUCUAUGAGGGACAUACAAUCUAAUAUGCAUCAAAGAAAGAAAUGAAUAGGAGAUUAUAUUUUGAAUACAUCAUUUCAAAUGAUGAACUUAUAAUGGAUCAUAAGAAAGUUUAAAUUAUUAUGCAUUAGAAGAUGUCAAAAAUAAUAAAAGAUAUCCAAUGCUUUUUAGAAUUUAUGAACUACUAUCAAAUCUUCUUUGAAGACUUCUUUCAAGUUAUAGUUCUACUUAUAUAUUUGACUUUUAAAGACAAACUUCUAUGGAAUUAAGAAGUAGAAGCAAUAUUUGAAGCUUUGAAGACAACCUUUGUUUUUGCAAUAAUUUUGUAUCACAUCGACUUUUUUAAGUCACUUUUUAUGAAAAUUGAUGCAUCAAACUUUGCUUUAGGUGUUGUACUAUCACAAAUGGGAACAAAUGAUAAAUUUUAGUCAAUAGCUUUUCAUUCCAAAAAAAUUUUAGCAAUUGAGAUCAACUACAAGAUCCGUAAUAAAGAAAUUUUUAUAAUUGUGGAUUUAUUUCAAGAAUAGAAUCAUUAUCUAGAAGGCACUUUUAGUCCAAUCAUUGUAUAUACACAUCACAAAAAUCUUAAGUAUCUUAUGUUUGAAUACAUUUUGAAUUGUUGUCAAGUUUGCUAAAUCAUAUUCUUGUCGAGAUUCAAAUUUAAAAUCAGUUAUCAACCAAAAAAAUAAAAAGGUUUAUUAGACACACUCUCUAAAUAAUAUUAUCUUGUAGCAAAAGAAAUAGAUGCUACUUUUAAUUAAUGACAAAGAAUUUUCUUGAAGCCAAAGAAUCUUCACCUUUGAGUAAUGAAAUCAAUACUAAUUAUCGAUUUAACUUUUAUUAAGCAAUUUCAAUCAAGUAUGUCUUCUAAUUAUCUUAUUUGUAAUAUUAAGAAAAAUAUUUCAAAGUAUUAUAAUUUUUUUAAGUUUGAAUUCAAGAAUAAUCUAUUAUAUUUUGAGAUACACUUAUAUAUUCUAGAAGAUGAAGUUUAAUUAUGUGUUUAUUAAGCUCGUCAAAAUUUUCUAACAAUAAGAUAUUUUAGAUAUAAUAAGAUUUUGGAGCUAAUAUCUAGAGAUUUUUAGUAGCUCUCAAUGUAGAUGGUACUCAAAUAUUGUGUACAAUUUUGUGAUGUUUUUUCAUGAUAAAAAAUUCCUUGUUAUCAACCAUAAAGACUUCUUUAGCCAUUCUCCAUUUUAGAAUAACCAUGGUCUACUAUUUCUAUGGAUUUUAUCGUAGAUCUUUUUGUCUUAAGUUCUUAUGACUCUAUAUUUGUGAUAAUAGAUUGUUUCACUAAAAUGGUACAUUUUGUACUACAUACAAAAUCUAUCACAAGUAAAGAAACAACUAAGUUUUUUCUUGAUAACAUCUAUUGCUGUCAUCGAUUAUUUUAAAAAUUUAUCUGAUAGAGAAACUUGAUUUGUAUCAAGAUUUUGAAAAAUACUUUUGAAGAUUUUAAAGGUAGAAAAAAACUAUCUUUGACUUUCUAUCUUGAAAAUGAUCGACAAACAAAGCAUAUAAAUCAAGUUUUGGAGUAAUAUUUGAGAUAUAAUAUUAGCUAUUAACAAGAUGAUUUGAUAAUUCUUUUAUUAUUGGUAGAGCUUUUUUUUAUAAUAACAUGAUAUAUUUUUCUAUGCAACAAAUACUUUUCUUUGCUAAUUAUGGUUAUCAUCCACGACAUGAUGCUUUUGACUUUUCAAAAAUUUAUAAUCUUGUAGUAAAAGAUUUGGUAAAUCAUUUAUCUAAGUUAUAUACAAUAAUAAAGGUAUGACUAAAAGAGGCCCAAGAAUAAUAAAAGAACAAUCGAAGUGCCUAUUGUAAAGAAUAACUUCAUUUUUACAUUGGUGAUAAGUUAUGGUUGCUUCAUUGUAAUAUUAAAACUACUUGUCUUUGUAAUAAGUUGGAUUAUUAUACACUCAAAUCAUUUUUCUAUUUAUAAAUAAGUUAAUCCAAUUGUUUAUUGAUUACAUCUACCAAAGUCUACACAAAUCCAUCUUGUAUUUCAAGUAUCUUUUUUGGAGCCAUAUAAGAUAGUAAAUAUCUCAAGAAGAAGAUAAAUAUGACCGCCUCUUAUAGAAAUGAGUAAUAAUAAAGAAUUUGAGGUAGAAGAAGUCUUAGACUCAAGGCAGCCCUAACUUAGGUUUGAAUAUCUUAUUCAUUAGUAUGGUGUCAUAUUACAUGAAGUGUUGCUUGAGAGUGUACUAGGCACCUAACUGUAGAAGAUAGAAUGAAAAUUGUAAUAACAAAAUUUUAAUUCUAAUAGAAUACUAAAUAAACUCUAAUUAAACCUUAAUAAUAUUAAACAAGCUUUAAUCAAAUGCAAAAGAAAUCUUAAAGAAAUUACAAAAGAAAUAAUAAAAAAUCUUAAAAGAAUUGAAAUAUAAUCUACAAUAAAUUUUAAAAGAAUCCUUAAGAAAUCCUAAAAAAUAUUAAAAUAAUUAAAAUAUAUCUUAAAUAAAUCUCAAUCAAGUUCUAAUUUAAUCCUAAUUAAAAUCCUAAUGGACUUCAAUCAAAUCUUAUACAAAUCCUAAAUCCUAAAUCAAAUCCUAGACAAAUCUUAAAUUCUAAACCAAAUCUUAAGUGAAUCCUAAAUCCUAAAUCCUAAAUCCAACCCUAAUCAAACUCUAGCCAAGCUCUAAAUUUUAAAUCAAAUCCAAAAUAAAUUUUAAAUCCUAAACUAAAUCCUAAUCAAAUCCUAAUCAAACUCUAAAUUUGAAAUCAAAUCCUAAAGCAAAUCCUAACCAAAUCCUAAAUCCUAAACCAAAUCCUAAUCAAAUCCUAAACCCUAAACCAAAUCUUAAUGUAGUUUAGAACCUUGAUAUCUUUUGAUUAAAUUAUUGAUCUUGUUUAAAAUUUUAUACACCUUUCAAUCUCUUUGUUACAAACAAGUGCAAUAAAUUUGAAGACAAUUGCACUUACCAAAUAGAAAAAAAAAAAAAAUCCUAAUAUUGGAUUUAUGAUUGGCUUUCAAGUCCUAACAGAAAAUAGAUUUCAAGCAGACUUAAGAGGUUUUAAACACAUUGGAGCUCAGCCAAACUAUCCCUAGCCAGCCAUGUUUUGAUUGCCAACUAAGUCUUCCUUGCCUUAGUAUGGUACGUUUCAUACUACUAGAACCUUCAUUUACUCACCAUCAAAAAAGCGAUGGUACUUAUAAGAAAUUACAUUGGAUCAAGAGAAAAUGGAAAACGUUCGUGCCUGGCCAAGGUCGGAUGGAGUUCUUUGAUACAAACACAAAAAAUGGGAGGCCUUAAACUUCUUGACCUGAGUAUGCAAAUGCAUGCACUGAUGGUCAAAUUAUUUAUCCGUGGUCUCACACCGGGCACUGCCCCCUAGCAAGUCCUCCUCUAGCACAGAAUUAAUUCUCUGCGACCAAAGAAAGCAGGAAGCUGGCCACCAAAUCUUCAUUUCAUAUUAAACACAAACGCAGUCCAUGGAUCCGUCUCUGACCUCUGGAGGGCAGUGUGGAAAUUUUAUCCCGCAUUACCACACCCAAGCGACUGCAGCUCCAGUUCAAGCAACUCACACUUCAAGAAGUUGAGCAGAAGGAUGUCAUUCAAUUACUUUGGGACGCCAACAAACCAGCAAAAUUACAGACAUUCCUGUGGCAAGUGAAUUCUGGUGGCCUCUCAACCGGCAGUAGGUGCAAAGUCAUAAGUUUUCCUCCCAGAUGCAACUACUGCGAGGUGAAUAUUGGGGAAAUCCUGGAACACUGCCUCCGCACAUGCAAAUUUGCGAGAAGGACUUGGUAGUCUUUCAGUGGAGUCUGGAGCGCCAUGGGCACGACACCAACUCUUUUCUGGAAAGAAAUGGUAUCCCGUAUACCCCCAGGUGUACGCUUGGAGCAAGGUUACCAACCUGGAACCAGCACUAGAAGCUUGGGAGGCAAUGUGCUACGCGCAGCAAUCCUAUGGCAUCUUUGGUGCGCCCCUUGCAGAUUUAUUUUUACCCAAGAACCUUUAAAAUGAGCAUGAAAUAUGCCACCUCGCAUGGCUAGAAACAAUCUACGCAGGGAUGGCUCGACAUAACCAUAUUCUCAAGUAUUACAACAAAUGCAGAGACUCCAGAAAAUCGACUAUCAGCAAGGAGUUAAUGAUACUUGGUGUAGGAAUGAGGUACUCUGUGCUCGAGGUUUUCAUUCACCCAGAUGGAAACUCGCCCCUACACUCAUAAAUCCACCAACCCUCCCCGGGACCCCGGAUUAAAAUGUAUUCUUUUUUUAAAAAAAAAAACCACCGUUACUUUCCAAAAAAAAAAAAAAACGGCUAAGAGAUAUAUAUAAUUUAGAGAGGGAGGGAGGGAGGGAUAGAGGCGGCAUCCCCUGAGCAGGCAGACCAGGAGAGAUGGGCUCUGCAGGUGGGUAGGUAUGGAUAAGAGCAAUCCAGCCUCCACCUUGUCGUGGUGCUGAAAAGACAAAGGUAAAGCAGAAGCAAAAGAGAAAACAAAACACAACAAAAUACAAAAUAAUAAAAAAGUAGGGAGGGAGGGAUAUGGAAAAUCCCAUUUGGCCCCAGAGUCUGUUCAGCACAGCACCACCACCAUCUCCCUCCCACUUGUAGUUAGUGGUGGUUGCAGACACAGCCCUGCAGCAUCCCCAGUGAUGGCAGAGACCAAAGAGGAAGAGGGAGAAAGAAAGAGUGAGUGGAAAGAGAGAAAGUGGUAAGAGAGAGAGAGCGCGCGUGGCUGAGUGGCGGGGGGGGGGUGGGUGGGGCGUGGGGAUGCUGAGCUGGACACUCUGUUGUUGCCAGCUCAGCGGGCAGUCGUGCGAGGGUAGGUGGGGUCCAUAUCAGCAUCAGGGAAAGCGGGGGGGAGUGGGGGCGUAAAGGCAGACCAAAAGGGGAGCCUUUUCUUCCACGCAGCCUUCCUGUCGGAUCCCUCCACCCCCUCGGGGAGCAGCACCACUCAACUCCACCCAUGCCAGAAGUCUCUCUCAUGAACGAAUGAACGCGCUAUAUGAUGGAUGAAUGAAAGAAUGAAUCAAUGAAUGGAUAAUUAAUACUGUAACUCAUUCAUCCACUUCGCCCUUCCCCAUAUGUUCAUCCUACAUAUCUAUCCAUCUAUCCAUCCGUUCAUUCAUCCAUCCAAUAACAAGAUGGGUUGUGAGAAAAGCCUGCUCGUCGUUUAUCCCACACAACCAACACUAGACUACGACUACAACUACAUUUCACUACACUACACUGCGAGAGAGAGAGAGAGGGAGACCCCACACAACAACAACAAAAAGCUUGCUCUGUGUUGUUGGUGCUGCCCUGCCCUCCCUCCUGUCAUUGGUUUGUUUGUCUUGUUCUGCCAAGGGUGCUUCUCGCUGUUUUAUUUCUCAGUUGUAUUCUUGUUUGUAUGUACUGUGCAUGUGCUGCUGCGUAUUUGUAAGUGUGUGUGUGUUCAAUGCAAUGAAUGAAUGAAUGAAUGAAUGCCCAGUUGAGGCAGCAGCUGGUUGCACAAAAUAAGGAGGGGAGGUGGGUAGAGGAGGUGGGGUUGACGUGGUUGGCACACACACGAGGUGAGUGGGUGAGAAUGAGUGUGAGUGAGUGAGUGAGUGCGACUGACCCAGCAGCUGCAAUGGUGAGUGAAUGAAUGAAUAAAUGAAUAAAUGAAUAGAGCGCCGCAGACUGGAUUAUUGUUAUUAUUAUUGUUUCCCCCUCUUUCUUCCCUCCAUGUUUCCUUUUUUGUUGUUGUUGUUGCUGGUCUCGUGAGGAGAGGCUUUUUGUCGGGUGAGGAAUUUCAGGCUGUCGCGGUUCUGAAGAGGGAGGGGGCGGGGAUUUGAAGGUCCCGAGGUGGAGAAAAAUAAACCAAAAACCAGAAAGGAGGGAGAUGCAGAAGAAAACGACGACGAGAGCUCUAAAAAUAAGCUACGGCGUGCUUCCAGCGGAAGCGAAAAAUCACACCCAUUCUCAUCAUAUAGGCACAGAAAAAGAAGGGCAAUCUGGUGCCCACUCAUGCGCAUGAAGGGAGACAUACAGACACAGCGAGGUGGGGUAGCAGAGGAUUUUUUCUUUUCUUUUGGCCUUUACGCAUCCGUGAAUGAAUGCUCACACACACAGAUGAAUAAUUAACUGAGCUGGUCACACAUAGUAAUGGUCUUUUAUUUCCUUUUGUCAUCUUUUCUAAUUUUUGUACUCCAGAAAGUGGAAUCUUUGCAUCACUUUGUCAGGUCUUUCUUUGGACUGAAGGGGAUCUUAUUGUCGGUUUCUUUGUCUAUUUACGAGAUCAAAAGCCCGGGAUCCAGGUCGGGAUGUCACGACAAGCUUAGCCUUUUCCUCGUUUUCGCCAUAUUGUUAAUUAGCAAGUCUUGCUAGCUGUCAAAAGGACAUACUUCUUAAGAUGUUAUUCAAAACUAAUGAGGCGGCACCAUCUGGUGGGUUCUUAAUGGAUCCAUUUAUUUGGAGUUUUCAUAGCAGUUACUAUCCGGUAGUUUAACCUAAAAUAAUACACGCUAAAAUUUCAAACACAAAAAUAUUAGCAAUCUGUGCUUGCAUGUGUAAACUACGCAAUCAGUGGAGUUCUGAUACCCCUUUCCACUUAUCGUUGGUUUUUUAUUUUAUUUUAUUUUAAAUAAUCCUGUUUUUUUCUGUUUUAGCUUGGAUCCCACAACCAUAGCCUAACAACUCACUAUAGCAUCCAAGCUGCCAUAAGAGAGAACUGUGCAAAAGCACACAUGUCUUUUUGUGGUUUAUGCUGUAACUCCCUUCUCUGUCCAACCUCAUAAGAGCAUGGCCACCAGUGGCACCAUCGGGCACCCACGCUCCCCCGCCAUCAGAAAGUUCCCCACCAACGCUCGCUCGAGGGCGGGGGUGAGAGCGGCCACGCCAGAUUUGGGUGUUUGACCGCCAGCCUGCCGUGCAAACAACCUGCUUUGGCCGGGCCCGUCCUUGCAGUGGGGCCCAGUCGGUAGCCCGUAACCGGCCGCGACGUGGGGCUGGGCGUGGAGGCUGCCCACCACCCAGCGGGGUGGUCGGGUAAUCUCUAAUAAUCCAAUCAAACUUUAACCUAUCGAAAUAAAUUUUAAAAAUUUUCAUUAAAGAAAUACUAAAUAAAAAAAACCUAAUAUAAUCCUAAUUGAAAUUCUAAUUGAAUCUUAACCAAAUCCUAUAUCAAAUACUAAUGAAACUCCAAUGAAAUUCUAAACCCUAAACAAAUCCUAAACAAGUUCUAAACCAAGCUCUAAGCAAACUCUAACCGUAACCAAAUCUUCAACCAAAUUCUAAUCAAAUUCUAGAGCAUAAAAAAAUUCUUUACACAUCCUAUAACAAAAUAGAACUUCAACAACUAUUGAUCAAACCAUUGAUAUUAGUUCAAAAUUUACACAAUUCUUAAUAUCUUAAUUAAGAACAAGCUCAAGAAAGAUGAAAUCAAUUGCACUUACCAAUUGACAGAAAUGCAAGAUAAUCCAAUUGGGUGUUGGACAGCCUCCUACUCCGAUGUAAAUGCUAAACUUCUAAUAUCAAUAUUUCAUUAUUGAACCAUUGAAUUGCUCUCAAAUUUCACUUGAAAUAUUGGAAAUCGAAUCUAGCAUCUAUAUAAAAAUAUUUUACUUCAAUCCAAUUAACAGAUUACUGAAGAUCAUAGAAAUACUUACUAACCCUCAAACACUAAUUUUUGAGACCUCAACCCACAAAAAUCUUCACAUACUUCAAUUUAAUUUAUUGAUUGCCCUCAAACUUUGCAACACAUUCAUAACUAGCAUACCAACAUACUAUCCAAAAUUCAUCUAUACAUACACCACAAAAUUCAAAAAACCUUCAAAUUUAUAAACAUAUUUUUAUUUCUAAAAUCAAAACCAAUUGAGAACAUUAUCAACUUUAAAAAUCCUUCAAAAACUCAAUAAUGAUCCAAUUGACAUAAAACCAAUGCUAAAAAGUCUUCCUUUUAAGUCAACUCUCAUAUUCCAUUCUCUAAUCUACAAAAAAACUCUAGAGUCAUUGUAGGUGCAUAAUUUUGUCCUUGUAGUCUGAUUUUGAUCUAGGUUGAGAAACAGUUCCCUCCGGGUAUUAAUUCUCAGCUUUUUGAGGUAAAUUUUACUAAAAUCUAUUCUUAAGAUCCUACAUAUGAAUAUAUUAUUUAAUUUUUUAAUCUACUUUCUUUUGUUUUAUUUAUGGCCUUACAAAGUAAAUAACAACUUAUUUUAUAAAAAGGCAAUAUUAGCACUUUUUUGUUUUAUUAUCUUUUUGACUAUUAUCUAUAUUUUUAAGAUAACUUACUAUAAUAAUUUAAAUUAAGAUCUUGUAUAAUAUAAUUUUUUUCUUCUUUCUUUCAUUUAUUAUCUAUGUUACAUCACAACAUCCACCCAUUCUGAAUCUAUGCAUCUUUUGGCAUGCACCAAGUUUUUUUUAUUAUAUUGAUAUAAAGUAUUUUUCAUCUUGGUCAAAUUCUUGAUCUUCAAUUUGUUCUUCUAUUUCCACUUCAAUGUCUUGUAAUGUAUUUUUUUCUUAUUAAAACCAAUGUCUUUACUUCUUUGUUUAAAUAACUUGAUUCACUUGCUUACUAUAUGUAUCUAUAGUUCUGUACGAUCCAAUUCUUGUAACAAAUAUGUUCCAUUGUCAUAUACUUAUUUGACAACAUAAGGUCCAAAUCGUCUUUUUGCAAACUUCUAUAUUAUACUAUGUUGAUUGGCUAAGCUAUUAUCAUAAAUUAACAUCCAAUCGCCAUCUUCAAUUGCCUCAAGUCAUAGUCAAUAUUUUUUAUCAAAUAUUUUUUUAUUCUUUUUCCUUGUUUCUUUCAAUCUCUUCAUUGCCACUUGAAUAUCAUUAAGUCUUCUUUCUAAUUGUUGAAUCUAUAAUACUAAAAGUUCUUUUCUAUUGAAAUCAUCCUUCCAAGAUAAUAUACUCUAUAUAGGCACUACCUCUUUUAUUGGAAUUAUUGAUUUUUUUCCAUGUAUUAAUUCAAAAGGCAUAUAACUUUUUACUGAACUAUUAGUUGUACGAUCAACCUAUAGUACAAAUGGUAGUAGUCUAGGCCAUUCAUUCAAAUUCCAUAGUUCAUAUGGAAUUGUAAAAAUAAACAUAGAUGCUAUAAUACUUAGAUCAAUAUAUCCUAUUUCAUGUAAUUCAAAUGCAAAUGCAAUGCCUUAUGAUGUCAUGAAAGCAUUUUCUUUGAAACAUCUCUAUUCAUUUUUUGCCAAAAAUUACUCAUAUUCAAUUUUUAAACUAUUUAAUAUUAAUUCAUCCUUAAAUUUAUGACCUAUUUUUCUUGGAUCUCUUAAAUUGGGUUGCAUAAAAGCUUUUUCAAUCCUUUCCUUAAAAUCCAAUGUUAGUGGUAAUGCCAUUGAUUGAACCUUCUUUUCAACAGUCUUAUAUUUUGUGUUCACCUUCACUUCAUACUUAUCUACAUGUUUUUUCACUAGAUCAUAAAAUUACUUAGAAUACACGUUUAUUAUCUUAUCACUUUUUCAAAAUCUAAAUUUAAUAAUAUUUUUAAAUUAUUCAUAAUAUCACCAAAGAAAGAUUCUUCAAAUAUUCCUAAUAUGUAUUCAUCUUUAUCAAUUAUUCUUCAUUUCUUCAACUCAUGUUCCAUAUUUUUGACAUUAUUCUUUUUUAUCUUUUUUAAAUUUUUUAAAUUUUUUAAUUAAAUAUAUCCAUUUUGUCGUAAUCCUAUAAUGGUCUCAUUUCUUUUACUCGAAGGAAAGCCACUAAUACUUCUAUUUUUGUAAAUUCUUUUUAUAAUGGUCUUUAGUAAAAAUCCUUUAAGUAUUUUAGAUUUUCAAUUCUUUUUGUAUCCUUGGCAAAAGUCGCUUCUCCAAACUAACUUAAUGAUUUGCACAAACUAUCAUAAAUUGUACCACCUUCUUUCUAUCUUGACUUCUUAUCCUUGCAUAGACCAAACUAUCAUCCAUUAUCUUUAUUUCCAUUCAUAUAAUAAUAAUAUAUGGUUGUCUUAAUAUGAUAGAGUAGAUCAAGAUGCCAUCUAAAUAACAGACAAUAAAAUCAUCAAGAAAUUCUCAAAAGACAUCAUUCAUUAGAUGUUGAAAAAUAGUUGACAUAAUAUAUUUUCUUGAUCUACUCUAUCAUAGAAAAGUAUGAAGUUCAUAUUUGUUAUAUGUUACAAAAACUAAAUAAUAUAGGAUAAUACGCCAAGAUAAAAAAGUGUGUAUUUUAUACUAUUCAAGUUGACUUCCUAGCAUAAAUCAUUUCAAAUGAUGGUCUUAUCAUGGAUUCUAAGAAGGUCUAAACUAUCAUAAAUUAGACGAUUUUAAAAAUAAUUGAUAAUGUGUAAUAUUUUUUAAAAUUUGCCAAUUAUUACCAAAUCUUCUUGAAUAAUUUUUUUUAAGUUGUCGCUCAUGUUAUACACUUGAUAUGUAAAGAAAAACUUGAGUGGAAGAAAGAAGUUGAAGCAUCUUUUGAAGCCUUAAAGACAACAUUUAUUUGUAUAUCAAUCUUAUAUUGUAUUAAUUUUUUGAAGGCAUUCUUCAUGAAAACAUAAGCAUCAAAUUUCAUUAUAGGUAUUAUUUUGUCACAAAUGAAAGCGGUGUCAUAUUACAUAUUGUCUUGCUCGGGAAUGCACCAGGCACCUAGCUGUGGAAGGUGAGGUUGUAUUUCACAAGUGUCCAAGAAACCCUAAUAGGCUUCACCUAUACAAGAAGAAUAUAAUCUAAAUUUUAAUUCAAAAGUGCUAAAAAAAUACUCUUUUUAGUAGCCUUAAUCACACAUGAAUUCCAAUUACCUUGUUACUUUCAUAUUUAAGCAAUUUAGAUUUUUCUUUUAAGCCCCAAUCCUAAUCAGUGAGCUUUAACAAGCAAAAACAUCCAAUUUGAUUGUCCACUUGAUGUAAAAUUUUGCAUGCAAAUAUCAAUGUAAGUCUUCUACAUGCAUAAGAAUUUUUAGCCCAAUCCAAGUUAUAAAUUGUAAAAAAACCUCCAAAAAUUACACUGAUGUCACUCUGCCGCCAACUUGAAAAGUGAAGCAAAAAUCCCAUUAGUAAUUUCUCCCUUUUUAAUUAUUAAAUUUGAUUCAAAAUUGGUGUACAGCUUAAUCUUUAAGUCCUUCAAUACUAUACUAAAUUUCACUUUGAUCCAGCCAAUAGAUCUCUAGAUAUCACAAAAAUCCUAUCCAACCUCAAACUAUCAACUUCUGAAACCUUCUUAUGCUGAAAACCAGAUAUCUAUAAACCACGCUAUUAGAUUAUCACAAAAUUGUGUAUACACUCAGCACACCCAAUAAUCCAAAUAGUAUCAAAUUUUCAAGUGUAGAUGUUAUACCAAUUGCACGAACUAGCCAAAUUUACUAGCCCUAAUUAUAUUAUAUAAAACCCAAAUCACCAAUACAAACUGUGACUUUGAAUAACAAUUGCUAAGUCCUCAAAAAUCCUCCAAAAAUAAUCUUUAUGCCUCUAGAAAGAACUUCAAGCUAGCUCUCAUAUUCUAUCUUCUAAUCUUUGAAUGAAUUCUUAUUUUGCCCUAGGCCAUUGUUUGAGUGGCUAGAGAUCUAAUUUUGACCUUGUUUCACAAAUAGUCGACCCCUGGAUAUCAAUCUAACCUAUCAUAAGGAUUUUUUAGCCCAACCUUACUCUCAAAUUAAUCUUAGUAUCAACUAUACUAAUUAUUUAUCUCUUCUAACUUGAUUUUAUCAAUUUAUGGUCUUUUUAAGGUAGUAGAAGAGUCUCUACAACUUAGAAGGUAAAAUUACUAACUAACCUUCAACCUACUAACAAUUAAGAUAAAAAAAAUAAUGUAGGAGGCUUUUAUAAAAGCCAUGUUUAGAUACCUCAAAUUAUAAUUGAACUAAGAUAAUUAGAUAUUAAUUAGAAAUUCAAUUUUGAUUAUAAUUUCACUAUAUAGUCGUAUUACAUCACAACAGUAGAUGACAAUUCUACCCACUAGCUUUUCAUUCCAAGAAAUUUUUAACAGCUAAGAUUAUCUAUGAAAUCUAUAUCAAAGAGUUUUUUACAAUCAUAGAUUCAUUUCAAGAAUGGCAUCAUUAUCUAAAAGGUACUUUUAGUCCAAUCACCAUAUAUAUGGAUUACAAUAACCUUAAGUACUUCAUAUUAACACAUAUUUUGAAUUACCACCUAUCUUGUUAGAGCAUGUCUUCUUGAAGAUUUGAUUUUAUGUUUACUUAUCAAUCUAAAAAAUAAUAAGAUUUAUCAAACAUCCUUUCUAGACAUUCUUAUCUUGUACCAAAAGAAGGAGACGAUCCUUUUGAUCAUUAAAGAAUGAUUAUUUUGAAGCCAAAGCUUUUUCAUCUUUGAGCAAUAAAAUCAAUAUUGACUAUUGAUUCAAUAUUUACGAAGAAAAUUCAAUCAAUAUUGACUAUUCAUUUAAUCUUUAUGAAGUAAAUUCAAUCAAAUAUAUCCUUUAAUCUUUUUUUUUAUAAUAUCAAAAAUAAUUCUUCUAAAUUUCAUGAUACUUCUAAGUUUGAGUUUAAGAAUAAUCUACUCUAUUUUGAGGGAUAAUUAUAUAUUCCAAAAAGCAAAGCACAAUUAUAUGUUCUUUAAGUUUAUCAUAACUUUCUAAAAACUAAAUAUUUUGGAUAUAAUAAGACUUUAGAAUUAAUAUUAAGAGAUUUUUAGUAGCUUCAAAUAUCAGAGGUAAUUAAAGACUUUGUACAAUCAUAUGAUAUUUUUUUAAGAUCAAAAAAUCCUCAUCAUUGAUCUUAAAAACUUUUCCAAUCAUUAUCUAUUUCAAAACAACAACGGUCUUUUGUUUCUAUAGAUUUUAUCACAGAUCUUCUAGUCUUACGUUGAUAUGAUUUUAUAUUUGUAAUAGUAGAUUAUUUUACCAAGAUGGAACAUUUUAUACCACAUAAAAAAUCUAUCACAAGUAAAGAAAUGGCUAAAUUUUUUUUAACAAUAUCUAUUAUUAUUAUAGAUUGCUCAAAGAUAUUAUAUCUGAUAAAAGAUUCAAUUUGUAUCAAGAUUUUGGAAAAUCCUUUUGAAGAUUUUAAAGGUAGAUAUAAAGUUCUCUUUGACUUUUCAUCCUCAAAUUGAUAGACAAAUGAAAUGGAUGAAUCAAAUUGUAAUAUGUUCAACUACUAUGGACUUGAAUUUUUUCUUAUUUGUAAACAAAUCAAUCUUGUUGCUUAUCAAUUACAUCUAACAGAGACUAUGAAAAUCCAUUCUAUAUUCCACUUAUUUUUUUUAGCCAUAUAAGAUAGUGAAUAUCUCAAAAAAAAGACAAAUAUCACUUCCUCUUAUCAAAGUAGAUAAUAAUCAAUAGUUCAAGGUAUAAGAAGUCUUAGAUUUAACAUGACAUCAAAAUAGAUUAAAAUAUUUUGUUCAUUGGUGCAUAUAUAAUAUUAAUGAAUGUACAUGGAAGCCAACAAAGAAUCUUGAAAAUAAUAGAAAGAAGAUUGAUGCUUUUCAUUGAGAACAUCCAUCAAAAUCAAGAUAAAAAAUAUAAAAUCUUUGCUAUAAAAUAAAUAAGAUCUAGAGAAGAUAGCAUUCUACCUUCUACUCUUUUUUAUAAUUUUGUAUAUUUGUGGAUUUAAAGAGAUGAAAAACCAACAACCAAUAGAUUCAACUCAAGAACUAUCACUUGUUGACUUACCAAAUGAGACAUUGUGAUUGUCACAACUUUCAAGACAAUAUAAUAAUGAUGAAGAUCCUUAAGAAUGAUAUGUCUUUCUUCAAAUAGAUGGCAAGAUACAACAUAUUUGGCACCAUGACCUUAAAAGAAACUCUCAAUGUUUGGUGAUUUUAUUAGAAGUAAAAAUGAUCGUUAAUGAUAUUCUAAUAUUUUAUUUGAAAGGAAUAAUAAAGGCCUCAAUAACAAUCAAAUAAUAGGGUGGUCUUUCCACCCUAAUAUAGGACAUUAUCAAUAGAUAAGAGAAUCUAUUAACUAUCUUCAAAGAGAACAAAGAUCAAAAUAUGCGAUAAAUACAAUUUGUGUCAUCUUGAAUUUUUUCAACAUAUGGUGAAUGCUCUCUAUAAAAAAAUUCUCAAGAAGAAAAGAGGGGAUAAUAUUAUAGACACACAUAUUUACUUUAAUAUUUACCUAUAUGAUUAAAUAGAAGUAGAUAGAAAUAAAUUUAUUUCAUAAUAUUUUUUAGAAUAGCUUCUUAGAAGCUUCAUAGACAUUAUUUGAUUUUAGAUGUAUUUGUAGUUGAUUGAUAGGUUAGAAACUUGGUCAACAAGUUAACCACGUAUUGGUAGCUUGUAGAACAAGCUCACUAUGUGGUGUAUAUAUAAAAAACUUGCCUUGCAAGUUAAGAUAUGUGUCUUAUAAAAUCAACUUAUUUUAGAGGUCCUAUAAAACAUCUUCAUAUAGCUUCUAGUUAAGAGUGUACAUGGAAGCAAGAGUGAAGCCUUCUUAACUCUUGUCAAUGCCUUUUUAGUCUUUAGUCUUGUUUCAAGACUUUAUAGUCUUCUUGUCUUCAGCAAUAGCCAUUUUAAUUUAAUACUAUAUCAUCUUUGAGUGAUUUUUUUUUUCUUUUUGAGUGACACAAGAAUGUAUUGACAUUUUACUUCUUUGAGGUUUUUGUCCUUGACAUGUGACUACAUUUUUCGAUGGAAUGGCUUCCUUCAUGUUAUCUUUUUUGACAAGUGUAGUAGUCGAUGGCACUGAAUAAGGUCCUAGUUAUGCGUCAAGUGUCGUUUCAUAUAGGCUGCUCAAAUUAAGAAUGAUUCUCUAUUUGUAUUUUAUUUUGCAUGGCAAAUAACCAUAGAAGAACAUUGAGGGUCCAACUUCAAUGUUUAUUGAGUCACCACGAAAUUCUAGACUCUAAGUGGCAAUUAGGUUCUAUACUGCGGUUGAUUUCUUAAGAGGUGUGAAGAAGUUAUGGAUGGAUUACAAUUCCUCAAGUUGUUGAAUUUCUCAUACCAAUUGUUCUUCUAAUCUUGAAUCUUGAGCAUUGUGUAUAUGUCAAAUCAAGUCCUCCAUAGCCAUAAAAUACAACUUCUUAUGGGUCCUAGAUGAGACCAACUUUCAAUUUCUUGUAUAAGGAUGUGUAAGAUGAAUGUGUACCUGGCAUCUCUACCAAAUAUUUUUCCAAGCCAUAAUUCUAUGUCCUGAAUAAUGGUGAUGAGGGUGAAAUGAACAUAGGUGUGACAAGAUCAUACUUGAGGCAGUCACUCUGCCAGCCAUGGCUACAAUGAGCCUACCACACACAGCUGCCAAGACGAUAGAGAGAGACGUAUGAUUAAUAUAGCCACGGAACGCUUGCAAUGAAUGAACAACACCUAAUACCUGACCCUUCAACUAAGGAUGGGAUUUUUAUAUUAGUCAUUAUAUGAUACAAACAAUAACCUACCUAAGAUCCUGCUGGUGCAUGAUUAUAGCUUACUCUAAUUCUUAUCCCUACAUGCUAGCAUUGCUCCAGCACAUGACAAAACCAUUGCUCUACUUUCUAGUGCAAACUCUACAAUUUAAAAAAAACAAAAAACAAAAAAACAAACAAACAAACAAACAAACUUUUGUUAGGAUUCUAUUGAAUACAGAAUCAUAAAUUUGAAAAGGAAGCAAUCUGCAGUCAAAAGGUGGCCUGACUUGGUAUCUAUGACAACAGGGCACUUUUUGCACAUGUAUGGAUAUGUAUAAAUUUAUGAAGCAAUGACUCAGUUGAUCUCUACACAUUUCAUAACCAUCUGGUCUCUAUUUUGGGGAUUUGUAGAUGGACCAUUGGAAUGCAUAGCAAUUCUCAUGUUUUUGACAUAAAAAUGGGUGGAGCAAUCAACAAACAACAAAAUUAAUUUUGUAUACAUUUCAGAACACAUGGCCCACAUGAAGUGGAAAUUACAUGCAACAAUCUGGAAAAAUGUUAAACUUUGUAAUUUUGGAUGGAACAUAGUCCAAAAUAUGAUACAAAAUGCAUGCAGGUGAAAAUCAAAUAAAACAAUAGAGCUCUACAUACCAGAGUCAUAAUGGACAACAUAGAGAGGAGCCCCAACAAACUUUAUUAGAAUAUUAGAAUAAUGCAUGUCAUGUGCCUCCCACCCCAGCAUGUCUUGCCAACAUGGUCUUAUGGCUCUUGAUACCCAGUUGUUUUUAUUUAAUUGCCUUUUGCAGUAGAUGUACCCCAUUUGUGUUGGAGAAAAAACUAUCAAAUAAAAUAAAAAACCAGCAAACAAACAAACAAUGUCUCCAUUUUAUGAGACAUCCACGUCACAAGUAUAAAUUCCAACCAUCGGAAUUUGAUGGCAUGGAAAAGAAAAGAUGGUGCACUGUCCACAGCAUUGGCCAGCUCAGCACGAAGAGAAACUAAAAAGGUGGUUCUGGACUUCCAGUUGGGCUCUUUGCAAGGAUAUACAUAUGUAUGUAUGUAUAUAUAUAUAUAUAUAUAUAUAUAUAUGUCCUCACUUAUUAUAUUUUUCUAUGAAUUAUUUUAUUUUUAUUUGUAUUUUUCUCUUUGAAGUUAUUGUUUUCUUUUCUUCCUCCUUUAGAAAUGGUGGCAGCAGUUGAGUGGGUUUGGGGUACCAGUAUUUUGGCAUUUACUCCAUGCUUUCACUUUUUGGUUCCCUGUAAAAGUGGUUGGUUCCCAAGGCUCCCCUCAAACUUUUUCACAUCUUAUUACAGUUUAUUUUAUUGUAUUUUGUGGUUGUUAUGGAGUUGGCAGGAAAUGUGUUAUGAGCUUUCCAUUGGGUUGUCUGUGUUCCCCAUGUGGGUACUGGAUCUUCUACCCAUGCUAUGCUAUUAAAGAAGUGAAAAAAAUAAUAAAUAAUAAAUAAUAGAAAGAAAAAAAGAAAAUUUUUUGUCUGGGUUUUUUUUUUCUCACAUUUAUGUCGAGAAUUUAUAUAACAAGAAAUUUCCUUCAUACUUUUGCAUCACAAUACCAUUAUAUAAAUUUCUUACUAAGAUCCUAUAAUCAAUCCUGCUUGAAUAUACAGCCACACCGUGUUUACAUUCAAAGGAUCUUUCAAAACACAAGAUAUUGUAAAAUCAAAAAAAUAAAAAUAAAAAGAGAUUGUGAUUGAGUAUGAGUUAUAGAUUUCAACAUAAUCUACACUAAUUGUGAUUGAGGGACUGUAAUUGUCCAAUAUUCAAGUUUUAGUUAGUAAUUUUGAGUGUACUCCCAAGACCCACCUCAUUACCCAUAUGAAAAAAGCUAAUACCUCAAGGACUAUAGGAUAGCUGAGAGAAGACUGGUUUCAAUGCCCAUAAUACUCUUGGAGCAACACAUCCAUAAAAUCAUCAACCCAAUUACAUGAAUAAGACAACAAGUCCACGAAAAAGAGAAGAAGAAGAGUAGCAUCAUGUGGGAAGUUGUUUGGUUUGGUUUUGAGCAAAUGAAGCUUUGGCGCAUAGGGAAUAGUUUUUGAUGGGGAGCCAAGGUCCAUACACUUGGGCUUCAUCCUUGCAUGAUUCAUUUUGACAUGUUCCAAACGCAUGUAUGAGAUCCCCCCCCCCUCCAAGUUAUGCCCCAAUUCUCUAAACAUGGUAAUAUGUGAGGAUUUCAAUGGAAUGUCCAUCAUUUCUUCAACUAAAAUAGAGGAACAAAAAAACAGGAAUUUGUCCCCAUUGACACACCCCAAUUGGUGGAAUGUUUGAAACCAUGAAGGGCUUUUUCUAGCCCUAAUAUUAGCCAUUUGCAAAAAAGUGGUCCUACUGUUCCUUUACCCACAUUUUGUUUGUCACUCUCUCUUUUUUUGUGUGUUUGUUUCAUGAUUACUUCAUGUUUGUUUCCCCAUGAGCAUCAUACAUCUUUCUCCGCAAAAAAAAAUAAUCUUAAAAGACAAAAUAGGAGUCCAUUACAAGUUGCCAAUUCCAGCCAACACUUCUCACUCCAUGAUGAUUGACAAUGUCUCCAAAACUCUUAAAAUACACAGUUCUUUUGUUGGUCUUUUUGGACAAUUGUCUGGAUGUGCUUUGCUAAUCUCAUGUCAUUGCAUGGAAAUGUUGUCCUCACAUGAUAGUUGUUAACAAUUUGUUGUUUGUUUGUUUUUUUUCUUUGUUUAUUAUAUUUUUAGUUUAGCUUAUAUAUUUAUUUUUCACAUAAUACUACCAUUACAUGCACAAGUAGAAAUACUCCAUGGCCUACAAUUCAACUCCAUGAUGUUAUUAAACAUCUAUAUUACACUGUAGUCUCAAUGACAAUAUUUAUAACACACAUUAAUGCUUUUAUCAAUGAACUAAAUAUCAAAAUCUGUGCAAACAAAGGAGGUAAACCUGUACACAAUUCAAUUUACUGUUGAGAUGAAUGGAAGGAAGAAAAAAAGGGGAACCAAAAAAAAAAAAAAAAAAAAAAAAAAAAACAGAGAAGGAAAAAAGCACAACUAUAUCAUACAAAUGACUUUAAAAUAUUUAAAACUGUAUUUCAAUUGAAAAACAUGUCAUGGCAAAGAACAGCCACACAGCCCUAAACAUUGCCAAAAACAUUGCCAAAGGAACAGAUUGUCUGAAUUCAUCUGAAGCCUCAUCAAGAAUGACCAUUUGUUUCAGCUGUGCAAAAAAUCAGUUGAUUGGUAUACACAAUAGCAUGGUCCUCAAGUCAUCAAAAAUACAAAUCCUAGAUAAUGAACUGCAACAUGUAAUCAAUUUAAACAAUAUUUGUUUAUUUUGAUAACAACCAAUGAGGUAUGAAUAAUGUAUAAAUAAAUAAUGUAUAUAUAUCAUACAAUAGGAUAAAUGUUUUAUUAAAUGAUUCUGUAGUAAAUGUACGUACAUACAUAAUCUUUAAUAAAACUGACAACAAAGAAAGAUACGGCUUUAAAUAACUAUAGUAGAAAAUUAGAUUUGAAGGCAAUUGACAAUGUUAGCAUUUGUGCAGUGUUGACAAAGUAUAUUGAAUGCUUAUUUUCUUAUCUUCACAAACUCAUGCUGUAUCUUGCACAGAUAGGAAGGUAUAUUGGAUGAUGACUUCAAGUUUAUUUAUUUUUAAUUGCAUAUCAUCUCUUAAAAAUUUAGAAAAAUAUUAUAAUUUCUAAUAUGGGAGUAAUUAUUUUGCACCAAUUAGUAUGACAACACAAUUUAUUAUUAUUAUAUUUUUUUCCCCUUAGUCUUGUCAACUUGUUUGCAACAAACAGUGACACAUUCAAACUUCAGUUGUGAUUAAGUCAAUCGUAUCAUUUCUAUCUCAUCUCAUCACACUUGCUCUUUGAUUUACAUUGACAUCAUUUUGUGUAUUAACAAAUCCAACACAUUGUUCAAUCCAUUGUGCUUGAUGGAUAGCAAUUAAAUACAUCAACACAAUGCAUUACGACACAAGUUACCAUGACUGAAUGGUUUAUAAUCUAUCUUGCUAUUAUUUUUUUAUUCAUAAUGAUAUUGCUCAAAACACAUUUCACAUCUACAACUCUCACUCCAUAUAGAUAUUAGUAUUUAUUUUCUAAAUGGUAUCAUUUACCAAAAAUGAUAAAUGCCCAGAACACAAGAUAAAUCCAUAUGGGAAUUUAGCACAAAAGCAAAACAUACAUGCAUACAUCUUCCGGAUUUUCAAAGAGAUCAUAACAAUGAGUAUAUGGUUUCAUACAAACACACACACACACACACAAAACAAGAUUGCAUACAAUUAAUUUUAAUUGUGGUGGAUUCAGGUGAAUCCAUACACACACAACUAAAAACUAAGAAUGAACUAAUAAUUUAACCAUCAUUCGAAGCCAAAAUUAUGUGGAAAAUGAACAGCCCUUUGGACCAUUUUCAAUGAAACUAAGACAAUUCAAAAAGUAUUUCUACUUCAGAACAUUUUGAGAGAUAAGCUUAAAAUUUAAAGACCACUUAUGUGCAAACUAUGCAUGACUUUACACUGAGGUCCAAUAUCGUUUAGAUCCAAAUACAAAAAAGGACCUAAAUACAAAGUAAUGCACGGGGUUAAAUGAACACCAAAAAUACCAGUGAGACUGCUUUUAGUACUGAGGGUCGGAAUAAUAUGAUCCGGUGCCACACGAGGACUUCCUCUCGACAGCUCAACUCAAACCCUAAGUUCUUAUCACCACUACGAAGGAUUCUGAUUGGGCUCAAUGUUUAGUUGGUCUGGAAGUAGACUAGCGCUGGCUGAUAAUGACAUAGCACCUAAAAUGAGGCAAAAUACGGCUUAAGAGUAUUUUGAAGCCAUACUCUGACGCGAAAAUGUAGAAUAAAACUUCAGACAUAAGGUAAUAAACCAUGACCUAGGAAUAAACCAUAACCACCACAACAAUCAACGGCAAUCCAUUGCACCAGUUGGGUCUCCAAAAAUAUCAGGAUUACAUCAGCCAGGAUAUUAAUGUGCACAACACGGAUGCGCCACCAGAAUAUUUCUGACAACUAAGGGCACGUUAGAACUCUUAAAUGAACCCAAGAAAUUGAAGGAGACACACAUGCUCCUUACCAAAAUUUGCACAAAAUCACAGACAAGCGGGGUUGAUGAUUCACUAACGCUACCAGCCACGACUCGAACGGAUCGCAUAGAAGAACAGCUACACCAAAAAAAAAAAAUCUGCACCGACCAUCUACUAACAAAAUCAAGACUGUCUACAGCCAGGUAUGCAAAACCAAAACAGUUCCAUUCAUGGUUACAAGUUUCACGACAAUGCAGGCAAGCCAUAAAUGAACCAAGCGAAGAGUAGUUCAACCAUAAAUGCUGCAAACUUAAUCCUGCUUCAAAGAGCACCAAAUAUCUCUAAAAAAAUAUUAGUUAAACGUAAAAUACUUACAAUCAUGAAAUCCUUCCCAGAAAAAACUCACUAGACAGGCAUUCCUAAAACAGCUACCCACGGCAAAUGGAAGAGCAAUGUAUCCAAAGAACAUAGAGGGCUCGCUUUCUAAUGACCAUUUACAUACCCUCCUGCCAAACUCACUGCCAAACUAAGCCUAUCUGACAAUAAGCACCCCCACCCCUACCAAGGUCUCCACCACAACACCUUUCACCACCUUGCCUCAUGCGCUUCUUCUGCGAGUGAUAUACCCACAAUGCUCGCCCAUCCACGCCCUGGCUGGAUACCACCCUUCCACCACCACCACCACCACCACUCUUCCCACUACUGCUUCUUUAUCUUUCUUACGCCACUCUUCCAUACUCCUACAGACUUGGACGAUGGCACGCUUCCUCAGGCCGUUGCUAACAGACUCCGGCUGCCACACUUAUCUCGUCUACCAGACAACAAACCAUAGAGCAGCAAAGGCUAAUUACAACACCCA